UCCUAUCUCCACUGAUCUGCAGUAUCCUCCCUUCCUCAACCUCCACCUUUACUUCCUCUUUCUUUACCCCAGGAAGAUCGGCCUUGAAGACGUGGGCCUCCGGGGUCUCCUUCCAAUCAAUGCGUGUGUUCGCAAACGACGCCGUUUCUCCGGGAACCGAUAGAGCCCCGCCGGUGAAUGGGAAGUCUUGGAACGGAUCCCACAUGUCGAACAUGUUGUUCCGUCGACCGCCUAAGAAGUUUGGAAUUAGAGACAUUUUCUGAAAGUUUGUCGCAGGAGAGAGUGAGGGAAUUGGAAUAUUGGCUUUGCGCUAUGAGAAAUCAACACCUGUUGCUAUGGUACUGGUUGAAGAAAGUUCAGACUCAGAUAUUUAUAGGUGCAGAGGAGGGUAAUUGCGUCAAAUUGUGUAGUGGAUUCCAGAUGCUUCAAGAAGAUAGAGAAGUAUCUAAAGAGAGUGGAUAUGAAUGUUGUCGCGAGUACUAAUAUCGGAAUACUCGCGAUAUGGUGUUGCUCGAAAUCUCUGGAAAGACGCGGGACAGCUGCAACAUCCAUCCUUUUGGAUAGCAGUACACAUGGGCCUAAAGUAGUCAGCCCAUAACCAUAUUCCAUAAAUCCAAGCCCAGAUUACAAAUAUCUUAAAAUGCGUCAUAAAAGGGAAGAGUUUUGCUUUGAGGGCUUUUUGUGAAAAUAAUUACAAUGCAAUCCCCUCUUUUCAUGUUGCUCGGCUGAAUACCUUAUUUUAAAAAUAUUCACUUUUACGAAUCAUCAAAUAAUAGCUUAGAGGUUAAUUUAAGGUUUAAGAUCAAAUUUUACUUUUUACUGCUAAAACAAAAUUAUUUUAUAAAAAGUGAUAAAUUAAAAAUAUAAAAAAAUUAUAAAAAUGACUUAAGUGUUAAACUAAUUUGGAGACCGCUUGACAAUGUAAUUAAAAAGUAGUUUUUUGUUUUUAAAAAUAGAAAAUCGUCUUUAAAAAUUCAUAAUAUUGUUUAAUUGAUAUGUUUUAUUGUAUAGUUUUUGAAAAUAAAGUGAAAUAUAAAAUAAUUUUUAAAAAUAAGGAUAUGUGUUUUUUAAAAUAGUUUUGAAAAAUAAUUUUUAAUAAUAGUUUUUGGUGUCUUUAGUAAUAAAAUUAUGAUUGCAAACUAAAUUUCAAAAAAUAGUUUUUUUUUCAAAAAAAAAUAUGUUUGAUUCAAAUGGUAAAAAACAGUUUUAUUAAACAAGUAUUUUUUUUUGUACUUUAUGAGAUCAACUUAAUAUUGUAAAUAUAACUAAUUUUUAGAUAAAAAAAAAUUAUAGAUUUUCAUAAUUUUAAAAUUAAAAAUAUUUUAUCCAUUCUUAAAUAUAAAAAUUGCUUUUUUCUUUUAACUUUUUUUUGGCUAUCCACCCCUCACCCCUAAUUUUCUUUUCAUCUAUACACUUUCUUCUUUCCUCCCUUAAAAUCUCUCUCCCUCUCUCUUCUCAUCACCUAAGUUUCCCCACUCAUCUUCCCAUUUCUCUUCUCAGCGUCUCAAUCUCCCUAUAACACCUCUCUUUUUCUCUCUCUCUUUUUUUUUUUUUCUUUAUCUCCCUCUUUCUAUCUUUCCCAUAUAUUUUCUCAUUUAAAAAUCACCCAUAGUCAUACCUUGCUCCAUAUUCACCUCUGUCGCCCCAUUUAUGUCUAGAUUGUUGAUGAUACCAGGUCAAUUGAGAAUGGAUUCCUCCUUUAGUUAUGGCAGUAAAAGCUUUUGUCCAACUACUGGAGACUGAGCUUUCUUCUUUCCUACAUAAAGGAUAUCUGGAUACACUCUCCGAAGCCUAAGUCAGGUAUUGAAAUGGGUGGGAACCCUUUGAGAGAGAGUAGAUGAGAGAACCCUUGGUGUUGCAUACCUGAGUUCUCUUUCAGUGGGGUUUUUAUAGUGCUAAAGGGGGGAAAACACUGUAGUGUUGAGCCGACACCUUAACCUAAUAUUGUAAUGAUGGUUGUGCAAUAAGUGACAAGGCAAUCAUUGCAAUUGCAAGGUAGCUGGUGGCUAUGUCAGAUGGUGCGUUAUGAUACAGUUUGCUGUCGUUUUAGCCCGUUGACGAUAUGAGACUGGGUGUGAUGGUCCACUAAUGUAGACGUAAGGAUGGGGAGGGUCCCAUGAGUCACUUCAGUGUUAGAUGACCAUCAUAUCACAUACCAGAGAUGAUUUGGGGCUGUCAGGAAGAUGUGGUCUACUUAGUGGGCCCAUAUGGUCCGGAUAGAAUGCUCUGAGGGUGCCUUAAAGGUUGUUCGGGCGGUAAUGAAGGAGGUAACACGUGGUCCAACAAGGGUACUGCCACGUGGCUGGAUGCGUGGGGGUACACAUGGACAGACACGUGGAAAAAGGUCCCUACAAUUACAACAUUGGCAGCAUCUUCCAUGACCACUAUUGUGGCCAAUCUAUUUUCCCCGUUGGACAAAUUUUUUUUUUCUUAAAACCUUUUGCUAGAUAGUCAAAUGGGAUUGAUGAGGUUAAAUGGAUUUGGAGUUUGUUUUAAUUCGUUGUAUGAUGCAUCUUUUAAGGGUUUGUUUUCUGCUGUAUUUUUUGUAUUCUUCAUGUUUUUUUAUUUAUUUAAAAUUAUUUAUUUAUUUUUGUUUUUUUUAUUAUUUUGUUUAGUUAGUAGUAUAAAAACAUAGAAAACAUAAAUUUGAAAACAUAAACAACAAUGCCAAAUGACUUUUCAGUAUUUUUUGUUUUAAAAAUACUUAAUGUAUUAGAUGUGUUAAUUAACAAGUUUAGUAAUUUUUAAAAAUAAUUUGAAACUGAAAUAGUGUUCUAAUAAAUACCAAAAUUUAUGAACAAAUAUUGAUCUACAAUGAAUCUAUUAUUUAUUUAUUUAUUUACAUAUAAUUAUAUUUUUAUAAAUUUUCUCAAUGGAUAAAUGAACUUCAAAUCUAGUGAUAUUUUGUAUUGAAUUAUUAACCGUGUUUAAUGAUUUUUAAAAAUAAUUUAGAACUCAAAAAAUAUAUAGAUCAAUAAAAAAAAAUCAAAAUUGAUAAAUUAGAAGUCAUGACUUUAUUGUUUGUUCUUUACACACAACCAUAUUUUUUGAAUUUUGUUACUAAGUAAAUAGAUUUGAAAUUAAGACAGUUAAGAAUUUAAAUUUUUAAGGACAUAAGAUAAAAUGAAUACAUAGUUUGACACUGACAUAGCAAAAAUCCAAAAGAAAAAUCAUAUAGUAAACAAAAAAACAACCCUCAAUUAUGCUCCCUAUCAAUUAUGCAACUUAUAUACAUCAAAGACAAUUGUUCCUUUAAGAUAUUUGUAAUCUGGGCUUGGAUUUAUGGAACGUGGUCAUGGGCUGACUACUUUAGGCCCAUGUGUACUGCUGUCCAAAGGGAUGAAUCUCAUGAAUUUUGUAACUGUUCCGCGUCUUUCCAGAGAUUUCUAGCAACACAAUAUCGCGAGUAUUCCGAUAUUAGUACUCGCGUCAACAUUUAUAUCCAGUCUCUUUAGAUACUUCUGUAUCUUCUUGAAGCAUCUGGAAUCCACUACACAAUUUGACGAAAUUACCCUCGUCUGCACCUAUAAAUAUCUGAAUCUGAACUUUCUUCACCCAGUACCAUAGCAACAGGUGUUGAUUUCUCAUAACGCAAAUCCAAUAUUCCAAUUCCGUCACUCUCUCUUUGCGACAAACUUUCAGAUAAUGUCUGUGAUUCCAAGCUUCUUCAGCGGUCGACGGAACAACAUGUUCGACUUGUGAGAUCCGUUCCAAGACUUCCCAUUCACCAGCGGUGCUCUAUCGGUUCCCGGAGAAACGGCGUCGUUCGCGAACACUCGCAUUGAUUGGAAGGAGACCCCGGAGGCCCACGUCUUCAAGGCCGAUCUUCCUGGGGUAAAGAAAGAGGAAGUAAAGGUGGAGGUUGAGGAAGGGAGGAUUUUGCAGAUCAGUGGAGAUAGGAGUGUUGAGAAGGAGGAGAAGAAUGACAAGUGGCACCGAGUGGAGCGCAGCAGCGGCCAGUUCAUGAGGCGGUUCAGGUUGCCGGAGAAUGUGAAGGUGGAGGAGGUGAAGGCUGCCAUGGAGAAUGGUGUUCUUACUGUUACUGUUCCCAAGGCAGAGGUCAAGAAACCCGAUGUCAAGGCUAUCGAUAUUUCUGGUUGAGAAUUACGUACAUGAACUUAUAUGAUUAAAGCUUAAUUUUGUCCGUGUCUUAAAAUGCAUCAUAAAAGGAAGAGUAUGCUUUGAGGGCUUUUUGUAGAAAAUAAUUAACAAUGCAGUCCCAACUUUUCAUGUUGCUCGGCUGUACUCAUUUUAAAAAUAAUUACUUUUAGUACCUUCAAAUAAAAACUUAAGAGGUUAAUUUAAGGUUUAAGAUAAAAUUUUACUUUUUGCUGCUAAAACAAAAUUAUUUUAUAAAAAGUGAUAAAUAAAAAAUAUAAAAAAUUAUAAAAUGUUGAACUAAUUUGGAGCUCAUUUGACUGUGUGAUUAAAAAUUAUUUUUUUAUUUUUAAAAAUAGAAAAUCAUCUUUAAAAAUUCAUCAUAUUGUUUAAUUGUUAUGUUCUAUUUUAUGGUUUUUAAAAACAAAGUGAAAUAGAAUAUAAUUUUCAAAGAAUAAAGGCUUGUGUUUUUUAAAAUAGUUUUUGUUGUUUUUAGUAAUAAAAUUGAGGAGUUUGUUUCAAUUUGUUUCAUGAUGCAUUUCUUGAGGGUUGUUCUUUGUGUGUAUUUUUUGUGUUCUCCAUAUUGCUUUUGAUGAUUUUUUUUGUUUAAUUAAUAGUAUAAAAAACAUAGAAAACAACUUUAGAUUGUUCUUAACAUGAGAAUAUAGAGAAUAACAUUGAAAACAUGAAGAACAAUGCCAAAUGCCUUUUUCAGUGUUUUUUGUUUUAUAAAAUAGAAAACAAUUUUUGGAAGCACUUUCAAAACAUCCCCUAAGUAUGAGUUAUUUUCAAAAAAAUUUAAAAUAAAAUAAAAAUAUAGAGAAAUAAAAAAAAAAACAAAUAAAAUUGAUUAUCAUUUUUUUCUCCUCUCCACGAUCCAAUACCAAUAUGAAAAAAAAAAAUCUUCAAAUAUGAUAUUAUUUUGAAUUAGUUGUAUUUAAUUUUUUUUUAACUUCUCUAAAAAUUUUCAUUAAGCAAAUAAGUUUUAAAUCAAACCAUACUUGAUACAUAAAAUUUAUUAAUUUUUAAAAAUAAUUUAAAACUCAAAAAUCGAUUUAAUUAAUACUCCAAAGUCAUGAAACUCAAUAACAUUAGAAAGUCAUGGACUAAAACUCAAUUUGAAUGAAUUAAUUAGCUAGUUUCUGCUUUGCAUGUAAUCAUAUUUUGCAAAAUUUCACUAGGAAAAUAAACUUCAAAUAAAGCAACAUUUAAUAUAUUGGAUUCGUUAAUAAGUUUAAUAAUUUUUAAAGAUAACUUGAUACUCAAAUAGUGAACCAAUUAAAACUAGAAAUUUAUAGAUAAAAAUUGAUUUAUAAUGAUUUGAUUGUUUCUCUUCUCCCUAAAAUAAUUUUUAUUUUUAUUUUUUAUUAAACAAAUAAACUCCAAAUAAAAUAAGACUUAAUGCAUUAAAUGUAUUAAUUAACAAGUUAAGUAAUUUUAAAAAUAAUUUGAAACUUAAAUGGUAUUCCAAUAAAUACCAUAUUUUAUUAUUUUUGAGUUUUUCUUAAUAUUUUUAUGAUUUUUUUUAAUCAAUUUUUAUUCACUGAUAUUUUUUGUUAAAAUAUCUAUGAUAUUUCUCCGUUAUAUCCGAUAUAUUGGUAAAAUCUAAAUACCGAUAUAUUCAUAAUUAUCAAUAUUUUUCAUAAUUGAUAUUAAUAUCUAUAUUUCACUAAAAAAUAUUUAUUUUUUAAUUUACUUGUAAUUACACAAAUAUUUUCAUUUUUUUUAUAAGAAUUGAAUUGAAUUAAAUUAAUAUUAUAUAAAUUGAAUUCAUAAUAUUUUAUAAAACAACUUAUCCAAGAUUGUUAUUUUUUAUUUUUUAAAAUAUGUUUUUAAAAACAACUAACCAAACACACUUAAAUUUAUAAAAUACUAAAAAACUGUUUUUGUUCUUUAACUUAAAAACAAAUUUUAAAAACAAAUAUAAUAAUAAAAAAUGAUGAAAUAGACCCUUAUUUUUUUAUUUUUUUAUUUUGACACGCUUCUUCUUCUGUGUUUUUGAAAAAAAAAUUGAUAGUCACUUCUAUCUAAAAUGAAAAGAACUCUUUGGGUCUUAUUUUAGAAAGAUAAUAACUUCUAAAAAUUAUUUCAAAUAAUAGAGAUAUUAAGGUAAGUUUAUAUAUAUACUUUUUAUAUUAAAGGUACUAUAUUUUAUAUAAAAGUUAUCAUUAUUUUUUAUUUUUAAAAAUGUAGAGUGAGAAAUAUAUCUGAAUACUUACAAUAAUUUGAAUAUAUUUCUUAUUUUUUUAUUUUUAUAAAUAAAAAUAAUAAUAACUUCUAUAUAAAAUAGGAGAAGUUUGAAAAAUUACAAAUUAGCAAGUAUAAGAGGAUUAAUAUUACAUCCAUCCCCAUUGACAAAUGAAUGAUUUACCCAUUCACUAGGGUUUCUUUUUAAUAGAAUAUAUAACCAGUCAUGAAAAAAAUCACCGGUUUUGCUCGGUGGGCUGGGAAUGCCGAUCUUAUCGAUUUAUCUAGAAAAUUAUAAUGAUUUUAAAAUUGAUUAUAAAGAGUUUUAGUAUCCCAAAUUUUAGAAUUAUUGAAAAAGGGUUUUAAGUACAGAAGAUAAGGAAUGCAUAGCUUGACACUGACAUAGCCGAAAUCCAAACGAAAAACCAUACAGUAAACAAAAAACAACCCUCAAAACUCACGGCCACUCCGGCUGUCUCAUCAUUCUUGUAAAAAUUUAAGUGCAUGUACGUAAUUCUCAACCAGAAAUAUCGAUAGCCUUGACAUCGGGUUUCUUGACCUCUGCCUUGGGAACAGUAACAGUAAGAACACCAUUCUCCAUGGCAGCCUUCACCUCCUCCACCUUCACAUUCUCCGGCAACCUGAACCGCCUCAUGAACUGGCCGCUGCUGCGCUCCACUCGGUGCCACUUGUCAUUCUUCUCCUCCUUCUCAACACUCCUAUCUCCACUGAUCUGCAAAAUCCUCCCUUCCUCAACCUCCACCUUUACUUCCUCUUUCUUUACCCCAGGAAGAUCGGCCUUGAAGACGUGGGCCUCCGGUGUCUCCUUCCAAUCAAUGCGAGUGUUCGCGAACGACGCCGUUUCUCCGGGAACCGAUAGAGCACCGCCGAUGAAUGGGAAGUCCUGGAAUGGAUCCCACAGGUCGAACAUGUUGUUCCGUCGACCGCCGAAGAAGCUUGGAAUUAAAGACAUUUUCUGAAAGCUUGUCGCAGGAGAGAGUGACGGAACUGGAAUAUUGAAUUGGUUAUGAGAAGUCAACACCUUUUGCUAUGGUACUGGUCGAAGAAAGUUCACUUGGAUAUUUUAUAGGGGGGACGAGGGUAAUUUCGUCAAAUUAUGUAGUAGAUUUCAGAUGCUUCAAGAAGAUAGAGAAGUAUCUAGAGAGACCGGUUAUAACGCAAUGAUGCGCGAGUACAAAUAUCGGAAUACUCGCGACAUGGUGUUGCUCGAAAUCUCUGGAAAACGCGGGACAACUGCAAAAUCCAUCCUUUCGGAUAGCAGUACACAUGGGCCUAAAGUGGUUAGCCCAUAUCCAUAUUCCGUAAAUCCAAGCCCAGGUUAUAAAUAUCUUAAAAUGCAUGGUAAAAGGGAAGUGUAUGCUUUGAGGACUUUAUGUGAAAAUAAUUAACAAUGCAGGCCCCGCUUUCAUGUUCCACCUUAUUUAAAAAGAUAGCCUUACAUGAUCCACCAUAAUUCAUGUUUAGUAUACAUCACAUAUAUUAACAUAUUUUAAGGCAUUUAUCAUGAGAAAUCCAUCAUGAGAGUGAUAACAAAUCGUUCCUCUAAUUAGAAGGUAAUGCACUACAACUUUUAUUGUAUUGUCCAAAUUUAUGAACUAAUUGUGAAUAACUUAUUUAUUUACAAAAAAACCUAUGACUUAUAUCAUUUGUGUAAUUUCAAAUGUAUCCAAAUCAUGUACAAUGUAAAAAAUAUGAGUUGAAUGCUUAAAUUAAUGUCGACGUAUAGAAAUAAUAACAAAAUAACAAUCAAGUUCAACUUUAUUAUAUCAUGUCUUGCUUUCUUAAUCCCAACAUAGGCAAUAAUAACAAUUUAUCACAUGUCUCAUUGAAAAACACAGUUAUGAAAUUCCAAUUAAAGAUCUUGACCCUUUACAUUAUUUUCUUGGUGUGGAGAUUAAAUAUUUAGAUAGAAGAACAUUUCUUUCUCAACAAAGAUAUAUGCAUGAUCUACUUUCAAGAACUAAAAUGCUUGACAAUAAUCCCAUUCCCAUACCUCAAGUUCUUGCAAACAAGCCUUUUCUUUUAGACAAUGUCUUAACCGAUGCUAUUGCUUUCCAAAGUAUUGUCAGAAUCCUUUAAUACUUGACUUUCAUGUGGUUGGAUAUUAUUCAUACCGUUAAUUGGGUAUGUCAAUAUUUUUAUAACCUUGUUAUGACUCACUUGAAGGUUGUAAAGUGCAUCUUAAGAUACCUUAAGGGAACCCAAUACUUUGGUUUAUAUCAUCUUUCCAUCAGUUCAAUAUCUUUUUAUGGGUUUAGUGAUGUUGAUUAGGUAGGUCGUCCCAUUAUAAGAAGGAGCACCAUUGGUUAUUGUGUAUUUAUUAGAGCAAGUUACAUCUUUUGGUGUUCAAAGAAACAACCAAAGGUUGCUAGCUUGAGCAUCGAGGCAUAAAAAUGCUCUAUGACCUUUUUCACUACGGAGUUAACUUGAAUUACUUAUUUGCUAUGAGAUAUUAGUGUCCAUCUCUAAACCACCACAAUUAUUUUGCAACAAUGUUAGUCUCUUUACUUGUCCAUUAACUUUAUGUUUCAUGUUUGUUUUAAAUAUAUUGAGUUUAAUAAUCAUUUUGUACGAGAUGAAGUUGUUAUAAGCAUUCUUGUCACUUGUUAUGUUUCCACGCAUUCUUAAUUUGCAGAUAUUAUUACCAAAUCUUUAUCACAUGAUAUCUUUACUAUGUUUUGCGACAAGCGAGACAUCCAUAUUCAUUCCCACUCUAACUUGAGGGGGCAUGUUAAAGGAGAUAUACCACAUAAAGGGUAAGAACACACACAAAAGGUAAGAGCCCUCUCAUUAAUAUUUUCAUAAAUAUAGAGAAAUCAAAUAUUGGUAAUAUUUGAUUUUUACAAUACUUGAUUCUCCUAAUUUUAGGAUAUUUUCCUUAAUGUAUUUUUGUUAGGAAUAUGUUUUAUUUCUUUCAUUGUAUACUCAUCUAUAUUUUUGCAUAAAGUUCCGACGGAAGUAAUAGAAAUUAUAACUUCCAUUAACAAAAUACACCAAGCUUUACAUUCUAAUGAUUGGAAGUGUAUUUAUUUAAUGUAAUUUAAAUUUUUUAUUUUUUUAAAUAGGUAUUUAACAAUUUUUUUUAAAAUCAAUAUAAAAAAUUUGAAAUUUUACUUGAAAUGAUUUCGAUAAUUACUUGAUAAGUGACUAUUGAUAUCUCUAUAAAAAAAUAAUAUCAUAAUAUUUUUAAUUUUAUAUUAAAUACUAAGGAUUCAUCUUAAUACAUUUCUUUAUUUAUGUAAAAUUUGCUUUUUUUUUUCUUUUUUUAUAAUUAAAUCUUUCAUAUAUCUAUAUAACAUUAAUAGUUAUUGUAAGAGUAAUUUUAUAUGAGUAAGGAUGAUAAUGAGAUAAGUUUUUUCGGGUACCUGUCUGACCCCUAUCCUAAUGGGGCAAUUACAAAAUUUAAAUAAACUGGUUUGAGAUUUUUUUAAAAUACUCGGGAUGGGUUUAGGGUGGAUUGAGUGUUACCUUGUCCUGCCUUGCCCUCUCCGAUUAUAUAUAAAAUUAAUUUAAUUUAAUUUUUAUUUUCCUAUUUUUAAUAAUAAUAAUAAUAAUUUCAAUAAAAUAAGUUAUAAAAAUUAUAAUGUUUUAUUUAUUUAUAAAAUAAAUUAAUUUUUAAUGUAAUUAAAAAAUGUAAAAAUAAUUUUUUUUAAAAUUUAUUAUUAUUUAAAAAAAAAAAAAAAGUUAAACUCCCUACCGUCUCACCCUAUUUAAAUUUUUAAAUGCAAAGGGGAUGAAAAUUAUUUUAAAUAAAUGAGGUGAGGUUGGGAUGGGGUGACCUGUCUUGAACUCACCCCAUUGACAUCCUUAAUGAGAGGUUAUUGAAAAUAGAUGAUUUUAGAAUUCAUUUCUUUGAAUUUCUUUUCUUGGUUUUUAUUUUUAUUUUUUAUCUUUCUUUUACAAUAUUGUAGAUCCCCUCUCUUCACCUCUUGGAUAUUUUUAUAAUUUGAAACAAGAGGGCAUGAUGACAGCCUGGGAGAGUGAAAAAAACUUCCUAUUUUUUUAAGGGAGGGGAGAGGGGGGGAGGGGGACCUUCUUAUGCAGAAAGGAACAGCACAGGACGUGUGGCAAGAGGGAAUGGCUGCCCAUGAAAGUGGUUGCAAGGCCAUGCUUGUUGAGGGGGAAACAGGGGAGUGGGUAUAGCGGAGACAGGGGGUUUUCAGAAGGGCAAGGGGCCGGGCUGCAGGAGGAGGUUGAGAGCUUCAGGGGGCUUUCCUGGAGGCGAAACACCCAGAAAGAGGGCAAAGAGCUCCGGAAGGGGAAAUGGGAGGUAUGGUUACCAUGGAUCCUUGGGUUUACUUUGUCGGUAUAUAGUCUCGUUAUUUUCCUCUUAAUCGUUUAUGUGGAUUAUCUGAUUAUAUGAUUAGUUUCCUAGUUCAUGCUUGAGUUAUUGGUUCAAUAUUGGAUGUUUUGAGAGCAAUGCAGCUCUGUUUUAGCUUCAUCAUCUAUUAUGCAGGAGUCUUGCUCUGUUUUCAUUUUCAUGAGACGCCCUCAGGUUCGCCCGCACAUAGUUGAAUCCAUUGAUCAAAACGUGAAGCAUGAUUUGGGUUGCUUUAUUUUGCUUUGACAAUUUAUGCUCUGUCUUGGUGUUUAGACUUUCCUCUGUUCUUGAGGUCUUACCUUGUCACAUAUCAGUGCACAACUUGCCACCAUACUUCGCCUCUCGACACCCAUUUUCUUUACCAUGCUCAUCAUCCACCCCUGGUACCCACACAGUCACCACUCCAGUAUAUCCAACGCCAUGCACUAUUCGUCAAGCCUCAUGCACGUUGAAUCCAUCUUUCUUCGCACCCAUCACCCUUCAAAUCGCCAUUUUCCAUCACUCAUACCCAUCCCCCUCAUUGCCCACGGUUGCACUUAACACUCAAACCUACAAACCCAUUUAUCACUCCCCUCCACGUACCAUCCAUGCACACGGCCAUCUUCACCCCCCCUAUUUCCGUCGACAUUUUUUUUUUGUUUGUUUCUCUCUUUCCUUUUCCUGGGCUUCUUCUCCGGCGAUGCAAGGUGCGCGGUGUCUCCGGAGGUUAAUGCAAGAUGGCGUCCACCUGGAGCUUCCCGUCACCACCACCUCUCCGCUGGCUGUCGGCGCCAUUGAGUCAGCCAAGAUGAGGAUCCUGUGCCUCGUCUCCGAGAACCCCUGUCAUCAUCUUCAGCCGCCGCCCCCCCCUCCCCCCUCCUCUUUGCUGCGUGCGCCGCGUCAAUGAAGCGCUUGCUCUCCUCACCUUCGACGUCACCAGCUCUCAUGGCCAUCUCCUCUCUCAACCAUUCGUCAUCGUUCCCGCAGUCUUCACCGGUGGCGCGCGCUUCAAGGCCCUGGAGGGCCUCGUGGCCUUCCCCACUCAGCGGCCACCUCGCCUUUCGUCAGGCUGGCGGUAGGAAGCUUCGUCUGAGGGUGAUGCCCAGGUGGAGAAGUGGGCUGUGAUGGAGUUUGGAGCCUUGGGCUUGCCCAUGGUGACGGAUAUGGGCUUGAGUUGGAGCCCAGCCCAAGCAUGUUGAUGGAGGGCCUCAUGCUCUCCAUGCCAGCCACCCUCAUGGCCCAUGUCCAUAUUGAGUUAGCCCAUUUGGCUGCUUCAAUUCUAAAUAAAUCUUUAAGCCUCUAAUCUUCGUAAUUUAUUAAUUAAUUAAUUUAUUUAUUCAUUUUUAUUUUUAUCUUAUUUCAUUUUUACCUACUUUUUUAACUUAAAAUAAUUUAUAUUUCACCUUCCCUUCUUUAGUUAUGUCUAAUCAUCAUAUAUGAAAAUUUUUAUAUAAUUAAUUUAUAUUGGUCUCAAUGAAUUUACUACAUUCCAAAUUUUAAAUCCCAUUUUCAAAACUUAUGUCUUUAAGCCAUUUAUCUUCGCUUAAAUAUUAUGUUUGUUAAUUAGUAUUAUUAUUCCUUAUUUAUUUAAAAAUCUCAACUACUCAAGUUCAAUUUUUCAAAAUCCGACUUUCAAAUUUAGCUUUCAACCCCAGAAAUUUCACUAUUCACUUUUAUUCAUUUAAAUAUUACGUUUGUUAAUUAGUAUUAUUUAUUCAUUUCAAAAAUUUCAACCAUUAGAGUCUAAUCCUUCAAAAGUACGACUCCCGAAUUUAAUUUUCGAUCUCAAAAUUCCCACUAUUCGCUUUCGUUCGCUUAAAUGUUAUGUUUGUGAAUUACUAUUAUUAUUCCAUAUUUAUUUAAAAAUUUUCAAUCAUUCAAGUUCAAUUCCUCAUAAUCCGACUUCCAAAUUUAGCUUUCAACCCCAAAAAUUCCACUAUUCACACUAUUUGCUUUUGUUCGCUUAAAUAUUAUGUUUGUUAAUUAGUAUUAUUAUUCCCUAUUUAUUUAAAAAUCUCAAUCACUCAAGUUUAAUUCUUCAAAAUCCGCCUUCCAAAUUUGACUUCCAACCUUAGAAAUUCCACUAUUCACUUUUAUUCAUUUAAAUGUUAUGUUUGUUAAAUGUUAUAAUUAGCUUCCAACCCCAAAAGAAUUUUUCAAUCAUUAAAGUUCAAUUAUUUAAAAAUCUGACUUCCAAAUUAAAAUUUCCAAUCUCUAAAAUUCUAUUUUUCGCAAUCAUUUACCUAAUAUUUAUUAUCUCGUUAUCGCUAUUAUUCCUUUCAUUUACUUAUUCACUUAUCUACUUAUUUAAAAUCUCUAAAUUCCAUUUCCAAUUUCCAAAAUUCUCAUCUUCGUAAUAAUUUAUCCAAACAUUAUUAUUUUCGUUAUUUUAUCCAUUUAUUUAUUCGCUCGUUCAUUUAUUUGAAAUUCCAUCCCUAAGUAAUUAAUUAAAUUUCCAAUCCCUAAGUUCAAUUUCCAAUUUUCGAGAUCCUAACUAUCACGAUUAUUUAUUCAAUCAUUAUUAUUUCGUCAUCAUUAUUCCAUUCAUUUAUUCAUUCACUUAUUCAUUUAUUUAAAAUUCCGACUUUAAAUUAUUCUUCAAAAUUCCGAUUUCCAAAUUUAGUUCCCUGAAAUUCCAAUUUUCUAAUUUCGAACUUAAUUUUCAAUUUCCAAUACUCCAAUUUUCGCAUUUAUUCCGUUACUUAUUUAUUAUCAUCAUCAUUAUUAUCAUUUGAUUAAUUUAUUUCUAAAAAUUAUGCCUUCAAAUGAUUUCCAAGAUUUUCCAUUUUUUAUAAUUCAAUUCCCAUAAUUUCUGCUCCUCAAAUAAUUUUCAAUUCUGAUUUCUUUUAAAAUUUAAUUUCCAAAGUCCCAAUUUUUGUAAUUUAAAUUUUUUUAAAAAUCCUGAACUCUCAAAUAAUUUUCAAAAAUUCCCACCUCUUUCAAAUUUAAUUUCUAAAAUUCUCAUUCUUACAUUUAAUUUCUAAAAGUCUGAUUUUCAAAUGAUACCUAAAACUCCAAUUUUCAAAUAAUCUCUAAGAUUCCAAUUUUCCAAUAAAUUUCAAAAAUCCAGUUUUUCCUCGAACUGUUUUAAUUUUUGUUUGGUGAUGCAUGUAAUGUGUUUUGUGCUCUUUAUUGUACACUGACCCCAUUUUUUUGAUAGCACAUUGCUCAUUCAUAGCCCAGGUACGCAUCCACUCCCAUUCUGGUCAUUCUCUAUGCAUGCUUUGAUUCCUAUAUGUGCAUGAUCGAUUUGAAUAUCUAUUGACUUUUUUAUUGAUUGCCGCGUCAGCUCCAUUUUAUUAGUAGAUACCCAACUUUAAGGACUUAGAGAGGUGUACGGUCUUUACCAUACAUUCUCGAUAAGUAACCUAACCUUUGAGCCCGAUCUGGUUUUUCACAGACUAUUUUUUCCAAAAUAAGGAGUCACGCUUAGGGUUUUCUUUUUUAUUUUGUUUACCUUUUUAAAAAUAAAACAAAAGUAAGUGGUGACUCCAAGUCAUUUCUUUUUUAAUAAAUAAAAAUCAUUUUCAAAUAAAAAUCGAGCUUGCCAUCGAGUGGAAAACGCAUGAGCUGAAAUGCAGGGUCCACAAAUAUAUUAUCAAUAUAUUGCAUUUUACCUUAAUUUUUUAAAUUCUAUUUAAAUUAUGUUAUAGCUUUGAUAUAGCUAGAAACUAUAAAGUAAAUAAGUAAUUCUAAAAUACUUAUGUAGCCAUAAGUUAUAUAUCUUUUUAUAACUAGAAGCUAUAAAAAAAAAAAAAGUAAAAUUGUUUUUUAUAGUAAAAAGCUAUUUAAAAAUAUUAUGAUUUCUCAACAAGAAGUUAUAGAAAAAAAUAAUAAUAACAAUAUAUUAUAUGAUUUCUAAUGACCAAAUAUCACGUAGACAAGUUAAUUUCGCAUAAUUUCUUAUAGCUAUAACCUUAGGUUAUGAAAUUUCCUCAUUGUCACAUGGUUUUCAUAGCUUUAAACUAUAAGAAUUUCUCAUCUUUGCAUUUUUACAUUGCUUUUAUAUAUAAUUUAAUUAGAACCCUCUAAAAAAUAAUCUAGAAAUAAAGCAUCAUACUUAAGAAUAUUUAAAUAAUAAAAAAAAUCAAAUAAUUGUUUAGCUUCUAGUUAGGAUAACAAUUUAAGCAUAGCUUCUAGCUAGUAAUAAGUCGUUCUUUUUUUUUUUUUUGAUAUUUGUAAUUUCAAUAUAUAAAUUUAAUUUCUAUAUGCUAUUCGCUUGUUGUAUGAUUUUGUAAUACUACAUUUUUGUAUAUAAAAUUUCACAUUUUUUCAUAAUAUAGAACUAUUAGUUUAAAUAUAUUCAUAAAAUUAUUGUAUCAACUUAUAGUCUGAAAAUAUAUAAAUUUUACAUAUUUUCAUAAACUGAAAUUAUGAAGAAAUUAUGUGAGCUGUUCAUUUAUAAAAAUUAAACUAUUGGAAUUCUUAAUUUACUACUAUUUGUUACAUCUCCCUUUAUUUUUUGGAUACUUUAACAGCAUUUUCUUUCUAUUUGAGAAUAUCUGAUCUUUUAAACCAAAUAUUCACAAAACAAAUUGGAAUUUUCAGGGGCAUGCGGCUUCUUAAAACUUGGGCUGGCCAAUAUCCCUAUUCUAUUGAGAUGCCAAUUUGGGCUGUGUUUGUACUGCCUCAACCCCAAUUGGGCCGAUACAGUUGAGCCCAAUAUGUAGUUUCUGCCUCUUUUAGUUUCCAAUGUCCACAUCCUUUAUUGAAAGACACAAAAUUUUGUAUUGAAACACAUCAGUACUGGCUCUGGUGAUGAGUAAAUGUGGUGCCAUCGUUGAGUAAUAGCUGAAUCCAUAUGUUAUGGGCUUGUUUAGAGAGUGGGCCUCUCGUAUCAUCCAGUGACCAUGGGUUCUUGAAUAAUUCUCAUUCCAGAUUAUAUAUCAAGUUAGAAAAUUGGAUUAGGCCCAAUGGGCUGAUCAAAUAUAUUGCAACCUCAAAACUUAGAUCAGAUUCAAACUUUAAAUAAGCCCAGCUCCAAUCGCUUGUUCAUGCCGACAAUGAGUCAACCAAUAGCAUAGAACCAAACCUUUACAUUUUAUUAUUAAGGAAUAGUUGACUUGUACAUAGUUUGACACUGACAUAGCCAGAAAUUCAAAAGAAAAAGUGAAAAACCAUACAGUAGGGCAAAACCCUCAACACCCUCGGCCGCUCACAUCAUUCAUUUAUAAGUUUAUGUGAAUGUAAUUCUCAACCAGAAAUGUCGAUGGCCUUGACAUCAGGUUUCUGGACCUCAGCCUUGGGAACAGUAACUGUAAGAACACCAUUCUCCAUGGCAGCCUUCACCUCAUCCACCUUCACAUUCUCCGGCAAUCUGAACCGCCGCAUGAACUUGCCGCUACUGCGCUCCACUCGGUGCCACUUGUCAUUCUUCUCCUCCUUCUCAACACUCCUAUCUCCACUGAUCUGCAGAAUCCUCCCUUCCUCAACCUCCACCUUCACUUCCUCUUUCUUUACCCCUGGAAGAUCGGCCUUGAAGACGUGGGCUUCCGGGGUCUCCUUCCAAUCAAUGCGAGUGCUCGCAAACGACGCCGUUUCCCCGGGAACCGAUAGAGCACCGCCGGUGAAUGGGAAGUCUUGGAAUGGAUCCCACAGGUCGAACGUGUUGUUCCGUCGACCGCCGAAGAAGCUUGGAAUUAGAGACAUUUUCUGAAAGUUUGUCGCAAGAGAGAGUGACGGAAUUGGAAUAUUGAAUUGCGUAAUGAGAAAUCAACACCUGUUGCUGUGGUACUGGUUGAAGAAAGUUCAGACUAAGAUAUUUAUAGUGGCAGACGAGGGUAGUUUCGUCAAAUUGUGUAGUGCAUUCCGGAUGCUUCAGGAAGAUAGGGAAGUAUCUAGACAGACCGGAUAUAACGCAUGAUGUCGCGAGUACAAAUAUCGGAAUACUCGCGACAUGGUGUUGCUCGAAAUCUCUGGAAAACGCGGGACAGCUGCAACAAUCAUCUUUCGGUGAUCGUACACAUGGGCCUAAACUAGUCAGCCCAGGUCCAAAUUCCAAAAAUCUAAGCCCAAAUUGUAAAUAUUUUUAAAUAGUCGUUCUAAAAGGAAAAAGUAUGCAUUCAGGUCUUUUUGUGAAAAUAAUUAAUAACGCAAUCCCUAGUUUUCAUGUUGCCCCGCUGGACAACUUAUUUGAAAAAUGAUACCUCUUAUGAACCAUCAAAUAGUUACUUAAGAGGUUAAUUUAAAGUUUAAAAUAAAUCCGCAUUUAAUUUAUAGCGCUUGAAGGUAUAAAAUGAACUUCUGAUUUAGGGCCUGUUUGAAAAACCGUUUUCUAGCCUGGUUGGAAAAAAGUUUCGAACUUAGAAAAUUGGUUUGUAAAAUUUUAACAGGAAUAUAUAGAAGUAAAAAAAAGAACAAAAGAAACUUUACCCUUUCCUGUUCCAUUGCACUUUCUGUUAUCAAAUCACCCACGUUCCGCUGCCCUGAAGUGGUCCAACACUUGGCCACGUCCUUCAUCAUGUAGCUGCUGUUAAGGAGCACGUUUCUCUCAACUGCUCAUCGUGUGGCAAAUCAGAGAAACGUGGCUUUGAUGGGAAGCCACGUUUUCUUUGUAUUUUAAAUAUCGGUCUUGGUCCCGAGCUCCUCUCUCAUGCUGCUGAAAAUCUUCAGAAACUACACCAUCCAUAAGGAGAGAUAGAGUUUUGGAAACCAAAGACUUGCAACCCAACAAUGGCUGGAGGUAAGUAUGGCAUAAGUUACAAAUUAAGAUUGUUUAUAUGCAUUAUGAAUUGCUCACAUUUGGUAUCAGAGCCUUGCAAUCUUGCCUCUGCCUUGGUGUUAGUUGCUUAGAUAAUUGUUUCCUUUCUGGAAAUAAAAUCAAAUAGAACAAGAAAUUGGGUGAAUGGUUCAGCUUUUGUGGUUUACUUCCACCUACAGCCAUGCCACCCAUUCAACUACACGUCUUUGAUCUAGAUUAUUUCUUCACCAUAAAACCCAUUUCUUUCUCUAUCUACAUACAUAUAUUAUAUAUAUAUAUUCACUACAUGNNNNNNNNNNNNNNNNNNNNNNNNNNNNNNNNNNNNNNNNNNNNNNNNNNNNNNNNNNNNNNNNNNNNNNNNNNNNNNNNNNNNNNNNNNNNNNNNNNNNNNNNNNNNNNNNNNNNNNNNNNNNNNNNNNNNNNNNNNNNNNNNNNNNNNNNNNNNNNNNNNNNNNNNNNNNNNNNNNNNNNNNNNNNNNNNNNNNNNNNNNNNNNNNNNNNNNNNNNNNNNNNNNNNNNNNNNNNNNNNNNNNNNNNNNNNNNNNNNNNNNNNNNNNNNNNNNNNNNNNNNNNNNNNNNNNNNNNNNNNNNNNNNNNNNNNNNNNNNNNNNNNNNNNNNNNNNNNNNNNNNNNNNNNNNNNNNNNNNNNNNNNNNNNNNNNNNNNNNNNNNNNNNNNNNNNNNNNNNNNNNNNNNNNNNNNNNNNNNNNNNNNNNNNNNNNNNNNNNNNNNNNNNNNNNNNNNNNNNNNNNNNNNNNNNNNNNNNNNNNNNNNNNNNNNNNNNNNNNNNNNNNNNNNNNNNNNNNNNNNNNNNNNNNNNNNNNNNNNNNNNNNNNNNNNNNNNNNNNNNNNNNNNNNNNNNNNNNNNNNNNNNNNNNNNNNNNNNNNNNNNNNNNNNNNNNNNNNNNNNNNNNNNNNNNNNNNNNNNNNNNNNNNNNNNNNNNNNNNNNNNNNNNNNNNNNNNNNNNNNNNNNNNNNNNNNNNNNNNNNNNNNNNNNNNNNNNNNNNNNNNNNNNNNNNNNNNNNNNNNNNNNNNNNNNNNNNNNNNNNNNNNNNNNNNNNNNNNNNNNNNNNNNNNNNNNNNNNNNNNNNNNNNNNNNNNNNNNNNNNNNNNNNNNNNNNNNNNNNNNNNNNNNNNNNNNNNNNNNNNNNNNNNNNNNNNNNNNNNNNNNNNNNNNNNNNNNNNNNNNNNNNNNNNNNNNNNNNNNNNNNNNNNNNNNNNNNNNNNNNNNNNNNNNNNNNNNNNNNNNNNNNNNNNNNNNNNNNNNNNNNNNNNNNNNNNNNNNNNNNNNNNNNNNNNNNNNNNNNNNNNNNNNNNNNNNNNNNNNNNNNNNNNNNNNNNNNNNNNNNNNNNNNNNNNNNNNNNNNNNNNNNNNNNNNNNNNNNNNNNNNNNNNNNNNNNNNNNNNNNNNNNNNNNNNNNNNNNNNNNNNNNNNNNNNNNNNNNNNNNNNNNNNNNNNNNNNNNNNNNNNNNNNNNNNNNNNNNNNNNNNNNNNNNNNNNNNNNNNNNNNNNNNNNNNNNNNNNNNNNNNNNNNNNNNNNNNNNNNNNNNNNNNNNNNNNNNNNNNNNNNNNNNNNNNNNNNNNNNNNNNNNNNNNNNNNNNNNNNNNNNNNNNNNNNNNNNNNNNNNNNNNNNNNNNNNNNNNNNNNNNNNNNNNNNNNNNNNNNNNNNNNNNNNNNNNNNNNNNNNNNNNNNNNNNNNNNNNNNNNNNNNNNNNNNNNNNNNNNNNNNNNNNNNNNNNNNNNNNNNNNNNNNNNNNNNNNNNNNNNNNNNNNNNNNNNNNNNNNNNNNNNNNNNNNNNNNNNNNNNNNNNNNNNNNNNNNNNNNNNNNNNNNNNNNNNNNNNNNNNNNNNNNNNNNNNNNNNNNNNNNNNNNNNNNNNNNNNNNNNNNNNNNNNNNNNNNNNNNNNNNNNNNNNNNNNNNNNNNNNNNNNNNNNNNNNNNNNNNNNNNNNNNNNNNNNNNNNNNNNNNNNNNNNNNNNNNNNNNNNNNNNNNNNNNNNNNNNNNNNNNNNNNNNNNNNNNNNNNNNNNNNNNNNNNNNNNNNNNNNNNNNNNNNNNNNNNNNNNNNNNNNNNNNNNNNNNNNNNNNNNNNNNNNNNNNNNNNNNNNNNNNNNNNNNNNNNNNNNNNNNNNNNNNNNNNNNNNNNNNNNNNNNNNNNNNNNNNNNNNNNNNNNNNNNNNNNNNNNNNNNNNNNNNNNNNNNNNNNNNNNNNNNNNNNNNNNNNNNNNNNNNNNNNNNNNNNNNNNNNNNNNNNNNNNNNNNNNNNNNNNNNNNNNNNNNNNNNNNNNNNNNNNNNNNNNNNNNNNNNNNNNNNNNNNNNNNNNNNNNNNNNNNNNNNNNNNNNNNNNNNNNNNNNNNNNNNNNNNNNNNNNNNNNNNNNNNNNNNNNNNNNNNNNNNNNNNNNNNNNNNNNNNNNNNNNNNNNNNNNNNNNNNNNNNNNNNNNNNNNNNNNNNNNNNNNNNNNNNNNNNNNNNNNNNNNNNNNNNNNNNNNNNNNNNNNNNNNNNNNNNNNNNNNNNNNNNNNNNNNNNNNNNNNNNNNNNNNNNNNNNNNNNNNNNNNNNNNNNNNNNNNNNNNNNNNNNNNNNNNNNNNNNNNNNNNNNNNNNNNNNNNNNNNNNNNNNNNNNNNNNNNNNNNNNNNNNNNNNNNNNNNNNNNNNNNNNNNNNNNNNNNNNNNNNNNNNNNNNNNNNNNNNNNNNNNNNNNNNNNNNNNNNNNNNNNNNNNNNNNNNNNNNNNNNNNNNNNNNNNNNNNNNNNNNNNNNNNNNNNNNNNNNNNNNNNNNNNNNNNNNNNNNNNNNNNNNNNNNNNNNNNNNNNNNNNNNNNNNNNNNNNNNNNNNNNNNNNNNNNNNNNNNNNNNNNNNNNNNNNNNNNNNNNNNNNNNNNNNNNNNNNNNNNNNNNNNNNNNNNNNNNNNNNNNNNNNNNNNNNNNNNNNNNNNNNNNNNNNNNNNNNNNNNNNNNNNNNNNNNNNNNNNNNNNNNNNNNNNNNNNNNNNNNNNNNNNNNNNNNNNNNNNNNNNNNNNNNNNNNNNNNNNNNNNNNNNNNNNNNNNNNNNNNNNNNNNNNNNNNNNNNNNNNNNNNNNNNNNNNNNNNNNNNNNNNNNNNNNNNNNNNNNNNNNNNNNNNNNNNNNNNNNNNNNNNNNNNNNNNNNNNNNNNNNNNNNNNNNNNNNNNNNNNNNNNNNNNNNNNNNNNNNNNNNNNNNNNNNNNNNNNNNNNNNNNNNNNNNNNNNNNNNNNNNNNNNNNNNNNNNNNNNNNNNNNNNNNNNNNNNNNNNNNNNNNNNNNNNNNNNNNNNNNNNNNNNNNNNNNNNNNNNNNNNNNNNNNNNNNNNNNNNNNNNNNNNNNNNNNNNNNNNNNNNNNNNNNNNNNNNNNNNNNNNNNNNNNNNNNNNNNNNNNNNNNNNNNNNNNNNNNNNNNNNNNNNNNNNNNNNNNNNNNNNNNNNNNNNNNNNNNNNNNNNNNNNNNNNNNNNNNNNNNNNNNNNNNNNNNNNNNNNNNNNNNNNNNNNNNNNNNNNNNNNNNNNNNNNNNNNNNNNNNNNNNNNNNNNNNNNNNNNNNNNNNNNNNNNNNNNNUUGUGAAAAUGUAUGGAUCAAUGCAUAUNCUUAAGGUCAGUGGGAGUAAAGUUGUUUCUUGUUUUAUACGUGGAUGACAUCUUACUUGCAACCAAUGAUAAGGGUUUACUUCAUGAGGUAAAACAAUUCCUCUCUAAAAAUUUCGACAUGAAGGAUAUGGGCGAGGCAUCUUAUGUCAUUGGCAUUAAGAUCCAUAGAGACAGAUUUAAAGGUAUCUUAGGUUUGUCUCAAGAAACCUAUAUCAAUAAAGUUUUAGAGAGAUUUCGGAUGAAGAAUUGUUCACCUAGUGUUUCUCCUAUAGUGAAAGGUGAUAGGUUCAAUCUGGACCAAUGCCCGAAAAACGAUCUUGAGAGGGAACAAAUGAAGAACAUUCCAUAUGCUUCUGCAGUCGGAAGUUUGAUGUAUGCUCAGGUCUGCACAAGGCCUGACAUUGCAUUUGCUGUUGGAAUGUUAGGACGAUAUCAGAGUAACCCAGGUAUAGACCACUGGAAAGCUGCAAAGAAAGUGAUGAGAUAUCUUCAAGGAACCAAAGAUUACAAGCUUAUGUACAAACGAACAAGCAAUUUAGAGGUAGUUGGCUACUCAGAUUCAGACUUUGCUGGCUGUGUUGAUUCACGUAAAUCAACAUCUGGAUACAUUUUUAUAUUGGCCAGUGGAGCUAUAUCUUGGAGGAGCGUUAAGCAGACCAUGACUGCUACUUCUACUAUGGAAGCUGAGUUCAUUUCUUGUUUUGAGGCUACUUCACAUGGUGUAUGGCUUAAGAGUUUCAUUUCCGGGCUUAGAGUUAUGGAUUCAAUAUCUAGGCCAUUGAGUAUAUAUUGCGACAAUUCAGCUGCAGUCUUUAUGGCAAAGAACAAUAAAAGUGGAAGUCGAAGCAAACACAUCGACAUUAAGUAUCUAGCCAUAAGAGAACGUGUUAAAGAAAAGAAAGUGGUUAUUGAGCACAUUAGCACUGAAUUGAUGAUUGCUGAUCCUUUGACUAAGGGCAUGCCACCGUUGAAAUUCAAGGAUCAUGUAAUGAACAUGGGGCUUAGUUCCCCUAUGUAGUUUUAUUGUACAAACUCUUAUUAUGAUGUUUUCUCAUAUUGAUGUGCACCUUUAUUUAAUUUUGAGAAAAUUCAACUUCAUUGGACCAAGAAUGAACAUAGGGUUUAUUCAUUAAGCAAUAUUGCCACAUAAAGUAAAAUGUUAAGAAAUGAAUACAUUGUAAUACAUGGAAGAUAACACUCGUUAUAAAGAGGACUUAUCGCCAUGAUUCAUAUAUUUGUUACUUAAUGCGGAAAAAUGAUGAUCUAAGAUAGGACAUGAGGUUAAAAGUGUGGACCAAGUGGGAGAAUGUUAUCAAAUCACCCACGUUCCGCUGCCCUGAAGUGGUCCAACACUUGGCCACGUCCUUCAUCAUGUAGCUGCUGUUAAGGAGCACGUUUCUCUCAACUGCUCAUCGUGUGGCAAAUCAGAGAAACGUGGCUUUGAUGGGAAGCCACGUUUUCUUUGUAUUUUAAAUAUCGGUCUUGGUCCCGAGCUCCUCUCUCAUGCUGCUGAAAAUCUUCAGAAACUACACCAUCCAUAAGGAGAGAUAGAGUUUUGGAAACCAAAGACUUGCAACCCAACAAUGGCUGGAGGUAAGUAUGGCAUAAGUUACAAAUUAAGAUUGUUUAUAUGCAUUAUGAAUUGCUCACACUUUCUCCUUUUUUUUUUUUGAUAUCUCAGAUUCUAGGCUAGAAGAGCCACUGCAAGAGUUUCCUCCCCUCAGAAUCAAAGAUAUUCCAGCGAUCCAUACAUGCGAGCUGGAAGCUUUUUAUCAACUAGUGGCAGCAAUGGUCAAUGAAAGUAAGGCCUCCUCGGGGAUCAUUUGGAAUUCCUUUGAAGACCUUGAACAAUCUGCACUAGCCACAAUCCACCAAGACUUUCAUAUCCCUAUCUUCCCUAUAGGCCCAUUUCAUAAAUAUUCACCAACUUCAACUACCUUAUCAAUCCAAGACCAUAGCUCUAUUGCUUGGCUAGACACACAAGCACCCAAUUCUGUGGUCUAUGUGAGCUUUGGGAGCAUUGCAGGAUUGGAUGAAACUGAUUUUAUAGAGAUGGCUUGGGGACUAGCCAACAGUAAACAACCCUUCUUAUGGGUGGUUCGACCUGGGUUCAUCCGUGGCUCAGAAUGGCUUGAACCACUGCCAAGUGGGUUCCUAGAGACCAUUGGUGGAAGGGGACACAUUGUGAAAUGGGCUCCUCAACAUGAAGUGUUGGCUCAUCCUGCUGUUGGAGCAUUUUGUACUCAUAGUGGCUGGAAUUCCACGUUGGAGAGUAUUAGUGAGGGAGUCCCUAUGAUUUGUUUGCCUUGUUUUUCUGACCAAAAAGUGAAUGCGCGGUAUGUAAGCCAAGUUUGGAGAGUUGGGGUGCAAUUGGAGAAUGGCCUGAAAAGAGGGGAAAUAGAAGGGGCAAUCAGAAGACUAAUGGUGGAGAAAUCAGGGCAGGAAAUAAGAGACAGAUGCAUUGCCCUGAAGGAGAAGGCAAAUCUUUGUCUAAAGCAAGGUGGCUCUUCAUACCAAACCCUUGAGGACUUGAUUAGUUACAUCUCAUCCUUUUUCUUCCAGUUUCAAGCAACUUCUUCAUGAUUACUGGAGGGUCUUUUAUAAUUGUUGUAGCGUAUUAUAAGCUGGUCAUUAGCUAGAUUUUCUAUUUUUCCUCAAAUUGUGACUGUUCUGCACCCACAUGGGUUACCAAAAUAAACCACUAAAAUUGUGGAGUUUACAUGCACCGGAGAAAGGGCGUUUGCUAAUAUUUCCUGAUCAUGGAUUCAUGGUAUCAUUGCGAAGUAAACUAAUUUAAUGCACUGUUCCCAGUCAACAAAUUUUAGAAAACCAUAAAACUUACACGUGAGGGAAAAAUGUGGUAAAUGGCAAUCGAAAGCCCCAAACCAUAUUCUGUUUGCUAGACGCUAUCGUGUGAUCCCCCAGUAAACACAGUAUAAAAAACUCCACUUUUCAAAAAAUUAUAUAGCAUCGCAGUAACGAUUAAUCAAUAAGAGAAGCAAGUCAAAAAGCACUUUGGGAAACAGAUCAUUUUAGCCUCCUGUAUUUAUUGGAUUUUGUUUGUUCCAUUGAAGCCAGGGCCAAUUCGAACGCAGCAGAAACUGGUCCCAAUCCUCAUAAAUAAUAGGCACCGUUUGCACCAACCUCCAAUUAUGCCUCCAUAAUUGUCUACUCACUAGGCCAAGUUUUCUGGGAAGAUCUAGACAACUUCGAAACUGAGAGAACACCCAGCCAAGCACCAUGGAGAACUCAAGAGAAACCCAUCAACAGAAGAAGGGUUUCCGACUGGUACUGUUUCCACUGCCCCUACAAGGUCACCUAAACCCCAUGCUUCUUCUUGCAAAUAUUCUGCAUGCCAAAGGCUUCUCUAUCACCAUCAUCCACACCCACUUCAACUCUCCCAACCCUGCCAACUAUCCCCUCUUCACCUUCCAUUCAAUCCCGGACGGCUUGUCUAAAACCGAAGCCUCCACCGCAGAUGUCAUAGCUCUCCUCUCACUCCUCAACAUCAACUGCGUCGCGCCUUUCCGGGAUUGCUUGUCUCAGUUAUUAUCUAAUCCUUCAGAGGAGCCUAUCGCUUGCUUAAUCACAGACGCUGUAUGGCACUUCACCCAGGCUGUUGCCAACAGCCUUAAGCUCCCUAGGAUGGUGUUACGCACCAGUAGUGUCUCUUCAUUUCUUGCUGUUGCUGCCAUGCCAUAUCUGCAGAAAAGUGGGUACCUCCCCAUAAAAGGUGAGUUUCUAAUUGAGUAAUUCCAUGAAACCAUAAUUACAACCAUUCAACAGACACAAAUGUACACUGUUCUAUGCCCAUAGGCUUGAGCUGGUCUAAUCAUCAGUCAGUGAUCAUACACAUCAAGGGAUAAAUAUAUGUAUUCUGAUCCUCUAUGUUUGCUCCAUGGGGAAUUCAUAUGCAUUUUCCUUUUCUCUUCUCAGAUUCUCAACUAGAGUCAUCAGUGCCGGAGCUUCUUCCACUCAAAGUCAAGGACCUUCCAGUGAUCAACACUCGGAACCCAGAAGAUUUUUAUCAAUUAUUUGUUAGCGCGAUCAAAGAAACCAAGGCUUCUUCCGGGCUAAUCUGGAACUCCUUCGAGGAUCUUGAAGAAUCUGCACUUGUCAGACUUCACCAAGAUUUUCCUAUCCCAUUGUUCCCAGUAGGCCCAUUUCAGAAAUACUUCCCAACCUCUUCAAGUAGUUUACUAGCACAUGACCACAGUUCCAUUACCUGGCUAGACACACAAACACCUAAAUCUGUGAUCUAUGUGAGCUUUGGGAGUAUUGCGACAAUGGAUGAGAAUGAAUUUCUGGAGAUGGCUUGGGGGCUAGCCAACAGCAAUCAGCCCUUCUUGUGGGUGGUUCGACCAGGGUUAAUCCGUAGUUAUGAAUGGCUUGAAUCACUGCCAAACGGGUUCCUUGAGAUGAUAGGUGGAAGGGGACAUAUUGUGAAAUGGGCUCCUCAACAAGAAGUUCUUGCUCAUCCCGCCACGGGAGGGUUUUGGACUCAUAAUGGAUGGAAUUCCACGUUGGAGAGUAUUUGUGAAGGGGUUCCAAUGAUUUGUCUGCCUUAUUCUGGGGACCAAAGGGUGAACGCGAGGUAUGUGAGCCAAGUUUGGGGAGUUGGGUUGCAAUUAGAGAGUGGGUUGGAGAGAGGGGAGAUAGAGAGAACAAUCAGAAGACUUAUGGUGGAGGAAGAAGGGCAGGAAAUUAGACGUAGAAGCAUUGAGUUGAAGGAGAAGGCAGACUUGUGUCUAAAGCAAGGUGGUUCUUCACACCAAUCCCUCGAGAGCUUGAUUAGUUACCUCUCAUCUUUCAAGGGACUCCUUCAUAAUUAAGUUCUAGAUGGUCUUCUGUUAUUGUUAGGAAUUCUCCUGAGCGAGGUUUCCAAAUAGGCUGGUUCUGUUUCUCACAAACGAUCCGUUGUCUUGAUUACUUCUUUAAGAUUGUGCUUAAAUAUUAUUUCAUACUAUUACCACAUUGAUGAUCACUAUACUCCUACGUAAAAAAAAAAUUUAGAGGUGAUUUCUAGCAAUUCUCCGAUUAAUUACCCUCAGUUUCUAGUACCACUAUUUUAUAAUAACUGGAUACAAAUAUGUCAGAUUGAUGACUGCUUCUUAAGUUAUCCUUAAAUGUAUAAGAGCUCGUUUGAUAGUGAUUUUAGGAAAAACUUUUAAUAUUUGAAAUUUUUAUUAUUCAAGUAUUAAAAAUAUUAAAAACGUUUUAUAAAAUUACUCCCGAACGCGCUCUAAGUCAAAAUUGUUGUUGGGGUUGUUGGUUCCAUUUUAACUUUUUUAAAUUAUAUUGUCAAGUCAAGGAAGCGCACUAAAAUACUUGGAAAACCAUGUUUGGGCUCCUUCAUUUAUUGGAUUGUGUAUGUUCAUUCACAUGGGUUGUUGGUUCCAUUUUAACUUUUUUAAAUUAUAUUGUCAAGUCAAGGAAGCGCACUAAAAUACUUGGAAAACCAUGUUUGGGCUCUUUCAUUUAUUGGAUUGUGUCUGUUCAUUCACAUGGGUUGUUGGUUCCAUUUUAACUUUUUUAAAUUAUAUUGUCAAGUCAAGGAAGCGCACUAAAAUACUUGGAAAACCAUGUUUGGGCUCCUUCAUUUAUUGGAUUGUGUCUGUUCAUUCACAUGGGCUUAGAUCCAAGUUGUACAAAAAUUGGUUUAGUUGGAUUUGCAGUUUUCCACCUAACUUUCAAGAUAUUGAGUGAGAGAUAACACCAAAACUGAGCAGACAAUGCUCAGCUAAGCACCAUGGAGUGAUUAUUUCAUUGAACUAAUAUGUACAUACCACUUUCCUAUGAAUCUUGUCUCUCACAAUUUAACUUUAGAUGAACCCUAGGCAGCUGAAAGGAACUUCUAAUUCGAUUACUGGUGAAGCAAUAAAGUUGGAAGAAACAUACAAAUAAUUAUAAUCCAUAAAUACUCAUAUUUAACAAAAUAAAGACUCCUAAUAAUAAAACAUGGAAACCUUCUCGUACUCUAAUAUUUGAAUAUAGAAACUAAAUUAAUCAUUCAAAUAAAAAUGUUCUCUUUGAUUUUUAAAAACUAAAUCUAGUUCUAAUUUUAGAAACUUCCUAAAUCAAGUUUAACUUUCUAUCAUGCCCUGUAAACUUGAUUUGUAACUCCAAGCACCAAGCACCAUUCUUAACCAUUUAUAAUCUUCAAAUUUGAAACAUUUUGUAAAAAUAUCCACAAUUUGAUUAUGAGAAUUUGCAAAUUUUAAUUACACUUUCUUUUUCAUGAUGGACUCCUUGACAAAAUGAAAUUUUGUAUCAAUGUGAUUGCUUUGAUCAUGAAAAAUCAAUGACUUCUUACCCUCUUGUUACUUGUAACUCUUUGGUAUCAAAUUUGCUUUGCAUCUCCCUAUUUUUCCUUUUACGUUCUUCUUUGUUUCCAAUACUUAUUUUAAUUGUUUUUUUUUCCUUUUAGAAGGGAUUUUAGUUUCCAUGUGUCAUUCUUUCUCAUUGCUUUUAUUUCCAUAACAUUUUGUCAUGUCUUAUCUUAAAUUACUGCUUUAUAAUCUAUUGGUUCAUAAUUUGUAGAAAGAUAAAAGAGAAUUAAAUUAUUUUGAAUAUUAUAUGUUACCUUAUUAAUAUUUUCUUACUAUUUAACAUACUUUGAGCGAUGUCAAGAGUAGUUUCAUUUUUUUUUUUCUCUCUAUUAUACUAUUUAUUGUGGAGGAUAUGAAAUCGUUAAAGUCGACAAAUUUUAUAAGCUUUACAAUAUUUUUCAAAUUGGACCUUAUAUGUCUACAUGGAUGAAUUUAAUUUAGAGGCUUUUUUACUCUUGUAAUUAUUUCCUUUGGAAAAAUUUUUUGAGCAUGUUUUUCAAGUAAGGGUCCUUUACAUAAUUGAUCCAUAAAAAGUAAUUCUUUCACCAGUUUCUUCUCUGUUAGCAACUUCAAUAUUCUAAAACUAAGAUGUCUAAAUCUUAAGUGUCAAAUCCAAGAGGAAUAAUGGACAUAAGAUUUUAAACAUUUUACAACAACAAUUUCAAUGUACAACAAAAAACAUUCAAUUUCUUGUUAUGAGCAUAUUAACAAUUAAAUUGGCAUAUUAUUGACCUCGUACUGAGAGACUUUGAAUUUCAUAUGAAUAUCAUAACACUUUUCUACGAGUUGACCCAAACUUAAUAUAUUAUUUUUCAUGUUGAACACAUAAUAGAUGUUCAAAAUAAAUUAAUGUCUUUCAUUUUUCAAACAAAUUCAGAUUUUACCUUUGCCUUUUCAUCAAAACUCAUCCAAAUAUGACAUAACCAUUUUUGGAUUCCUCAAGUGCUUCAAAAAGAUAUUUUUAAUAUCUACAUAUGAUUGUUUAUUUCAAUGUCAAGAUACCAAGUGUUUUUUUCCUUACUUUUCUCACUUAUAUACCAACAAUAAAGUAGGUUGUUCUUGAUUUUGCUUUUCAUAAUAUAUAUAUAGACUAACAUUAAAUUUGAGAUUUAUUUAUCAUACAUGAUUAUAACUUAUAUAUUGUGUCAUCUUCCACAUCCUCAUGAAUAAUAUGAGUCUUAACUUGUUCCUUCAUUGUUUGAUGAAUUCAAAUCACUUCUUCUUCUAUAAUCUUGACCAUAACCAUGUAUACGACUAUGCCCAUGAUUAUUUUGACUUCUUUCAUUAUCAAAAUUUUCUUCAUUCUCCUUUAAUAUAAGUUUAAUUUGUUUAUAGAAUUUGCUCAAGUUUUUGUUAGUUCUCAUUUUUAAUCUUUUCAUGAACUUGCAAUGACAACAUAAGUUACUCAAUGGCCAUGAAAUCUAAAUCUUUAGAUUCUUCAAUGGCCACAACAACAUAAUCGAAUUUUGAAUAUGUAUAUGAAUAUGGAAGUAUUUUUUUCAAUAACAUGAAUGUCAUUUAAACUUUCAUUGUGUCUUUUAAAUAGAAGAUUGUUUCAUUCUUUUACAUUCAAACUUUGAAAUUUCAUUUUUAUAUGCUUUGUAAUAUCUCACAAGCUUCUUUUAAGGUGGUUGUAUUUGAAAUCUUCUCAAAAGUACAUUCAUCCAUUAUUUAAUAGAUGGUGGGAAAAGGUUUCUUGUCUUUCCUUAUGUCUUUUAAAAAAGCCUUUUGAUUUAGGAAUAAAGUUGUUUUGACUCUUAUAACCUUUUUGUUACAUGUGUAAAAUUCCCACACAAGUUUUCGUGUCUAUGUAGCGCUUUGAAGCUCUCGAAGCUAACAACUUUUCCCUACAAGAUGACAACAACAUACAAGAUCCACAUGAGGUUUACAAGGCACCAACCCCAACUUGUAUUUUAUUAACUUACUAAAUAAGAAUACAAGACUUUAGCCAGACUCCCACAAUAACUUCAGUGAGUUGAGGCUUCUCUCAUGAUCUUCCUUUUUAGAUCUCUGUUAUGAGGCUCUUUGUAGUCUUUAUUUAAAGAGUGGCUUUACCCACUCUUUGUUAGACUAAGAUUACACAUCUUAGUUCUAAUGGGACUCUUACUGAUAGGUUGUGGCACUAACCACUCCUACAAGGGCUCAAAGUCCCACUUUUACUUAGACUACAAUUAUAAUAGGCAUUAAGACUCCCACUCAUGCUUAAUUUGUAAUCCCACUUUGAGUCCAACUCUUUGUGCUACUACCACGUACAUCUAUAUAUAUGGUUCAUGUAUACGCCAGAACCUCUUUUGGUAUACAUAUCUAGAUUGCAUUCGUAUCGAGGCAACAUGUUCUUGCAUCCGUCUUGUUGUUGCUACAACUCCAUACCUUGUCUAAGUUCUAUUCUUAGUGCAACAACAUGUCAUGACAUUGUGCUCAUGACUCUCCAUGCACAAGGCAUUGCGCCCUUAUGUAUUGAAUCUGAGUUGGCAUCGCUACUUCGUAUCGAUAUGCCUAUCUAUGUCUUUCUUAGUGUUGCACUUGCCAUGACAUUGCACCCAUGGCUCACCAAGUCGUCUUCCUUUACAAGACGUUGUGCCCUUGUACAACUUUGUUGUUGUCAUAGGUUACUCAUGAGGCUAAGGUGCUGCCUUAUGAGACCUUAGUGUUGCAUGGUCCAUAUCAAGGGGCUAACAAACCACCUUCACCUAAUGCAGUUGACGUUCUCAUCGACAUGGACUAUAGUUAGGCCUAUACUUUCUUUUUAAACUGCCAUAAUGUCAUAUCUCAUUCCCAACUUGCUGAUGAUUUAGGAUUGACUUUCCACUGAACUAGAUAAUCAACAUUUCAAUUUUUCUUGCUCAUUCCCAUAAUUCGAUGAUUCAAUAUUUCCUCUACCUCAUGAUGAAACUAUUUUUUGAUCAUAGGUGGAGCUCGUCUCACCUAUAUUUUUCUUGGGUCUAGGUCCUCAUGAUAAGGUUUUAAAAAGCUUACAUGGAUUAUGAGGUGUAUCUUUAACCUAUUAGGCAACUUUAAUUUGUAAGCUACAUAUCCUACCUUUUGCAUCACCUCAAAAAGUUUGUCAUAUUUGGGAACUAACCCCUUUGCACAGUCUUGCUACUAACAUUUUUCCAUAUCUAAGGGGUUAAUAUGAAAUUCCAAGGGUCUUUCGCCUUUGCGUUUGCAUACUUUUUCAUCCUUCUUGUGACUUUCUAUAAGCUCUCACAAGCUUCAUCGAGCAUCUCCUACCUAGACCUUGCAAAUUUGUAUUUUGUAGGACAACUACCACAAGACUUUGGCUUAGCCACAUCCAAGUGCAUAAUUGGCUAUUGCUCUGUGGCCAACUCGAAAUGACUCAAUCAUGUUGUCGAACUCUUCUACAAGUUAUAGGAUAACUGAGUUAUCUUCAUUAUAUCAACCCGGUUCUUUUAUGUUGUAGAAAGAUAGCGUUUGGGGUACUCUUCAAGUAAAAUGUUGAUAUGCUUUGUUUGGCGUCUGUUUGCAGAUAAUUUGUAGUUGAAAACUUCAACUCUAAACCGAGGAGUUUGAAUAUUUUGGUCUAAAACUAGCUAGUGAAUCAGACAUCACGAUCACUUACUAUGUCUUUAAGCAACCUGAAGUACUUGACCACAUGGUUGAAAAAUAGCCUAGUUGUCUCUUUUGCGAGACAUGCAUGUGGUGUAGGCAUGAAGACAACAUAUUUAGAGAAUCUAUCAAUUUAUUAUAAUAAAAAUAGAUUUGAAUUCCCCCACAUUUGGAAAGCCACCAAUGAAGUCUAUUGAUAUGCUUUCCUAAGGUCUCUCUAGGAUAGGGAAAUGUUGCAACAUUAACCCCACUACUUUCUUCUUCUCUGUCUUGUCUAAGCGACAUGCUAAAUAAGAACGGGCAUAUGCUUGGACAUCCUCUCUCAUUUCCGACAAGUAAUAGGACUUGGACAAUAGUGUUGGUGUCCUUUCUUUAAUAAGGUGACUUGUCCACUUGGCCUCAUGGGUCUUUUUUAACAACUUCUUACCUAAGCACUUCCUAGUACAUAUAGUUUGCUUCAUUUAACCACUAAGAGGUCAUCUUCUAGUUAUAUUUUCUUGUUGUCCCAUCUCUGACUUGUUAUUUCAUUUUCUCAUAAGUAGAAUCAAGCUUAGUAGCCUACUUGAUGCUUUCAUUAAAAUCUAAGAUCACAUGUGAUAAAACAGUUACAUACUUUGUCACCCUCUUCUGGCUUAAGGCAUCUACAACUACAUUAUGUCUUCUUGGUUGAUGCAACCAAUCAAACUUGAAGUUGGUCAGGAAUUCUUGCCAUCUAGCUUGCUUAAGGCUCAACUUUUUCUAAGUCUUGAAGAAGGUAUUAGUCGCAUUGUUUGUGACUAUAGUAAAUAUACUCCCAAAUAGAUAAUGUUUCCAUUGCUGCAAGCAAUGGAUAAUUACUGUCAUCUCUUUCGCGUGAGUGAAGUAUCUUUGCUUUGCCUCAUUGAGCUUCUGACUCUCAAAGGCUAUUGGGUGUCUUUCUUACAUUAGGACUUUUCCUAAGGCCUUGGCUGAUACAUCUAUCCGGACCUUAAAAAACAAAUCCAAAUUCAGUAGAUGUAGCACCGACUCAGUUGAAAUAACCACUUUCAACUUUUCAAAAUCUUUAUGGCAUACCAAGCUCCAAUUCUAGAGGAUAUCAUUCUUUAAAAGGUUAGUUAGGGGAGCUACUAUCUUGGAAUAACCUUUUAUGUUCAAUAGUAGUUUGGCAGUUCCAAGAAGGAUCUUAAUUUUGUCACCUUACUUAGAGCAUGCCAAUCUCUGAUGACUUGGACCUUUGCUUUAUCCAUCUUAAUCAAACCUUCCCUUAUCUUGUACCUUAGAAAGGUAAUAUGUUUUUGUGCAAACUCAUAUUUCUCCUUUUUCACAUAAAGUUUGUGUUCUCUUAAUCUUUAGAAUAGUAGUUUCAGGUGAUGCACUUGGUUUUCUUAUUCUCUCUAAGUGCAAAUUCCCACAUAAGUUUUCGCGUCUAUGUGAUGCUUAGAAGCUCUCUAAGCUAGUUUACACCUUUCCCCAUGAGAUGGUAACAACACACAAGGCACACAUGAGGUUUAUAGGUCACCAAUCUUAACUUGUAUUUUAUUAGCUUACUAAAUAAGAAUACAAGACUUUAGCAGCUUCCCUCAUGAUCUCCAUCUCUAGAUCUUUAUUAGGAGGGUCUUUGUCCUCAUUUUUUAUAAAGUGAUGCCACACACUCCUUGUUAAACUAGGAUUACACAUCCUAGUUCUAUUGAGACUCUUAUUGAUAGGUUGUGACAUCAACCAAUCCUAUUAUGACUCAAAGUCCUAGUCCUACUUAGACUACAAUUACAAUAGGCAUUAGGACUCCUACUCAUGCUUGACUUGCAAUCCCACUUCAAGUCCAACUCGUCGUAUUGCUGCCACAUGCAUCUAUAUAUAUGGCUCAUGUGUGUGUCAAACCCUCUUUUGGCCUGCACAUUCAAAUUGCAUUCAUGUCACGACAACAUGCUUUUGCAUCCAUAUUGUUGUUGUGGCAACUCUAUGCCUUACCCAAGCUUUUUUCUUGAUGCAGCAACAUGUCAUGACAUUGUAUCCAUGAUUCCUCGCGCAACAAGGCAUUGUGCCUUUGUGUAUUGCAUUUAAGUCAACAUGCUCCACAUUGAUGCCUCAUUCGAGUCUCUCUUGGUGCUCCACUUGGCAUGAUAUUUCACCUAUGGCUCACCAAAUUGUCUCAUUGCACUAGGCAUUGUGCCCUUAUAUAUGCCACCUUGUUGAUGUCAUAGGUUACUCAUGAGGCUAAGGUGCUAUCCCAUGAGACAUUAGUGCCACAUGGUCUAUGUCAAGGGGUUAACACUUUCCAAACAAGACAUUUAUCCUUAUACUCAAAUUAUCGUAAUUAUUUUUAUUGAAUUUGAGGAGUUCAAAUGAAUACCUCCUAUUUUUCAUUUUUUUUUUGUAAUAAUAGAGAAGAAUUUAAAAUUUAUUGUUUUCAUUUUCUUAUUCAUAGAUUAUAUAAUUUUUUAUUUUUAAAUACUCAUAUCUAAUAAAAUAUAAACUCAUAAUAAUAAAAAUAUAGGAAUUCCCAACAAUAAAAUAUAAAAACUUUUUACAAGUCAAUUACUUAUAUAUAAAAACUAAAUCCAAUUGUUUAAAAUAAAAUAUUUUCUUUUAACUUUUAGAAGUUAAAUCUAAUUCUAGUUUUCAAAAAUUCUCAAUCAAGUUUACUUUCCAAUAAUUACUUAAAUUAAAUGCCACAUAAAAACCAGAUAAAAGACUUUCACAAAUCUAAACAGGAAAAAAAAAAUAUAAAAAAACAAACUUGCAUCCAAACCAACUAUGGUCCUCUUAAUUAUCAUAUCCUGCUCUCUGGGGUCCUUUUAAUUAUAAUAUAUGCUCUCACAACGUGUUGAAAAAAGAAAAAAAAGAAAAAGAAAGGGAGAGACAUGAAGGAAAUAUUCCCAGAAAAAUGUCAAAAGAGAGGUAGAAAACUAUCCCAAGCACCCAAGCAAGAAAAAUACGUACGGGCUAUUUUAUUUUCUCACCAUGUUGAAAAGUUUUAAAAAUAGAAGGGAAAGUUAAGGUUUUGGGCUGGUGAUGUGAAAAAUAUAUGAUUUUAAAAACACAAGUAUAUAAAAUAUGAGAUUCAAUAUGAGAUUCAAUUAUUAAUAGGUAAAAUAAUAUCCAAAAUGUGCACUAUCUCCUAUUUACUUUUCUUCUUCCUGUAUUACCCCUAAAUUUCUCUGUGUCAUGAGCAAAUUUUCCCCAUGUCAGCAGAACAAUUUCAAACUUUGAACUCAUUCUCAAAGUUGAAACAUAAAGAAACCCAAACUGAGAACCAAAAGUAGGGAAUCUUUCUUCUGGUCAUUUUGCCCUAACCCCCAUAUCAGGAAAUUCCCAAUUUCUAAAUUUCUCGUCUUCUUCCCACAAGCCCCUUGUUGAAUUUGCUUGCUACCUUUUCAUGUCGCGACAUUUCGGCCGAAAAUAUCGAAAGCAAGACAACCCUUUCCUUUGGAACGUGAUUAUCAAAUCUUUCUCAUAUUUCAGAUACGUGGGUUUUCAAAACCAUAUAUGUUCCAGCCUAUAAAUACAACUUUUCCUUUUUAAUACGCUUGCUUCACUUGCUCCAAUUUUAAAGUGCCCAAAAAAAAUUUCACUUGCGUAAUUUCCUCAUGAAAAUGUCUUCCAUCGGAACUUCAAAGGGAAUCCUGGAAAUCGGAAAGUUCGCUCUCUAUGUCUCAAUCCCGAUUGGUCUGAUGUAUACUUUGGCAAACAAUUCCGAGAAUAUGAAGAAGCUCAUCCAGAAGGUUAUUCUCUUUCCUCAGCGGUGCUAUGAAAUUGGUGUGUUCUGGUUAUUGAAUCCAUGAUUACAUGACACUUGGGGAUUUUUUGAAGUACAAGAGAAGAAAAUGGACCAUUCUGAAGCAUUUUCUUUUUCUUUCAUCCGAAUGGUCCUUAGUUUGUGGAGAUAUUCUCGAUAGGGAUGAACUAGUUUUUCUUUAGAAGAUUGAAUCGAGAUUUAUUACGUUUUUGUGGUUUGGAAAAUCCUUAUUAAUAAUUUAUUUAUUUUUGUUUUUUGUUUUUUAUUUUUUUAUUUUGUUUAGUUAGUAGUAUAAAAACAUAGAAAACAUAACUUUGAAAACAUAAACAACAAUGCCAAAUGCCUUUUUCAGUAUUUUUUUUUUAAAUAGAAAAUAAUUAUUGAAAGCACUUCCUAAAUAUCCUCUAACUAUAAGUUAUUUUCAAUAAUUUUUUUUAUAAAAAAUAUAGAAAACUUUAAAAAAUAUAAAAAACAAAUAAAAUUGAGUAUGAUAUCAUUCUUUCACUCUCUUCACGAUCCAUUACUAAAGAAAAAAAAAAAAUUCUUCAUAUAUGAUAUUGCUUUGAAUUACCUAUUUUUAAAUUUUUUUUCUAACUUUAAAAUUUUUCAUUAAGCAAAUAAUUUUAAAAUCAAACUAUACUUGAUACGUAAAAUUUAUUAAUUUUUAAAAAUAAUUUGAAACUCAAAAAUCGAUUUAAUUAGUACUAAAAAAUCAUGAAACUUAAUAACAUUAGAAAGUCAUGAACUCAAUUUGAAUGACUUAAUUGGCUAGUUUCUUCUUUACAUGUAAUCAUAUUUUUACAAUUUUUUCACAAAGAAAAUAAAUUCUAAAUAAAACAACACCAAAUAUAUUGGAUUCAUUACAAGUUUAGUAAUUUUUAAAAAUAACUUGAAACUCAAUGAUCCAAUUAAAACUAUAAAUUUGUGAAUAAAAAUCGAUUUAGAAUGACUUGAUUGUUUCUCUUCUCCAUAGAAUCAUUUUUUAAAUAUUUUUUUAUUAGACAAAUAAACUCUAAAUUAAAUAAGACUUAAUGCAUUACAUGUGUUAAUUAACAAGUUUAGUAAUUUUUAAAAAUAAUUUGAAACUUAAAUAGUGAUCUAAUAAAUACCAAAAUUUAUGAACAAAUAUUGAUCUACAAUGACUCUGUUAUUUAUUUAUUUUACAUAUAAUUAUAUUUUUAUAAAUUUUCUCAAUAGAUAAAUGAACUUCAAAUCUAGUGAUAUUUUGUAUUGAAUUAUUAACCGUGUUUAAUGAUUUUUAAAAAUAAUUUAGAACUCAAAAACUAUAUAGAUUACUAAAAAAAAUCAAAAUUGAUAAAUUAGAAGUCAUGACUUUAUUGUUUGUUCUUCACACACAACUAUAUUUUUUGAAUUUUGUUACAAAGUAAAUAGAUUUGAAAUUAAGACAUAGUUAAGAAUUUAAAUUUUUAAGGACAUAAGAUAAAAGAAUACAUAGUUUGACACUGAUAUAGAAAAAAUCCAAAAGAAAAAUCAUAUAGUAAACAAAAAAACAACCCUCAAUUAUGCUACCUAUCAAUUAUGCAAUUUAUAUGGAUCAAAACUUAAUUUUUAGGGUCAGUUGGGUCCAAAACACAAUUGUUCUAUUAAGAUAUUUGUAAUCUGGGCUUGGAUUUAUGGAAUAUGGUCAUGGGCUGACUACUUUAGGCCCAUGUGUACUGCUAUCCAAAGGGAUGAGUCUCAUGAAUGUUGCAGCUGUUCCGCGUCUUUCCAGAGAUUUCUAGCAACACAAUAUCGCGAGUAUUCCGAUAUUAGUACUCGCGUAAACAUUUAUAUCCAGUCUCUUUAGAUACUUCUCUAUCUUCUUGAAGCAUCUAGAAUCCACUACACAAUUUGACGAAAUUACCCUCGUCUGCACCUAUAAAUAUCUGAAUCUGAACUUUCUUUCAACCAGUACCAUAGCAACAGGUGUUGAUUUCUCAUAACGCAAAUCCAAUGUUCCAAUUCCGUCACUCUCCCUUGCGACAAACUUUCAGAUAAUGUCUCUAAUUCCAAGCUUCUUCAGCGGUCGACGGAACAACAUGUUCGACUUGUGGGAUCCGUUCCAAGACUUCCCAUUCACCGGCGGUGCUCUAUCGGUUCCCGGAGAAACGGCGUCGUUCGCGAACACUCGCAUUGAUUGGAAGGAGACCCCGGAGGCCCACGUCUUCAAGGCCGAUCUUCCUGGGGUAAAGAAAGAGGAAGUGAAGGUAGAGGUUGAGGAAGGGAGGAUUUUGCAGAUCAGUGGAGAUAGGAGUGUUGAGAAGGAGGAGAAGAAUGACAAGUGGCACCGAGUGGAGCGCAGCAGCGGCCAGUUCAUGAGGCGGUUCAGGUUGCCGGAGAAUGUGAAGGUGGAGGAGGUGAAGGCUGCCAUGGAGAAUGGUGUUCUUACUGUUACUGUUCCGAAGGCAGAGGUCAAGAAACCCGAUGUCAAGGCUAUCGAUAUUUCUGGUUGAGAAUUACGUACAUGAACUUAUAUGAUUAAAGCUUAAUUUUUGAGCUCAAUUUUAUCCCUGUCUUAAAAUGCAUCAUAAAAGGAAGAGCAUGCUUUGAGGGCUUUUUGUAGAAAAUAAUGAACAAUGCAGUCCCAACUUUUCCUGUUGCUCGGCUGUACUCAUUUUAAAAAUAAUUACUUUUACGUACCUUCAAAUAAUAACUUAGAGGUUAAUUUAAGGUUUAAGAUUAAAUUUUACUUUUUGCUGCUAAAACAAAAUUAUUUUAUAAAAAGUGAUAAAUUAAAAAUAUAAAAAAUUAUAAAAUGUUGAACUAAUUUGGAGCUCAUUUGACUGUGUGAUUAAAAAUUAUUUUUUAUUUUUAAAAAUAGAAAAUUGUCUUUAAAAAUUCAUUAUAUUGUUUAAUUGUUAUGUUUUAUUUUACGAUUUUUAAAAACAAAGUGAAAUAGAAUAUAAUUUUUAAAAAAUGAAAUCCUGUGUUUUUUAAAACAGUUUUAAAAAAUAUUUUUUAAUAAUAGUUUUUGUUGUUUCUAGUAAUAAAAUUAUGUUUCGAACUAAAUUCCAAAAAACAAUUUUUUGGUCUAAAAGAAAAAAUGUUUGAUUGAAAUAGUAAAAAAUAAUUUAAUUAACAAGUAUUUUUGUAACUUUCUUUAAUCAACUUAAUGUUGUAAAAAUAACUAAUUUUUAGAUAAAAAAUUUGUAGAUUUUCAUAAUUUUAAAAUUAAAAAAAUUGUAUCCAUCCUUAAAUAUAAAAAUUGGUUUUUUCUUUUAACUUUUUGCACUAUCCUCCCUUCACCCCCUAAUUUUUUUUCUUUCUUUUAUACACUUUCUUCUUUCCUCUCUUAAAAUCUCUCUUAUGAUAUCUCUUUCCCUCUUUUUUUCUAAUUACCUUGGUUUCCUCCCCUGGUUCUCCUCUUCCCCUUUCUCUUCUCUUCAUCUCAAUUUCCCUCACUUCUUUCUCUCUCUUUCUUUCUCUCUUUCCCAUAUAUUUUCUCAUUUAAAAAUCACCCAUAAUCAUACCCUACAUCAUAUUCACCUCCGUUACCUCAUUUAUGUUCAAAUUGCAACGUCACUAGCAUCACCCACGACCACUAUUGUUGCCAAUUUAUUUUUUUUUGGACAAAGAAAUAGGAUUUUUUUUAAAACAUUUUUCUAGAUAGUAAAUUGGGAUUGGUGUGUAACAACGUGCUCUCAACCGUGUAGAUGUUAUUCGCUUUGGACCCAAGGAGCCAUCACGACUUUAAAACACGUCUUGAAAGUUAAGAAGAAUUUAUACUUAUAUAGUGUUAGGAACUUUCCCCCUAUCCGAUGUAAGAUGUCAUAAACACUCCUUAUGCAAACACAACAUUCUCGUUGUGUUCCACAAGAUUGCGAUAUCAAAUAAACAAACACCUUUUAUGGGGCCAAACAAACCCCCACAUCGGGGUCGAGGAUCAGUUUUGAUACAAUUUAUAACGAUCCGCUCUCAACCAUGUAGAUAUUGUUUGCUCUGGACCUAAGGAGUCCUCACAAAUUUAAAACACGUUUUCAAAAUUAAGAGGAGUUCAUACUUAUAUAAUAUCAACAUUUGUAACUAUCCACACCCAAUCAUGUAAAUAUUGUUCGCUUUUGGCCCAAAGAGGCCUCAUAGCUUUAAAACGUGUUUGCAAGGUUAAGAAUAACCCAUAUAUAGUGAAAAAAUAAAGGCUAAUCUUAAUUAGAAAAACACCCCAUAAAGGAAAAUGGUAAAUUGAAUUUUAAAAAUUCUUUUUCAAAUACAAUAAAUUCAAGAAAAAAACACAAAUAUAAAGAAAAUAAUGUUAGAGAGAGCAAACUCGGAUUUUAUAGUGGCCUACAUCCACUCAUUGAUGAAAAUGUCGAUAAUCACAAAUAUAUCAAUACUUCAAUUUUACGGAUAUAUCGAUGGAUAUUUUGAAAAAAAAUUUCGAUAGUCUAGAAUUGAUUAAAACUUAUGAAAAUAUUGAAAAAAAACUGUAAAAAUGAUAUAAUAAACAAUAAUAGACAUUUUAAAGUUGUUAUAUAAAAAAAUAAUAAUGUAUGUAUAUGAUAUAAUUAAUCAUAUUUGAUAAUAAUAGUGCAUGUGUACAUAAAAAAAUAUAAAUUUGAUCAAUUUAUUAAAUUACAUCAAAUGUUAUUCAAUGAUAAUAUUGUGAUAUUUGAUUAUAAUAUAUCUCAGUUUAAAAUUAUAAUUUAUUUAAUUUCAACUGUAUUAAAUGAUAUAAAAUAAAUGACGAUAUAUGCAUAAUUUUUUUUAAUAUUUAUAUUUUUUUAUAUUUAAUUAAUAUAUAAAUGAUAUAAAAAACUGUUAAGAAAAUUAUAAUGAUAUGUUUUAUAUUUUUAGUGAUUAAUGAAAUGAAAUUUAAAAAUAAAAUAAUUAGAAUUAAUUUGUUUAUUAAAAUAUUUUUUAAUAUUUUUUUUAUGCUAGUUUUACUAUAUAUUUAUCUUGUGCCUAUUAUUUAUCAAGUGGGCAAGUUAGCUCAGUGGCCUUACCAAGAUAAGACUGAAAAAUCGUUGAAACAAGCCGAAAUUUUCCAAAAAAUGGCCUCAUCGAUUUUUUGCAUGCUUGUUUCAAUAGGCUUUAUAUUUUUAGUGAUUAAUUAAAUGAAAUUUAAAAAUAAAAUAAUUAGAAUUAAUUUGUUUAUUAAAAUAUUUUUUAAUAUUUUUUUAUGCUAGUUUUACUAUAUAUUUAUCUUGUGUCUAUUAUUUAUCAAGUGGGCAAGUUAGCUCAAUAGCCUUACCAAGAUAAGACUCUAUUUGUUUUGGGUUUGGGUGGGGUUCAAGUCCCACCUCAUGCACAAUUUCACAUUUUUUGAGGCUUUGACUGUGCGUUAACUGAUUUGACUGCGCAUUAAUUGAAGUGAAAAAUUAGUAAAAAUCCAAUUUUUUUUUAAUGAAAAAUCGCUGAAACAAGCCAAAAUUUUCCAAAAAAUGGCCUCAUUGAUUUUUUGCAUGCUUGUUUCAUGUUGUUGGUCAUCAAUUCACAAAAUUUCGGUGAAAUUUUUCAAAAUUUUCAUCUGUGUCCACUCUUCUUAAACUCUUAAUCGAGUGAGGGUUCCACUAUACCUAAAGUUUCAACUAAGCUUCCAAUACCUUUACACUUGGAUUUCGGUUCUAAUGGGCUCUUACACAAUCCCUUCAAGUUUAUACUCACUUGAAACUUCUAACUCUCACAAAACACUCAAAGUACAGAUUUAAACUUCUCGACCUAGUUCAACAAAUGCUCAAAUACAACUCAAAUGCUAAGAAGAAUGACAGGGGUGCACUAAAGAAUAUGCAAGUGAGGAUUUAAUGCACCAAGAAAAGUAUGUGAGCUUUUAGGUGAAGAACUAAUAGGUAAAACGAUUGAAUGUAGGUGUUCUUGUGCUCAUAAAUGAAAUGGAGCUCUCAAUUUAUAGGUUAUAGCCUUAGGAGCCAAAAUGUCAAAAAGUAACCUUAACCGAUCAAGUUGGGGGUCGAUUGGUUGACUAGUCGUUGGGUAAUAAAUGCAUGACAUGUGACCGUUAGGCCUCGAUCGAGCCUCGAUCGAAACUCGAUCGAGCCUCGAUCGAAACUCGAUCGAAACUCAAUCAAGCCUUGACCGCAAUUCAAUAAAGCCUUGACCGUAACUUAGCCGGACCUCGACCAGGAAGACAUAACCAUCGACCAAGAAUGCAAGGCUAUUGGAAGAGAGAGAAAAUAUUUUUUGCAUCUCUCGAUCGACCCUCGACCGGGAAGGCAUAACCGGUUGACAGGUACCUUAAUUGAUUGAUCCAGUUGACCAGUCCCUUGACUGGUUCACAUUUUUUGCCUAAAAACCUAUAUUUUUCUAUUCCUUUCACUUCUAACACUUAGGAAAAGUCUUUAGGUCAAUGAAUAUGUCAAAUUUGAAAUGAUUUACUUAAGGUUCAUUUGUUAAAACUCGAGUUUUAAUGGAAUUUUAACUUUAAUGCAUAAACCGAGUUUUUAAAUAUGCAUGAAAAGAUACGAAAAUCCUAAGUGCACCCAUGCAUUCAUCUUAUGGAUGUUUCAUAAGAUUAAAAGGUCUUUUGUAUGCGUCGAUCUUGCUUCCAUUGGUCAUUUGAUGAAUUUCUUGGAUGUUCUUUUGAAUUUCCAAACUAAAACAUGAAAUUCUUUUUAAUUCAAACAAAUUAGCAACUUAACCAUGAGUUGUUAUCAUCAAAACAUGAUUAGGAGAACCCUUGGGUUAACAUAUAUCACUAGUAACUUCCUCUCUUAUCCGAUGUGGGAUAUCACAAACACUCCCCAUGCAUACACAACGUCCUCGUUGUGUUCUAUGGGAUUGUAAGGCCAAACAGACAAACACACUUAUAAGGUGAAACAAACCCCCACACCAGGGUUGAGGAUUAACCUUGAUACCAUUUGUAAUGAUUCACAUUCAACUUUGUAGAUAUUUAUAAUGACCCACUUCCAACCCUGUAAAUAUUAUUCGCUUAGGGUUCAAAGAGGCUUUUAUGACUUUAAAACGCGUCUACGUGGUUAAAAGAAUCCUCUAUAUAUAUUAUGCCAUGAACUUUCCCCUUUAUUUGAUGUGAGGUUAAAUGGAUAUGCAGUUUGUUUCAAUUUGUUUUAUGAUGCAUUUCUUGAGGGUUUGUUCUCUAUGUAUUUUUUGUGUUCUCCAUAUUGUUUUUGAUGAUUUUUUUUUGUUUAAUUAAUAGUAUAAAUAACAUAGAAAACAACUUUAGAUUGUUCUUAAUAUGAGAAUAUAGAGAAUAACUUUGAAAACAUGAAGAACAAUGCCAAAUGCCUUUUUCAGUGUUUUUUGUUUUAUAAAAUAAAAAACAAUUUUUGGAAGCACUUUCAAAACAUCCCCUAAGAAUGAGUUAUUUCCAAAAAAUUUUAAAAUAAAAUAAAAAUAUAGAGAAAUUAAAAAAGAACAAAUAAAAUUGAUUAUGAUAUCAUUCUUCUCUUCUCUCCAUGAUCCAAUACCAAUAUAAAAAAAAUCUUCAAAUAUGAUAUUAUUUGGAAUUAGUCGAAUUUAAUUUUUUUUAACUUCUCUAAAAAUUUUCAUUAAACAAAUAAAUUUUAAAUCAAACUAUACUUGAUACAUAAAAUUUAUUAAUUUUUAAAAAUAAUUUAAAACUCAAAAACCGAUUUAAUUAAUACUCCAAAGUCAUGAAACUCAGUAACAUUAGAAAGUCAUGGACUAAAACUCAAUUUGAAUGACUUAAUUAGCUAGUUUCUUCUUUGCAUGUAAUCAUAUUUUGCAAAAUUUCACUAGGAAAAUAAACUUCAAAUGAAGCAACAUUUAAUAUAUUGGAUUCAUUAAUAAGUUUAAUAAUUUUUAAAAAUAACUUGAAACUCAAAUAAUGACCCAAUUAAAACCAGAAAUUUAUAGAUAAAAAUUGAUUUAGAAUGACUUGAUUGUUUCACUUCUCCCUAGAAUCAUUUUUUUAAAUAUUUUUUAUUAGACAAAUAAACUCCAAAUAAAAUAAGACUUAAUGCAUUAAAUGUAUUAAUUGACAAGUUAAGUAAUUUUAAAAAUAAUUUGAAACUUAAAUGGUGAUCCAAUAAAUACCAGAAUUUAUGGAUAAACAUUGAUUUACAAUAAAUACCAGAUUCUAUUAUUUUUGAGUUUUUCUUAAUAUUUUUAUGAUAUUUUUUUAUCAACUUUCAUUCAUUGAUAUUUUUUGUUAAAAUAUCUAUUGAUAUUUUUAUCCGAUAUAUUGGUAAAAUCUAAAUAUCGAUAUAUUCAUAAUUAUCGAUAUUUUCAUAAUUGAUAUUAAUAUCUAUAUUUCACUAAAAACUAUUUAUUUUUUAAUUUACUUGUAAUUACACAAAUAUUUUCAUUUUUAUAAGAAUUGAAUUGAAUUAAAUUAAUAUUAUAUAAAUUGAAUUUACAAUAUUUUAUAAUAUAAAAAAUAAUUUUAUAAAACAACUUAUCCAAGAUUUUUAUUUUUUAAAAUAUGUUUUUAAAAACAACUAACCAAACACACUUAAAUUUAUAAAAUACUAAAAAACUGUUUUUGUUCUUUCUUUAAAACAAAUAGAAUAAAAAAAAUGAUGAAAUAGACCCUGUUUAUUUAUUUAUUUAUUUUGACACACUUCUUCUUAUGUGUUUUUGAAAUAAAAAAAAAAAAUUGAUAGUCACUUCUAUAUAAAAUAAAAAAACUCUUUAGGUCUUAUUUUAGAAAAAUAAUAACUUCUAAAAAUGAUUUAAAAUAAUAGAGAUAUUAAGGUAAGUUUAUAUAUAUACUUUUUAUAUUAAAGUUACUAUAUUUUAUAUAAAAGUUAUCAUUAUUUAUUUUUUUUAAAUAUAGAGUGAGAAAUAUAUCGAAAUGAACACUUAGCGGUAAUUUCAAUAUAUUUCUUAUUUUUUAUUUUUAUAAAUAAAAAAUAAUAAUAACUUCUAGGAGAAGUUUGAAAAAUUACAAAUUAGCAAGUAGAAGAGGAUUAAUAUUACAUCCAUCCCCAUUGACAAAUGAAUGAUUUACCCAUUCACUAGGGUUUCUUUUUAAUAGAAUAUAUAUAACCAGUCAUGAAACAAAUCACCGGUUUUGCUUGGUGGGCUGGGAAUGCCGAUCUUAUCGAUUUAUCUGGUAAAUUAUAAUGAUUUUAAAAUUGAUUAUAAAGAGUUUUAGUAUCCCAAAUUUAAAAUUUUAGAAUUAUUGAAAAAGGGUUUUAAGUACAGAAGAUAAGGAAUGCAUAGCUUGACACUGACAUAGCCGAAAUCCAAACGAAAAACCAUACAGUAAACAAAAAACAACCCUCAAAACUCACGGCCACUCCGGCUGUCUCAUCAUUCUUGUAUAAAUUUAAGUGCAUGUACGUAAUUCUCAACCAGAAAUAUCGAUGGCCUUGACAUCGGGUUUGUUGACCUCUGCCUUGGGAACAGUAACAGUAAGAACACCAUUCUCCAUGGCAGCCUUCACCUCCUCCACCUUCACAUUCUCCGGCAACCUGAACCGCCUCAUGAACUGGCCGCUGCUGCGCUCCACUCGGUGCCACUUGUCAUUCUUCUCCUCCUUCUCAACACUCCUAUCUCCACUGAUCUGCAAAAUCCUCCCUUCCUCAACCUCUACCUUCACUUCCUCUUUCUUUACCCCAGGAAGAUCGGCCUUGAAGACGUGGGCCUCCGGUGUCUCCUUCCAAUCAAUGCGAGUGUUCGCGAACGACGCCGUUUCUCCGGGAACCGAUAGAGCCCCGCCGAUGAAUGGGAAGUCCUGGAAUGGAUCCCACAGGUCGAACAUGUUGUUCCGUCGACCGCCGAAGAAGCUUGGAAUUAAAGACAUUUUCUGAAAGUUUGUCGCAGGAGAGAGUGACGGAACUGGAAUAUUGGAUUUGCGUUCUGAGAUAUCAACACCUGUUGCUAUGGUACUGGUUGAAGAAAGUUCAGAUUCAGAUAUUUAUAGGUGCAGAUGAGGGUAAUUUCGUCAAAUUGUGUAGUGGAUUCUAGAUGCUUCAAGAAGAUAGAGAAGUAUCUAAAGAGACUGGAUAUAGUGCAAUGUUGUCGCGAGUGCAAAUAUCGGAAUACUCGCGACACGGUGUGCUCGAAAUCUCUGGAAAACGCGGGACAGCUACAAAAUCCAUCCUUUCGGAUGGCAGUACACAUGGGCCUAAAGUGGUUAGCCCAUAUCCAUAUUCCGCAAAUCCAAGCCCAGGUUAUAAAUAUCUUAAAAUGCAUGGUAAAAGGGAAGAGUAUGCUUUGACGACUUUAUGUGAAAAUAAUUAACAAUGCAGGCCCCGCUUUCAUCUUCCACCUUAUUUAAAAAGAUAGCCUUACGUGAUCCAUCAUAGGUCAUGUUUAGUAUGCAUCACAUAUAUUAGGACACUUAGCAUGAGAAAUUUAUCAAGACAAUGACAAAUCAUUUAUCUAAUUAGAAGAUAAUGCACUACAACUUUUAUUGGAUUACUCAAAUUUAUGAACUAAUUGUGAACAAUUUAUUUACUUACAAAGAACCUAUGACUUAUAUCAUUUGUGUAAUUUCAAAUGUAUUUAAGUGAUGUACAAUAUAAGAUAUAUGAGCUGAGUGUUUAAAUCAAUAUCAAUGUAUAAAAAGGAUAACAAAGGAACAGUCAAGUCUAACUUUGUUAUAUCAUGUCUUGCUUUUUUAAUCCCAACAUAGACAAUAAUUACCAAUUUAUCACAUGUCUCAUUGAAUAACUCAAUUAUGAAUUUCCAAUUAAAGAUCUUGUGUCACGCCCCAAAACCCGCUUCAAGGGCAUGAUGAUCAUUUCACACUUCAAGCCUAAAGGCUUAGAGUGGAAACAACACAAACAAUCAUAUUACAACUGGAAAUUUACUAAUCACCAAAUUCCUGUUCAGAGUAGUAGAACAAAAAUUCUAAAAUCUCCAAAUAACAAUUUUUGAAACUAACACAUCAAACCAAGUGUUAUUGUACUAAUAACUUCAAACUCAAAUAAUUCCAAUGUAAAAUAAAUUUUAACAUCUAACAAUGCUCAAAAUAAAGGGAGUUUUGACAAAAGUCCUAACAAGCCAAUUUCCCUUCCUAAUUGUAACUCCUCACCCGAACUAAGGGUACCUGAAAAUUAUCUAUAAAGGGGAAUGAACUCAAAACCCAAUAAAGAAUAUUAAUACAACUUCAUGGAUCAAAUAGUUUCAAUCAUGCUUACAAAUAGGAGAUUUAGUGUAAAAUCAUUUUCAUAAGAACGUUUGAGUACAAAUAUGCUAAUACAUUUUAAGGUGUUUAACCAAACAUUUUCCUAUAUAUCACAGUCAUUUCAUAUCCAUUUCAAAUAAAAUACAUUUCAAUUGUUUUCACUUUGGUUAUCAAAUAACAAAUAGUGCCGAAUUAAGUGGGACUUUACAAAUAGGUGGUUAGCCUCAAAUAUUCAUUUUAAGGUGGACGAAAUCAAACACUACUAAUACUAAUAACCUCUAACCAAACCCCUAGAGGAUAAGGUCCAAAUCAAUUACAUUUCUUACCACAAAAAUGUAAAUGUCAACUAUUAUAUUCCAUUGACAAGGGUUAAAAAGUCAACUAUUAUAUCUUAUUAACAAGGGUCAACAAACCAGAGUCAAAUUCUUUAUUUUACUUAAUCCAAUGUACGAAAGCAGAAAAUCCCCAAGUAUUUCGAUAUAAACAAAAUAAAUGUUAUAAGAUAUUUUUCCAUACAAAAAUAUAUUUGAUCCAUGCUUAAAAGCAAAAUUAACAAUUACACAUUUCAAACCACACACACACACCUCAAAAGAAGUCCUCAAAAACCUACUUUUCACCUAACAAAAUAUAAGAGAAAUAAUCAUUACUAUUUAUAUAAAAUUAUAUGUUUAACAAUUCUAAAAUUUUAGGUAUUCAAAUUAAUGUUUUUAAUUAUGAAAGAUAAUUUAAUCUAUUCCUAUUUUAGAAAAAUUAAUAAAUUUCUAAUUCAUAUAAAACUUAAAUUAUAUUUUCAAUUUAUUUAUUUACUUUUUGGGACACAACAUAAUUUAAUUAAACUACAAUUUUUUUCGCUAAUUAAAUUGUUUGCUACUUAUUAACUUAAUAUUUAUAAUUAAUCUAAUUAUAAUACUAUAAAUUUAACUAAUUAAUUUGUACUUCACCUCGUUAAUUAUACAUAGUUAUUUAUACCACUUUCUUAUUUUUUCAAACACAACUACCAUAACAAUCAUACACUCCAUGUACAAAGCAUGCCUCAUUAUUAUUAUCACUUUCAUCAUUCUUCUAUCUUCCGGUUUCCACAUGCAUGCAACUUUUUUUUUUCCAUCGUUCUUCUAUCUUCCAAUUUUCACACGCAUGCAAUAUAUGUAUAUAUAUAUUUUCCAUUGUGACAUAGUUUCAAAACCUAUUUAUUAUUAUUACACACUAUUAGAAAUCAUCCCAUACAUUGAAAUCUUAUAAUUUUUUUUCCACUCCCACAUAUUAUCAUAUAUUUAUUUACUCAUUUAAUUUUUGAAAUUUCAUUGCUUAGAUAUAUUCAUCUAAAAAAAAUUUGAAUUUCCUUAUUUUCAUCAAUAGAAUAACCUAUAUUUCUAAUUUCAAUAUUUUGACCUAAAAGUUUUAAAAUAAAUCAAUCAUAGCCUAAAUCGAAAUUUUCCAAAGAAUUUUUUUUUUCCAUCUAAAAACUUAAGGUUUUCUAAUUUCAAACAAUAAAUCAAAAUCUUAAAUUUUCAAUAUUUUGAUAUUAAAACGAAUUAAAAAAAAACUAACCUUAAUUUAAAUUAAAUUUUUUUCAAAGAAUAACUAGAGUGUUCAGAACUAACUAACGAAUAUAAUAUAUUAAUUUAGGGUUAGAAUCUUACUUGGAAAAAAAAAUAUGAAUUUCAAACUCUGAACCUUUAACCCUUGAGUCCUGCAAUCUCCAAUUCUCUAAUUCUAGUUGAUAGGGUUUUUUGAAUGAAGAAGGCAACAUGAAAAUCUAAUUUAUACCUAGGAUUUUUAAUUGUAAAAGAACUCUUUCACCUUUAAUGAAUUUAAUUAAUUACUUAAUUACUUUAUAAAUUACUAUUUUGCCCCUAUAUUAAAUUUGGGGUGUUACAUCUUGACCUUUUACAUUAUUUUCUUGGAAUGGAGAUUAAAUAUUUUGAUAAAAGAACAUUUCUUUCUCAACAAAAAAUAUAUGCAUGAUCUACUUUCAAGAACUAAAAUGCUUUACAAUAAUCCCAUUGCUACACCUCCAGUUCUUGCAAACAAGCCUUCUUUUUUAGACAAUGUCUUAACCGAUGCUAUUGCUUUCCAAAGUGUUGUCAGAACCCUUCAACUUUCAUGUGGUUGGAUAUUAUUCAUACAAUUAAUUGGGUAUGUCAAUAUUUUUAUAACUUUGUUAUAACUCACUUGAAGGUUGUAAAGUGCAUCUUAAGAUACCUUAAGGGAACCCAAUACUUUGGCUUACGUUAUCUUUCCAUCAAUCUAAUAUCUCUUUAUAGGUUUAGUGAUGCCGAUUAGGUAGGUCGUCCCAUUAUAAGGAGCACCAUCGGUUAUUGUGUAUUUAUUAGAGUGACUUGCAUCUUUUGGUGUUCAAAGAAACAACCAAUAGUUGCUAGCUUGAGUAUCGAGGCAUAAAAUCGCUCUUUGGUCUUUUUCACUAUGGAGUUAACUUGGAUUACUUAUUUGCUAUGAGAUAUUAUCAUAUCCAUCUCUAAACUACUACAAUUAUUUUGCACCAAUGUUAGUCUCUUUACUGGUACAUUAACUUUAUGUUUCAUGUUUGUUCUAAAUAUAUUAAGCUUAAUAAUCAUUUUGUGUGAGAUAAAGUUGUUAUGAACAUUUUUAUGUUUCCACACAUUCUUAACUUGCGGAUAUUAUUACCAAAUCUUUAUCACAUGAUGUCUUUAUUAUGUUUUGUGACAAGCUAAACAUCCAUAUUCAUUCAUACUCUAAUUUGAGGGGCAUGCUAAACGAUUUAGGAUAAGAACACACACAAAAAUGUAAGAGCACUCUCAUUAAUAUUUUCAUAAAUAUAAAAAAAUCAAAUAUUGAUAAUAUUUGAUUUUUACAAUACUUGAUUCUCCUAAUUUUAGGAUAUUUUCCUAUAUGUAUUUUUGUUAGGAAUAUGUUUUAUUUCUUUCAUCGUAUACUCAUCUAUAUUUUUGGACGGAAGAAAUAGAAAUUAUAACUUCCAUUAUCAAAAUACACCAAGCUUUACAUUCUAAUGAUUGGAAGUAUUUUUAAUUUAAUUUAACUUUUUUAUUUUUUAAAUAGGUAUUUGUCAGUUUUUUAAAAAUCAAUAUAAAAUUUUUCAUAAAAUACACCAAGCUUUACAAUCUAAUGACUGGAAGUGUUUUUAAUUAUUUAUUUAAUUUAAUUUAACUUUUUUAUUUUUUAAAUAGGUAUUUGUCAGUUUUUUAAAAAUCAAUAUAAAAAAUUUGAAAAUUUACUUGAAAUGAUUUUGACAAUUACUUGAUAAGUGAUUAUUGAUAUAUCAAUAAAAAAUAAUAUCAAAAUAUUUUUUAUUUUAUAUUAAAUAAUAAGGAUUCAUUUGAAUACAUUUCUUUAUUGAUUUAAAUUUUAUUUUCUAUUUUUUCUUUCUUUAUCUAUAUAACAUUUAUAAUUAUUUAUUUUUUAUUAUUAAGGAAUAGUUGACUGGUACAUAGUUUGACACUGACAUAGCCCAAAAUUCAAAAGAAAAAUCAUACAGUAGGGCAAAACCCUCAACACCCUCGGCCGCUUACAUCAUUCAUUUAUAAGUUUAUGUGAAUGUAAUUCUCAACCAGAAAUAUCGAUGGCCUUGACAUCAGGUUUCUGGACCUCAGCCUUGGGAACAGUAACUGUAAGAACACCAUUCUCCAUGGCAGCCUUCACCUCAUCCACCUUCACAUUCUCCGGCAAUCUGAACCGCCGCAUGAACUUGCCGCUGCUGCGCUCCACUCGGUGCCACUUGUCAUUCUUCUCCUCCUUCUCAACACUCCUAUCUCCACUGAUCUGCAGAAUCCUCCCUUCCUCAACCUCCACCUUCACUUCCUCUUUCUUUACCCCUGGAAGAUCGGCCUUGAAGACGUGGGCUUCCGGGGUCUCCUUCCAAUCAAUGCGAGUGCUCGCAAACGACGCCGUUUCUCCGGGAACCGAUAGAGCACCGCUGGUGAAUGGGAAGUCUUGGAAUGGAUCCCACAGGUCGAACGUGUUGUUCCGUCGACCGCCGAAGAAGCUUGGAAUUAGAGACAUUUUCUGAAAGUUUGUCGCAAGAGAGAGUGACGGAAUUGGAAUAUUGAAUUGCGUAAUAAGAAAUCAACACCUGUUGCUAUGGUACUGGUUGAAGAAAGUUCAGACUAAGUAAGAUAUUUAUAGUGGCAGACGAGGGUAGUUUCGUCAAAUUGUGUAGUGCAUUCCGGAUGCUUCAAGAAGAUAGAGAAGUAUCUAGAGAGACCGGAUAUAACGCAAUGAUGUCGCGAGUACAAAUAUCGGAAUACUCUGGUGUUGCUCGAAAUCUCUGGAAAACGCGGGACAGCUGCAACAAUCAUCUUUCGGUGAUCGUACACAUGGGCCUAAACUAGUCAGCCCAGGUCCAAAUUCCAUAAAUCCAAGCCCAAAUUGUAAAUAUUUUUAAAUAGCCCUUCUAAAAGGAAAAAGUAUGCAUUCAGGUCUUUUUGUGAAAAUAAUUAAUAAUGCUGGACAACUUAUUUGAAAAACGACACCUCUUACGAACCAUCAAAUAGUUACUUAAGAGGUUAAUUUAAAGUUUAAAAUAAAAUUUUACUUUUUUUUGGCUAUCAUAAAAUUAUUCUAUAAAUAGUGGUGAUAAAUUAAAAAAAUUAAAUAAUUUUAAAGACAACUUAAGUGUUAAAGUAAUUUAGAGCCUCUGUAGUAUAUGAGUAAAAACAAUUUUUUGAUGUUAAAAAUGGGAAGUUAUUUUUUAAAAAUUCAAAACAUUGGACGACUAAUAUUCUACAUUUUCAUAUUAUAAAGCAAAGUAAAAUAGAUAAUAAUUUUUAAUAAAUAAAUAAAUGAUGUUUUCACUUGUUUUUUAAAAUAUAGAAAAAUAAAAGAAAAUCAUAAAAAGAAACAAAUAAAAUUGAAUAUGAUAUUCUUCCUCUUUUCAUUUCAUAAUCCAAUACCAUUAUAAAAAAUCUUUAAAUAUAAUAUUAUUUUGAAUUACGAAUUUUAAUUUUUUUUAACUUCUCUAAAAUCUUUCAUCAAGGAAAUUAAUUUCUAAAUCAAACUAUACUUGAUUUGUUAAUUCAUUUUAAAUUACUUGACUAGUUUUUUUUUUUUCAUAUAAUUAUAUUUUUAUAGAUUUUUUUCACAAGAAAAUAAAUUCCAAAUCAAGCAAUACUUAAUGCUUUAGUAAUUUUUAAAGAUAGAACGAAACUCAAAUAGUGAUAAAACUAAUGCUUUUAUGGACAAAAAUUGAAUUAGAGUAAAUUAUUUAUUGUUUUUCUUCUUCAUAAAAUCAAGAUGUUAUAGAAUAAUGUAACCGUAGUUAAGUAAAAUGUGUGAAUAUAAUAAAAAACUUGGUUCAUUUAUAUUUUAAAAAUUUUAUUUUGUUUUAGAUUUAUUUUAAAUAAAAUAUUAUUAAAAAUUAUUAUCCUUCAUUUUUAAUAUCCAUAUUUUUCUAACAUAUACUAAAAUAGUAUUUUUUUAAAAAUAAUAUAAUUUAUGACUUAUUAUAAUAUUGCUAUUCAUAUUUUAAUAAAAAAUAUUUAUUUUUAAAUUUAUUUGUAAUUACAAAACUAUUUUCAUUUUUAAUAAGCCCCGAAUUAAAUUUAAUUAAUGUUAUAUAAAUUUGUUAGCCCAAGGGUUCUCCUAAUUAUGUUUUGAUGAUAACAAACCAUAGUUAGGUUACUAAUUGGUUUAAAUUAUAAAGAAUUUCAGGUAUUAAUUUGGAAAUUCAUCAAAGGACUUAAUGGAUGCAAGAUUAAGACUUUUGAAAGACCUUUUAAUUAUAGGAAACAUAUGUAAGAUGAAUGCAUGGAUGUACUUAGGAUUUUCAUAUUAUUUCAUGCAUCUUUGAAAAUUCGGUUUAUACAUUAAAGUUACAUUUUCAUCAAAAUCCGAGUUCUAUUAAAUGAACUUUAGGCAAAACGUUUCAAAAUUAACCUAUUAUUUUACCUAAACACCUUUGUCUAAGUGCUAGAAGCAAAAAGAUAAGAAAAAAGAUAGGUUUUCUGGCCAAAAAUGGUGAACCGAUCGAGACAUUGGCUAAUCGGUUAGGGUACUGGUUGACCGGUUACUCUUUCCCGGUCGAGGUUCGAUUGAGAGAUGAAAAAAACUUUCUCUCUCUUCCAGUAGCCUUUCUUUCUCGGUCGAGGGAUUUGUCUUCCUGGUCAAGGUCCGGUCGAGGGUAACGGUCACUUGUCAAGCAUUUAAUACUCCAACAACUAGUAAACCGAUCGACCCCCAGCUCAACCGGUCAAUGCUACUUUUUGAUUUUUUGGCUCCCGAUGUUAGAAAUCUAUAAAUUGAGAGUUUCAAUUCAUUUAUGUGUAAGAGAACACCUGCAUUUAUCUGUUUACCUACUUGUUCUUGCCAUAAAAGCUCUCAUUAUUUUCUUAGUGUAUUAAAUCUCUAUUUGCAUAUUCUUUAGUUCACCUUUGUGAUUCAUCCUAACCUUUAGUUGUAUUUGAGUCAUUGUUGAGUUAGGUUGAAAGAUUCAAACUUGUUAAUUGAGUAUUAAAACCUUCAAAUGAAUAGAGACUUGAAGAGAUUGUGUAAGAGGCCAUUAGAGUCGGAAUUCAAGUAUAAAAAAUGAUUAAAAGCUUAGUUGAAGUUUCAAGUAUAAGUGGAACCCUUAUUCGGUUAAUAGUUUGAGGAGAAUGGAUGUAGGCAAGAAAGUGUCAAACCAUUAUAAAUCUGAGUUUGCUUUCUGUAACCUUAUCUAUUUAUAUUUGUACUUUUUGUGCUUAAUUUUAUUAUAUUUAAUUUUUUUUUAAAACUCUAAUUCACCCCUCCUUUCUCGGGUGUAUUUAUCUACUUAGAUUAGUCCUUUAUUUUUCUCAAAAUUGAAUUUAUAAUAUUUUAUAAAAUCAAAAUAAAUAAUUAUUUUUAAAAACAACUUAUCUAAAUAAGUUUUUAUUUUUUAUUUUUUGAAAAAUGUUUUUAAAAGCAAGUAGCUAAACACCCUUAUUUUCAUGCUCUUUUUUUAUUAUUUUAUGCUUUUUAUUUUUAUUUUUCUUCCUUUAUCAUUUUAAAAAAAUAUUUUCUUUUGUCGCUUUCACACUAUGUACCUUAUUUUACAAAUAAUCUCUCCCACAUAUCUUCAAAUAGUUACUUAGGCAUGUUAAUUUUUUUGCUUUUUAACUUACGUCUUAAAGCAAGUUGAUUUAAUACUUAAGAUAGAAUUAAAAAAAGAUUUAUAUUUUUUAUUAAACAAAAUUGUCUUAAAAAAAGUGAUAAAUUAAAAAUAAACAAUUUUAAAUGUGACUUAAAUCUUAGAUAAAGAAAAAAGUAAUUGGAUAUUUAACAUUAUUAAGUUAAAGAAAGAAAGAAAAAAAAAAGAAAUUUGACAUCUAAGUCUUUAUUCUAAAAUCGUUUUUUUUUACUUGCUUUAUAAAUUCUUUUAGUAUAUUAUGAGAAAUGUUAAGGACAAUUACUAUGAGUGUAAGGAAAAUCGGAAAAAUUGUUAAACUGAUUUAAAUCAAUCAAAAUUGAUCAUAAUGGUCCGAUUUUCAAUAAUUAAAAAGUUCAGUUUGGUUUUAGAAUUUUGAAAAUUGAUCUUGUAGGUUCAAUUCUCCAUUUUCUUGUCUCUUAACUAAUAAAAACGGAACUAAAUUGAUAUUCUAAAAUUUAUAUAUAAUUAUUUAACAUUUGAUAAGUUUUUUAAUAUUAAAUUCUACUAAAGUAAUUAAUUGCUUCUUAACAUCAAAUUCAACUUGGUUUCAAUUAAUUUUAAAAACAAAUUAGACUUAGAGCUUAAUAUAAACUCAAAUUAAUAGGUUUUAGGUUCAAAUUAAAUGCAAAUCUACAACUGAAUUUAGGACUAAAAAACCCAUUAAAUUAAGUCAAAAUUGAUCUAUGGAAAUCGAACCAAAUUGAUCUUAGAAGAUUUGAGUUAGUUUGAUUUUUCACUCUAAAUCUGAUUGGUUCGGUUUUUAUGACAUAUAAAACCUAUUAUAUAGAUUUGGUUCAUUUUUUACUCAAAAAUUGACCAAAUUAAUUUUAUUUAUACCCCUUUUAAUUACCUUUUUUUUCUUUACCUUUAUUUUUUAAAAUAAAAAUAAAAAUGAACUUCCUUAUCAUUCUUAUUUCCUUGUUAAUUUUUAUUCUUCUCUCAUGUGACAUAUCACACACCAUUGUCGUCUUUUUUUGUUUUUUUUUUCUUACUCUUUCUCUAUCUAGUUUUGAUUUCUUAUUCUCUCUUUCCAUCUAUUUUUAGUUAAAUAAAAAUCGAUGAGGUGGUAUUGUUGCUCACUAUUUUUUUUCUUUUAUGUUUUAGUUAAAAAAAUUGAAAAAAUGAAGAGGAAGAGAAGAAAACGAAGAAAGAAUGAAAGAGAAGAAAAAAAUUAAAAAGAAACAAAGAAGAAAAAAGGAACAAAAAACUAGAAAUACCCAUAAGAGUUUUGGAUGAGAUAAGAAGGAAGGGGAGGGUAUUUUUACCUUUUUCAUACUUAAAUUUUAUUAGAAUAUAUAUAUAUAUAUAUAUAUAUAUAUAUAUAUAUAUAUAUAUAUAUAUAUAUAAUGGUGAUGACUGUGAAGGUAUUCUUCCUCCAAUAAGAAGAUCCAAGUAAUCAUCAGCCUUAUGUCCUUCUACCAACAAGAGUAUUAUCAGCCAAGCAUUUUCAACACCAAAAACAGUAAGCAUGUGACAACACAGUCCAAAGUAGCUUGUUAGCCUUCUUUUCAACCGAAAGAAAGAUUCUCGAUGAAAAUGUCAAAAGUGCUACAGUAUCAUCUUUUACUGUUCACUAUUCACUAUUCAUGCACAAGAUUACUAUUCAUAUCAGUUAGUAAAAAAGAAAACAGUGCUUUGUCCCAUCUUUUUGGCUAUUUAAGGAGGUUUGAUCCUCAUUUGUAAGCAUCCUUUAAUUUUUCAUUUUUCUCUCCCAAGCUUAUGCUCUCCCUUCUCUUUUCUUUCUCUCUCAAUAUGUAAGUCUUCCAAGCCCCAAGCUUUCUUCAAAGCUUUCCUCCCUUCUCCUAUUGUAAGAUAUUCAUCUCCUUAUGUAUCUAUAUUUUAUGUUAUACCUCCUAUGAUGGAUGAUUUUUAAGCUAUGUAAAUUUUCAAGUUUGUUUUAUGUUUUCUGUUUACCUCCUAUCAUGGAUGAUUUUAAAUUUAUGUAAUUAAAAGUUUGUGGUUCAUUCUCUUUAAAUUUCUUAUUAUUUAUCUUGUGUAAUUUCUAACUUCUCUUUUUUGUUUUGAAUUUUGACAUAAUUCCUGUUUUCAUUGCAUAUGAUAUUGUCCAGGGUGUCUAUGGUAUCAAAACAAAGAAGAGGAGUUAGAAAAUACACAAGAUAAAUAAUAAGAAAUUUAAAGAAAAGGAACCACAAACUUUUAAUUACAUAAAUUUAAAACCAUCCAUGAUAGGAGGUAAACAAAAAACAUAAAACAAACUUGAAAAUUUACAUAACUUAAAAACCAUCCAUCAUAGGAGGUAUAAUAUAAAACAUAGAUACAUAAAAAGAUGAAUAUCUUACAAUGGGAGAAUGGAGGAAAACUUUGAAGAAAACUUGAGGCUUGAAAGGUUUAUAUGUUGAGAGAGAAAGAAGAGAGAAGGGAGAGCAUAAGGUCGGAAGGGAGAGCAUAAGAAGGAGGAUAUAUAUAUUAUUCUACUUUUCAUAAUAAAUUUCUCUCACUCUCAUCUUUAUAUUAUAUAUAUUUUAUUUUACAAAUAGUCCAUCUAGAGAUUAUUUAUUUUCUAAUUUAAGUCUUAAACUAAGUUGCUUUAAGAUUUAACAUACAAGUGAAAAAAAGUUAUUGUUUCUAUUAAGAUCAAAUUUUCUUAGAAAAAGUUAUAAGUUAAAAAACAAAACAUUUUAAACAUGACUUAAAUGUUAGAACAACUUGUUUUAAGACUUAAGUAAAAAAGAAAUAAAAAUUUAAUAUUUAAUACUAUUAAUUCAAAUUAAAUAAAAUUAAAAUUUAUUUAUAUUUAAUAUAAAAAAAAUGCCUAACUUAUUCUUUAUUUCAAAAUUGACCUUCUCUCUUACUUUAUCAACACUCCUACCAUAUCAUGAAAAAUUAUGAAAACUCACAUCUUUUGUCUUUUCACUUUUCACCCUUAGUUUUUUUCAAAUAAAAAUAAAAGUUAAAAGGGCAAUUUUAUUAUUUUCUUAUUGUAUUCUCGCAACGCACCAAAAUGCGAGCUCUUUUUAUUCCGAUCCCCGAUGCUUAAUCACAUGUCACUGUUUUUGGUCGGUCGUGUCUAUUCAUGGGCGUAUUUGACUGAGUGGCCAAGCACUCACCCAGAGCUCAAUGGAGAACUCAAGAGGAACCCGGUUGCAACAAAGCAAAGGUCGCCGACUGGUCCUUUUUCCGCUCCCCUUGAAGGGUCACCUCAACCCCAUGCUUGAGCUUGCAAACAUUCUUCACUCCAAAGGCUUCUCCAUCACCAUCAUCCACACUCACUUCAACGCCCCCAACUCCGAUGACUACCCCCACUUCACUUUUCACCCAAUCUCCGAUGGGUUGUCAGAAGGUGAAGCUUCCACCGGAGAUAUUCUACAUCUUCUCUUGUUACUUACUGUCAACUGCGUGGAGCCGUUUAGGGACUGCUUGGCUCGGUUGCUAUCGAAUGUUUCGGAGGAGCCGGUUGCUUGCUUGGUCGCAGAUGCUAUAUGGCACUUCAGUCGACUCGUUGCGGACAGCCUUAAGCUGCCAACGAUUGUGUUGCGAACCAGCAGUGCCUCCUCCUUUCUUGUUUUUGGUGCCUUUCCACUUCUACGGGAAAAGGGUUACCUCCCUAUACAAGGUAUGUGAGUUUUAGUUAGGAUUAAUCUUCUUGUCUCUGUGUGCGAUUUGCGUUUGUCCAAAACAACAUCUGAUCUCUACGGUUUGGCUGCUGAGAAGAGGUGAGAAAAAUAAAAGAUAGGAUUCAUUUUUUUGAGCUGAGAACAGAACGUCUGCUUUAAAGAGACCUUUUCAUUUCUUAGCAAGAGCGCUUGAAGGUAUAAAAAAGAACUUCUGAUUUAGGGCCUGUUUGGAAAACCGUACGUUUUCUAGCCUGAUUGGAAAAAAGUUUCGAACUUCGAAAAUUGGUUUGUAAAAUUUUAACAGGAAUAUAUAGAAGUAAAAAAAAGAACAAAAGAGAAACUUUACCCUUUCCUGUUCCAUUGCACUUUCUCCUCUUCUUUUCUUUAACUUUUUUUAUUUUUUAUUUUUUUGAUAUCUCAGAUUCUAGGCUAGAAGAGCCACUGCAAGAGUUUCCUCCCCUCAGAAUCAAAGAUAUUCCAGCGAUCAAUACAUGCGAGCUGGAAGCUUUUUAUCAACUAGUGGCAGCAAUGGUCAAUGAAAGUAAGGCCUCCUCGGGGAUCAUUUGGAAUUCCUUUGAAGACCUUGAACAAUCUGCACUAGCCACAAUCCACCAAGACUUUCAUAUCCCUAUCUUCCCUAUAGGCCCAUUUCAUAAAUAUUCACCAACUUCAACUACCUUAUCAAUCCAAGACCAUAGCUCUAUUGCUUGGCUAGACACACAAGCACCCAAUUCUGUGGUCUAUGUGAGCUUUGGGAGCAUUGCAGGAUUGGAUGAAACUGAUUUUAUAGAGAUGGCUUGGGGACUAGCCAACAGUAAACAACCCUUCUUAUGGGUGGUUCGACCUGGGUUCAUCCGUGGCUCAGAAUGGCUUGAACCACUGCCAAGUGGGUUCCUAGAGACCAUUGGUGGAAGGGGACACAUUGUGAAAUGGGCUCCUCAACAUGAAGUUCUGGCUCAUCCUGCUGUUGGAGCAUUUUGUACUCAUAGUGGCUGGAAUUCCACGUUGGAGAGUAUUAGUGAGGGAGUCCCUAUGAUUUGUUUGCCUUGUUUUUCUGACCAAAAAGUAAAUGCGCGGUAUGUAAGCCAAGUUUGGAGAGUUGGGGUGCAAUUGGAGAAUGGCCUGAAAAGAGGGGAAAUAGAAGGGGCAAUCAGAAGACUAAUGGUGGAGAAAUCAGGGCAGGAAAUAAGAGACAGAUGCAUUUCCCUGAAGGAGAAGGCAAAUCUUUGUCUAAAGCAAGGUGGUUCUUCAUACCAAGCCCUUGAGGACUUGAUUAGUUACAUCUCAUCCUUUUUCUUCCAGUUUGAAGCAACUUCUUCAUGAUUACUGGAUGGUCUUUUAUAAUUGUUGUAGCGUAUUCUCUUGAAGGAGGUGUCCGAAUAAGCUGGUCAUUAGCUAGAUUUUCUAUUUUUCCUCAAAUUGUGACUGUUCUGCACCCACAUUGGUUAUCAAAAUAAACCACUAAAAUUGUGGAGUUUACAUGCACCGGAGAAAGGGCGUUUGCUAAUAUUUCCUGAUCAUGGAUUCAUGGUAUCAUUGCGAAGUAAACUAGUUUAAUGCACUGUUACCAGUCAACAAAUUUUAGAAAACCAUAAAACUUACACGUGAGGGAAAAAUGUGGUAAAUGGCAAUCGAAAGCCCCAAACCAUAUUCUGUUUGCUAGACGCUAUUGUGUGACCCCCCAGUAAACACAGUAUAAAAAACUCCACUUUUCAAAAAAUUAUAUAGCAUCGCAGUAACGAUUAAUCAAUAAGAGAAGCAAGUCAAAAAGCACUUUGGGAAACAGAUCAUUUUAGCCUCCUGUAUUUAUUGGAUUUUGUUUGUUCCAUUGAAGCCAGGGCCAAUUCGAACGCAGCAGAAACUGGUCCCAAUCCUCAUAAAUAAUAGGCACCGUUUGCACCUAACUCCAAUUAUGCCUCCAUAAUUGUCUACUCACUAGGCCAAGUUUUCUGGGAAGAUCUAGACAGCUUCGAAACUGAGAGAACACCCAGCCAAGCACCAAGGAGAACUCAAGAGAAACCCAUCAACAGAAGAAGGGUUUCCGACUGGUACUGCUUCCACUGCCCCUACAAGGUCACCUAAACCCCAUGCUUCUUCUUGCAAAUAUUCUGCAUGCUAAAGGCUUCUCUAUCACCAUCAUCCACACCCACUUCAACUCUCCCAACCCUGCCAACUAUCCCCUCUUCACCUUCCAUUCAAUCCCGGACGGCUUGUCUAAAACCGAAGCCUCCACCGCAGAUGUCAUAGCUCUCCUCUCACUCCUCAACAUCAACUGCGUCGCGCCUUUCCGGGAUUGCUUGUCUCAGUUAUUAUCUAAUCCUUCAGAGGAGCCUAUCGCUUGCUUAAUCACAGACGCUGUAUGGCACUUCACCCAGGCUGUUGCCAACAGCCUUAAGCUCCCUAGGAUGGUGUUACGCACCAGUAGUGUCUCUUCAUUUCUUGCUGUUGCUGCCAUGCCAUAUCUGCAGAAAAGUGGGUACCUCCCCAUAAAAGGUGAGUUUCUAAUUGAGUAAUUCCAUGAAACCAUAAUUACAACCAUUCAACAGACACAUAUGUACACUGUUUUAUGCCCUUAGGCUUGAGCUGGUCUAAUCAUCAGUCAGUGAUCAUACACAUCAAGGGAUAAAUAUAGGGAAAGUUGUGUUUUAGGGUCCUUAUUUAAAAAAAAUAUGAUAUUUAAACCCCAAGUUUUUCAAAUAUGGAAAGCAGUCAUUAAUGGGCAAAAUAAUAUGAGAUUUGUGUACUCUGUGCUGAGUCAAUUUUAUCUUCCAAAAAUGCCCUCAAUGUCUUAUGCAUCAGCAGCCAAAUAGCCUCCAUGUCAUACUUAAAAAAAAAAAUUGUGAAAAUUGAUAAUUUCUUAAAAAAACCACCCGACCCGACUUUUGGUGUCCCUUUCUCUCUUUCUCUCAUUUUAGUAAAAAAAAACCUUAAGUCAAAUGACAUCUAACUUUGCUCUCAGUAGCCCUAAAUCUGCCUUUUAGUUUGGCAACAACCAAAUCUAAGAUUUUCCCUAAGCCAGAAUCUCAAAAACUUGCCAUUUCAGAAGGUUAUUUCAAAUCUGAAUCAGCCAAAACCUUCACGUCCAACAAACCCAACUGAUACACAUCUUCCUCGAAUCUCAAACUUCUCUGUUUUUCUCUUAACAUCCCGAUUAGUCGAACGUGUUUGUCUCUAAACGUCUGGAGUAGCUGAAACUGAUACCCAUCUUCCCAAUACGUUGAAGUAAACCAAACAGGAGACAUAUCUUGUUUUUGCAUCAUCGAAGUUGGAAUUCUGUUCAGGUUUCUCAAAACGAAACUGAAAUUUUCCCUCUUGUGCGUGUUUUCCGAGUAAUCAAUCACAGGUGAGUUUUCAUUUACGGGUUUGUUUGGAUGAUGCGGAUAUCUUAGGGUUUGAAGUGUUUUAUUUUAGGGUUUCUUAUAUUUACUUCAUUUUCUGUAGAAUGAAAUAUAGGAUAAAUUAUUUUUGGUUAAAGAUAUGUUCGUAUUUAGAAAAAAUAAAUUAUUAUUAUUAUUAUUAUUAUUAUUAUUAUUAUUAUUAUUAUUAUUAUUAUUAUUAUUAUUUAUUUUUAAAUAUUUUUUUGGCUUUCCAGGAAUUCUGUUGUCAUUAGAUUUUUAGGGAAAUUGGUUCAUUUGUAUUACUACUAGUUGAUGGAAAUUUUCUUUCAAUUUUAAUGGUAUAUAUGAGAGUUACUACUAAACCCUAAACAUAUUAUUUGCUUGGUCGUUUGUCAUUGUUAUUGCUUUACUAAAUUUGAAUACCGAUUUCAUUGUGUGUAUGUUGUUAUUAUUUUGUCCUUUGUCUUUGCAUGAUAGAAUUGAAUGUAUGUUGUUAUUGUUAUUGUUUUAUGAAUUUGUCACAAAUUUGGGAAGAAAAAUAAGUGACAGCAUUGUGAAGUGUUGGUCAUGCCUUACUUUAUUUGCAGAUUUUAUUUAUUUUUGAAUCGUUUAAUGUGUUGUUGAGGUAAGAAUUGGUAAGCAUUUUUUUUGAGUUAUGUUUUGGGGACGACAUUACAUUCCUAAGUCUUUAAAUUUGAGAUGAGUAUAGUUUUGUAUUUAUCUUUUUAUGAGUGGAAAAUUGUAUUGUAUCUAUGCCAUAAAAUUAUUCUCAAAAACGCUAACCAAAUAGUAUAUUUGCUUUGUGGGAAGUAAUUGUUGAUGACAUGAACAAACUGAAAAUGGUUUGUUAGGGGCAGUGAUCAUAAUUAUGGCUUUAAUAUAUUCCACAUGUGUUGCUAUAAUGUACAGUGAAAAAAAAAUUUGCCUUAGUGGAGAUACAUGGUUUUUUUUUUUUUUUUUUUUUUUUUGUGGAUGCCAUGGUAUUAAGAUGUUUUAUUUUCUUGGGAAGUGUACAAUCUCAUCAGAAUUGUUAUUUCCUAACAAAAUAAGUUUUCCUAGGCAUUUGCUAUUGCUGUUGGUCCUACCGUUGCUGAUCAUUCUAUUCACUUUCUGUACUUUGCAUAGUCUGCGACUAACAUUGAAUACCUUGAACACAUUCCUCACUAAUAUAUAGAUGGCCACUGUUCGACGGAAAAAAAAAAAACACCUCCCAGCUACAUGUAGCCAGGUUGCCAACAAAAUACAUUUUGUAAACUGAAUUGAAAUUUUUUUAAUUUUUUUAUUUAUUUCCCCCUAUAUUGAUAUGUUUUGAUACUGAUAGAAAUUGCCCACUGACUGCAGGUGAAACUGCCAAAAUCACGGUGUUCUGGCAAAAAAUUCAUUUCAGUCAUCGCGAGGCUUCCCGAUGAUAAACGAGACGCCAUUAUAGAAAUGGGAUUUGGAGGACUUCUACACUUGGCUUGUCGAGAACUACGCUACGAGUUGUGUUCUUGGAUAAUUUCUAAUUAUGACACUGCCUACCAUCAACUGAAUAUGGCUACCGGCGUUGUUGUCCUGGUAACAACACAAGAUGUCGGCAAUAUUAUGGGCAUCCCAUGUAGUGGUGAGGAGAUUGUGGUGCAUACUAGGAGAGGCACCUCUAAUCGCACCUACACCAUAAGUCUAUUGGAGCAAAAUCUAGAGAACUUGGCCAUUGGUGAUGACUUUAGGAAGACUUUCUUGAUUUUUGCAUGUGCCACCCUACUUGCACCUAACUCCAAGCUUGAAGGAAUACAUGACCUAUGGGACACCAUAUGGGACGGUGACGUUGGUGUCCAAAAGAAUUGGUCAAAAUUUGUCCUACAUUACAUAGAGGACGGAAUCAGAGAAUACCAGAAAAACCAGCCAACUUACAUACGCGGCUGCCGUAUUUUUCUCCAGGUACAGUUAAUACUUAAUGAAUCUAUUGUUUUAAUUAUGUCUACUACAUUAUCUCAUUUUAAUGUAGUUUCAUUUAAAUUAUAAUUUAUUUUAAACCGUAUUCAAAGAUGUUGUUGAAUGUGUUUCAACUAUUACAUUUUCCUGUCAUUUCACAGCUCUUCUACAUGACAAAAUUUUAUUUGCCAUCCGUCACGGUUGAUGUCACUAUGCCAUUACUUGCUGCAUGGAGUGAUGACCUAAUCAAAAGACGGUUAUCAGCUAAAAUUGCCACAUUUGGUGGUUAUGGUCAUGUCCAUGUAAGGUCCAAUUGUACACUUCUUUCGUUAUAAAAAAUUUCUUAUCCAUGUUAUCUCCAUAUUUAAAAAAAUAUAUUCUAAUUUUUGUUUAACGACCCUUUCCAGACUCAACAACUACCAGAAUCUGCUGCCCACUCCCAUGCACAGGCAGUAGGUGGGCAGUCCUCGGCUUCUGAUGAUGCUACUGAGGUAGUAAAUGUCUUCAUUGAUAGCCAAGUUCACAUAUGCAUAGUUGUACUACAGUAAUGCAAUUUUUUCGCCUCAUUCCAGUCAUUGAUUUUUUGUUUAAAAUUUUUUCCUCCCCAUCUUAGGUAAUUCAAGCACGUAUGGUAGAAAACUCAGAAAAAUCGUUGAGAUUAGCCUCUUCAUUAGCUAAAGAUGUUGCUGAAUUGCGUUCCCGUCAGUUUGGGUCGCAAUACCGAUGUUCAGCUACUCCAACCCAGCCUUCAGCCCAAGUCCAAGAUGAACCAGCUCCUACGACAGGCGACAUUCAGCUUUCAACUGAAGAAUUUGUUGAACAACCCAGCCUACCAUCAGCACCGCAUUCUCCAACUGAAAGACAUGAAUCUUUAUUUGACCAUGGACCCUCAUCGCUACACCAAGAAUCUCAUGACCAAUCCUAUCCUUACCCACACUUGGAAAGUGUAGAAGAUGUCCAAAAUGUUGGCACAAUAGCUACUCACAGCCAUUUAGACAUACCAACCUCAAGUCACAAAUAUAAACGGACGGGUAGGCGGAUUGUGAAAAGGCCUGCCAUUUGUAAAUCUCCAUUUGUUGCACAAUGCCUUAAACUGUUCCCAAAAAUAUCACAUAAGGAUAGGUUGGUAGCUGAUUUUGCUUUGGACGAAGAUGCUGAUCCAAGGUAGUUUUUGAAUUUCAUUUGCAACCAUAUUUAAUGUGCAUAAAUAUGCCUCUAUUGCAUGAUUUAGCAUAAUCCUUUAUGACAUUUCAGCGAGGUUGUAUGUGAUAUGCACGGACUGUUUAUUACGAGGGCCGAGCUCGCUUCUCUUAAUGGAGGUCGAUGGGUGAACAACAUUGUAAGCUACUAAUCCUCCAAUUUCCUGAAUACCCAAUUCACAUUAUUUUUUUCCAAUAAUAGAUGCUUUAAACUUGGCUAAUAAUUGAGUACCGAAUUUUUUUUUUUCCAGAUUAUUGGUGUUAUGUCUCGCAUGUUGAAUGCUAACCAACCACAUCCACGACGCUGUCACUACUUCGAUCCUUCAUUUUCGGUACACACUUUUCUAGACUUAUUUAUUACAUUAAGUAAAAGUAAAUUGUAUUCGUUUAUGUUAUUAUUAACUAAUCCCCAACUUGAACAGGUUGUUCUUGCUAGUCUUUUACCGAAAGCCAGAAAAGAAGAAAUACUUGACAGAUCACGCAUGUUUCUUCAAGCUGACAUAGUGGGACACGAUGUAGCGUCCUGUGAAAUGGUACAUUAACAUACUCCUUUCAUAGCUACCUAACAGUGUGGCUUAUAUCUAUCAACAUAGACCCUAACAAUUCAAUUGUUGAUAAUGUAGUUGUUCAUUCCCGUAUGUCAGAAUAACCAUUGGCACCUUCAUGUGCUGAACAUUCCGGCUGGCCGUAUCGAGAUCCUUUCUAGUCUGCCACUAUGAAGAGGGAACUACAUUAGUGCUUCCACUAGGCGAUUGCCAAUGGCUUUGGAGAGAGCAUUGCAUGCACAUGGAAUUCAUGUGAAUGUGGAGGUUUCAAAAUUGGUCCAUGUACAGCCAGAUCUAGUGCAACAAAAAAAUGGGUAAAUUUUGUUGUGAAUGACAGUUUUGGUUGCAAUAAAGUUGUAGUUAAAAUGCGUUAGACGAUUGAUGUAUGUGUAUGAUAAUCCAAAUGUUAUGGUCUUCUAGGUAUGACUGUGGUAUUUUUGCACUCAAGUACAUGGAAUAUUGGAAUGGGGCUACCUUAACACAAGCAGUUGCAGAGGUUAGUGUUGCGUUACAACAUGUUUUAAUCAUAUCUUCCAAUUUUGUAUACACUUGCAAAUAAUUUUUAAUGUUAUUUGUAGGAGAAAAUGCAUGUUUACAGGUUGCAAAUGGUUGUGACAUUGCUCCUUAAUGAAGCCAACAAUGUUAGGGGAAAUAUUAUACAGGCAUGUGGAUUGUGAGAGGUUAUCGGACCGGAAAAUGUCAAAAUAAGGUAUUUCGUAGAAUGACACCUAGUUUUGCAUUUGUAAGUAGUGAAGUUAGUUGUGUUAUCCCUUUAAUUUCCUUUUCUGAUCAUUUUGAUGAAUUUCAGCCAUGUCAAGCUAUUUAUUCAUGACUUUAAGUUACAAAGUUAAUAAAGGUAAGUUUUGUUUUUGGACAAGAAUGGACAAUAAUUUGCAUAUUAACAAAUUGGAGAAAAUGGAAGGUACUGAAUGACAACGGUAUUUUUUUCCAAAAACUGAUGUGUCUUGUGAUUUUUUUGUUAGCUAGUUAAUAUGUCAAAUUAUUACCCUAUUGUUCCUUCAUUGGAGGACCUACCAAUUGCACAACUCUCAACUUAGUUCUUUAAAGUAUGAAGUUCCCUCUGAAAUAGUUGUUCCUAAAUUUGCAUUGAAAAUGAAACACUUAUAAUAUUUAGUAAAUAAGCUAUAGUUUGACACUAUUUCCAGGCCUUUUUGCAUAUAAGAUAGUAUUAUGUGAUAAAUUUCGAAGUUGACCUGUGUAGUUAAAAUUAUGAGUUUUUUGGUUCUUAGUUCAGUUUUGUUGAGCUCGCUUUUGAACUUAAAUUUUCAUUUAUUAUGAAUUGAACUUUGAAAAAUGAUAUGAAAAAUAUUAUGUUACAAUGGAUUACACUUGAGAAGACAAAGAAAUUUGUAUGCCACAUUGAGUUGCAUUUGGAACGUGCUUUUAUAAGCUUGGCCAUUUAUGUUUGAUUCAUAAAUAAAUGUUUCAAAUACAUUCGAUUUUAGACACAAAUAAAUUAAUUUAACAGGAAUUCGUACUUUGCUUUCAUAUGAGAGAUGUGGAUUUUAAGCCAAUGUUUGUAACUGCUUUUGCUUUGUCGCCUAUAGUUUUGUUCGCUUUUAUUUGGUAUCCACUAAAAAAUUAUUGUAGUUUUGGUUGGUGGUCCAUUGGUUGAUUAUGGGAUGGUUUCCGUGACUUUUUCCAGGUAGAGAACGAAGAAAAUUCGGGAGAUGGGGUAGAAAAUGAUGGAGAUGGAUAAAUGAAUGCAGAAACUGGAGAAACACAACCUCAAAGUGCUGAAAAAAUGAGGCACAACAGGCAGUGUUUGACGAGAGGACAUGAUAUUAAAUUACACUGAAAUGACGAUGAGAAAAAUGCCAGGACAAAUUCGGUUAAUAUACAAUUGGAAAGUAUUAAUUUUGGCUUCUAACCAUUUGUAUGCCAUAUGUAGUAAACAGAUAUGUUUUAACUUCAUUGUGUCUGUAUUUGAUGAAUGGUAUGUGGGCCGCUGCAUAAGCCAUUUGUUUGAAGAAUUACAGUCCAUGGAUGCUAACAAUGUGGCUAAUCAGAAACUUUUGUUUCAUUAGAUUGACUGAAAUUGAAUUGUUAAUUAACUUGAGUAGGAUAUCACUGCUUUGUGCCCAGGUACUUUCAUUUAUAUUGGAAUGAGAUGACUAUGUUAUGUAGAACAUAGAAGCAUUAUUUAAUCUAUGAGAUAACAGUGUGUUUGAUGAGAUUUUUUUUUCCUUCUCUUCAGCCUAAUAGAAGUACAUGUAGGUCGUAGGAGAAUAAUCAGGAUAAUUGGAUGCAUGUUUCCAUGGUAGCAAUUGAAAGUGCUACUGAAAAUUUUCCAGUAGUUUGUAAUCUGAACCCCAUGAAAUGUGUAAUGCAAUUAUGAUGGACAUGCAUUUAAUAGUAGGACAUGACAUGUAGUUGUUAAUGGUGAUAAAAAACUUUAUAUAGUUGUUCAAUUGCUGUGAUAAAUAAAUAGUCACAACAAAAUAUUGACAAAAGAACAACAUUUCUCGAAUGUCCAUUUAGGUAGUACAUGAGGUACAUUAAGGUAGUACCUCAGGGUCUUAAGGUCGUACCUCAUGUGCAUUAAGGUAGUACCUUAAAUUUCUGAUGAUUACAUAAGCUAUCGAAUGAGUCAGCAAGAGGAACAUAACAAUGGCAUGCUGUAAUAUGUAAUGCAAUGAACUAAUUCUGGCUUAAAUCAUAGAAGAACAUCAUUUCUCUAAGGUCCCUUAAGGUAGUACCUUAGGUACAUUAAGGUAGUACCUCAUGUGCAUUAAGGUAGUACCUCAAAUUUUUUAUGAUUACAUAACCUACCGAAUGAGUAAGUUAUAAAAACAUAACAAUGGCAUGCUGUUAUAUGUAAUGCAGCAUGACAUUGUUAUGUUCUCAUAGGUUACCUUAUGUAAUCAUAAGAAAUUUCAGGUACUACCUUAAUGCACAUAAGGUACUACCUUAAUGGUCUUCAGGUACUACCUUAAUGUACAUAAGGUACUACCUUAACGCACCUGCGAGAAAUGUAGCCAUUUUGUGGCUUCAGAUUUUUAUUAGUUAAUUUCAUGACCUAUUGUAACAUGACAUUGUUAUGUUCUCAUAGGUUACUCCAACGGUACCUUAUGUAAUCAUAAGAAAUUUCAGGUACUACCUUAAUGCACAUAAGGUACUACCUUAAUGGUCUUCAGGUACUACCUUAAUGUACCUCAUGUACUACCUUAACGCACCCGCGAGAAAUGUAGCCAUUCUGUGGCUUCAGACUUUUAUUAGUUAAUUUCAUUACCUAUUGCAGCAUGACACUACCUUAAACCAUAUUCGAUAAAUUUUACUCUCCCGACAAUUUUUCACUCUCAAUAUUUAUUUAAUCAUACUGUUGUUUUCUCAUUUUUCUGGUUAGGUCAAGUUACGAUGGUUGUGGUUGGAUACGGAAGGUGAUCAUGCGAAGCAAAUAUUUAUUGGUUUUCUACCACAUUUAUUUUUUCUAUAACAACCUGUACAUGGUUUGAAGCACAAAAUUAGCAAAAUGCACAAUCAUUUAGGAACCCUGAGUAGCCCGUGCCAAUGAGAAUGUGCAAUAGUCCUGAACCCUGGUAGAUCAGGAUUUGAAGGGUGCCAUUGCAAACUAUUGGUAUACCAGCAAACUGUUUCUAAUGUAGUAAAUCAAACCAAACAAACCUCCCAACUUACCAAUAACAUUAACAGAAGAUGAUAUGUAAAAGCUUACACAAUAACUAAAUAUGAAAGGAAAGUCGUCAAACAAUUUACUAAUGUGAGUAUGGAAGGAUAAACUGAAACUGCAUCAGUGUACAAACAAAUAGGUUCCAGUCUAUGUUUGUUGUUCUCUUAUGAAAUUAGUACCAUACCCCAUAAUAAACCUAUCACUGUGGAUCACAUCUUACAAUCACAGUUGUUGUCCAAUCAGUUGCCAAUACAACACUGACCAGCACCCUUAACUAUAAUAAAAGAACAAAUACUGAGUGUUGUCCAUGUUCCUACUCCCUAACUUUACAAUAUUGAAGGAAAAAUGAACAGCCCUAUUACAUUGCUGUGACUGCAUCCCAUAUGCUCCAACAGCAGCAUUACCAGGUACUCUUCCUUUCCCUUACACGUUGGCCAUUCUUGUACAUAAAGUCCUCAUAUUCAGCAUAACCCAACUGCCACUGUUACAAUGGGAUGUGGAAUACUUCAUCAGAUACAUCACAUAUAGAACAUAAAUAAUGGUUUUACAAUUGGAACAAAUCACAUCAGCACACAACAUGAUAUGAAUUAAUAAAUUUUGGACAAACUAAAAUCAACCCUUGGUCAUUUUGGUACGUAGCAGCAGAUAGGAAGAAACUUAUCAUGAACUAUGAACUCACAAAUGACAUGCGGCCAUGAUUGUAUCUCUGACACUGUUGCGUUCAUUGAGGACUAUUUGCAGCACUAGCUGGAGUUUGUACAUGUUCGUCUUGUCCUACGGAAAUGGGAAAAAAUUAUUCCAUGCGGUUGAGAAAAUAACACUCAAAUCAAAGGACAAAUAUGCAGAUAAUUAAAUGAAACAGGCCAGCUGACACUGAUAUUAGCAACCAGCCUCUGAAAAAUGCCACCAAAUGAUGCCAUUCAUUCAAAGUAUUUAUUUUCGGAUAAUUAAAUGAUGCCACCAAAUGAUGCAUGGGAACACAAACUACAGUAUGGUUGAAAUGGCUUAAGCAAUGUAAUCUUACCAAAUACAUGGGAUUUGAGUAAAUACCAUUAAAACAAGAUGUGGUGCAAACAUAGUUCGGACUUUUUGAAAGAACUGAAUCAGUAGAGAAAUAUAAUGUAACUCAAUGAACAUUGUAGGUGAAUGGAAAGACACAAAACAUUCAAAUAGUAACGAUGAUUGGGUGACAACCAGUUAGUUGAAAUAGAGUAAUACAAGAUGAGCAUAAUGCAAUAAGUAGACAGAUAUAGAUUUAGGGCAAAGGAUUUUUGCAGGUUUUUCUGUUGUGGCCGGACAUAUGAUAACGAGAGCAAUAAACAGGCCGUUUAUCUUGAAAUUGAGACUCAAUGCGCUUCUUCCUUGGCCUUCCGGGAGGGCGCUUUGUAUGUGGAGGCUUUAGAGAGAAGAACACCUCCCCGGUGAUAGAUUGAACCAAACCAUCAUCGUCCACAGUAGGCAUGUCAUGGGUCUCUAUGCCGGAGAAAGAGCCCCCAUAUAUCAACUCUUGCAUUGGGUAUUUGUAGCAAUCAUCAACGAAAUCAGUAACAUUUUGACCAAUGGAAAUAAUGACGGCUAUGGCAUGCUCACAAGGGAUUCCCAACAUUUGCCAACCCCUACAAGUGCAUGUAUGGUUCAAAAUGUCUACAUUCAACAAGGCUCUCCCGAUACAUACCCCAAAUACUCCAUUCUUGAACGGUGUGACUGGAUACACUGCACCCUUUGCAAUAUUUUCCUGCACCUUAGCUUCAAUUUUUGGCCCUAUACACCCUUUCCAAUUCUUAGACUCUUCUUGAUGCUUCACAAGCAUAGAAGCUAACUUGGACAUGUGCUCCAAUAAAAAGUUACAAAUAGAGUGAUGUCUUUCAAUCCGUAACCAAGCAUUAAAUGACUCGGCAAGGUUCGUAGUCAUUUUAUCCCAUCUUUGUUUUGGGAAUUUUGACAUGGCCCAAUGGUGCGGCGCAUUUUCUUCUACCCAUGUGGCUAAAGCCUCGUUGUAUUUUUUUAGUUCAAACAUGGAAAUGUUAUAAUCAUGUUCUAGCCUUCCAUACGCAAUGCUAUCUAGGAAUUGCAAUGCAUUUUCUUUACCCUUGUUCCCUCGUGUGUUAUGCUUGGACAAGAAACUACUAAAAUUCUCCUUCAAGUGACGGUAGCAAUAAGCAUGGUUUUCAAUGCCAAACACCUCAGGGACACUACGAAGCAAAACAUGAUGUCUAUCUGAGAUAAUAAUAACUUCCUUGUUUCCCACAACUAUCUUCAGUUUUUCCAAGAACCAUAACCAAUCUUCAUAAUUUUCCGAGCUCAUCACUCCAAAGGCUAAGGGGAACAUGGAGUCAUUAGCAUCGUAAGAGGUGGUUGAAAAUAGAGCACCGCCAUAAGGCCCACUCAUAUGGGCCGAAUCAAUUGCAAUGAUUGGUCGACACCCCUGUGGACCCGCAUUUUUCACGUGCGCCCCCACUCGAUCGGCGAGACUCGCUUUUUAUUUGUGAAAAAUUGAUUUUUGAAAAAAAGUUGGAGUCGCCACCUAUUUUAUUUUUAUUUUAAAGGGAAAAUAAAACAAGAAAGAAAAACCCUAAAAUGUGACUCCAUAAAUUUUGGAAAAAGCAUGUCUUUGAAAACCCGAGUCUAAGUUCGGGGAUCAGGUUACUUAUUGGGAAGGUACCUCUAGGAGGUAGCACCCCUCUAAGCCCUAAAGAGGUCUCUACUGACUAAGUUAAGGGAAGCGUGGCAAUUAAAUGGUUGAUCAUGGAUACCUAAGUAGGCUAGGUGAUUCCAAAAAACAUAACAUAUCAAACAAGAUCAAAUCACAAUUAAGGAGAGUUAAAAAUGCGUACCUGGACGGCUUCCCAAGCGCUAUCAUAAAACAUAAGAGAUUAGUUUGGAGAUACAUCAUACAACAUUUGUUUUAUUCAAGCAAAUCAGGCAUAUAUCAAGACAUUCAAGAAUCACGCCAAAUAUGGAUACGGUCAUCAAUGACAUACAAGUCCAUAGAGUUCUAAAAAAAUAGAUGAGAAGAGAGCGUACCUGGAUAGCAAGCUAGUAUUCCUCUAUGAGAAACAAGAGUAUCUCAACAAUAAAUAUUAAGUGAAUUCAGGUAUUUCAUCAAGAAGAAUAAAAAAUCAACAUAUCAAGCAAAUAGUAUUAAAGUGAGUGUUAUGAAUGUCGGGCCCCCACCAAAGCCCUAAUUAAUUUUGCAUGAGUUGGUUCCAUAAAUUCCAUGAUUUGGAAUUAUGAAGUUUAUUCAUGCUUAUUGAAAAUCAAGAAAAACACAAAAAAAAUAGUUAAAAAUCAAAUAAAACUUUGAAAGUGCAUACCCGAAGGAAAGUGGCAGCAAAUAGCAUGUUAAAACUGGGAUUUUAUACCUAGAAAGAGUUUGGGGGUAAUUCCCUAAAGUUAGGAUUAUUUGGAUGAAAACGAUUUUGAAAACACAAUUCAAAACGCGUAAAAGCACGAGGAGAGCAGGAGGGUGCAAGAGGAAAAUGGUAUUGUGCUCUAGAACGGUCUUCAGAGGAGAUCUGCUGGAAUUGAUUCUGAUGGCUUCUGUUGAUGUUGACUUGGAAUGAACUGCUGUUGAAACUGAUGAGGUUGUUGCGGAAAUUUGUUGUUGUUUUCUCUUCGAAAAGGUCCGUGUUCAGAAGCCGCAACUGGGCAUCCCAAAAUCAUCUAGAUAUAGGUCACAACCUUCAUUAGGCGCCUUGGCGGUUUAUUGGCAUGUCUUAAAGCUCCUUAUUGACAUUUAAAACAUAACCAGAAACAACUUUUCCUACUCCACAGUGCUUAUGGAAUUCUUGAAAAUCUGGAACAUAACUGUGAGUAAUCUUGGAAACAAUUAGGCAAUCUGUAGGUUCUUCACUUGCUCUCAUCGUUAAGUUACCCCAACCUUUCUGAUACCUGGACUUGCUACCUCUGAUUCACUUGGAGAUCAUCAACAAGAGGACAAUCAAGGUAAAGUGAGCCCACUGAUUCUUAUUCAUGCUGGUCAGAUGCUAACUUGCUGAUGUGUUCUGUCAAACUAAGCAAGCCCACUGGUGGGUUCUAUUGAAUUGAGAAACAUUAUAUUUACUCUCAAAUUUAAAUCUUUUAACCUGAAUUUAGAAUCAGCAGCGCCAUUAGAGUCACUGACAGUGGCAAGCUUCAAUUUGUGUUGCUUGUCACUUGCUCUUUUUAAUACUCUCCACCUUAUUUUCUUCCACCUGUAGUUUGGUUGUCAAUCAUUUCUUCUCUUCUUCAAACUCUCUAAUCUGUGCCUUUGACUUCUCAAUCUGAAAUUCUGGAGCAGCUUGCUUUUCUCGUAGAGAUUCAGUUUCUGCUGCAUUGGAUUUUCUCUUCAAAUCCUCAUUUACAAUUUUUAGCUGCUCAUUUUCUUUCAUCAGCUUUGCAAUUUCAUCAGCUUUUACCUGAGCUUGUCUUGCCAGACUGAAUGCAGUAAAAUUGGUUCCUAGAUAUGUUCUCUUCCCUCUUCUAUGCUUAUUUUAGGAGGACAUGGCAUUUUAGAUUCUUCGAUGUGGCACAAAGCAGAGGAGGGAGAUAUGAUGGUUCGAAUUUUGACUGAUUCAAUCCGUUGUGUUUCUGGAACCCUGUUAGAGGAACUAAAGGUUAUCAUGUCUUGUCCUUCUUUCAGAUUCAAGGAUGAAAUCUUUACUGCCAGCACCAGAUGCAACAGCAGCAGCCACAACUACAGGUUCUGUUUGAACUGUUUCAGGUAUUGUAUCAUCUGAGAUUAAUAGAUCUUUUGGAACUAGACAAUUUUGAUUAUUAGAUGGAGUAUCAUCUUCACCAUUAGCACCACUAGCAUUGUCACGGAUCUGCUGAUGGGUUAAUGCAUAACCAGAAUUUGCCAAAAGUUGAUUUAGGACCCCCAUCUGGUGAGGAACUCAAAGAUAAUCAGCAUGGUUGGUAACUUCUCGAUGAGGAUGCACAUAAGGCUGCAAAUAAGCUGUGGUUACUGGAAUAUUCAUCCGAUAUUGCUACUGUUUCAAAGGCUCUUUAAAGCUUAUAUGAACGCUGCAAAUCUUACCAGUAUUGAUGGCAAUCAACCAAGCUAGUGAGUGCAACACUUCGUCUUUCAUGAUCAAGUCAAUCUGAUAAUAGGUCUCGCAUCAUGGCUGGUCAUUUCACAUAAAAGACCAGUUUGGAAAUAGUAACAAAGACCGUUAGCGUUAUGUUCAUUGGGCAAGGGGUCAUACUCUGAGCCAAGGUGAAUCAAAAGACUGUCAUUGGAAAAUAUCCUUCAUAAAUUCUUGGACUAAAAUGAGUCUUUGCUAGCAAACUCUAAUCACAUUUAUCUCACGAAUUUCCUCAAGGACAUGAGUAUUUUUUUUUAUGACAUGAGAAAUGAGUCCUCUUUUGGCAGGCACAGAAUUUGUUUUGAAGAACAGACAUGACCAGCUUCAAUCCUGAAAUCUUGUCAUGAAAAUCUCCAAAAUUGGAUGAAGCUGGUGAAUAAUGGUCAUCUUCUUUUCAUCUAAACCAGCCAUUCUCUAUAUUCUGGCCAUGUAGGAAGCCUUUCGGAUUGUAAAUCUCGAACAACGUCACGCAUAACCUCCAGUUCUGAACUUCCGGGGUACAGUCUCUUCAUUAAGCCUUUGUUGUUUCUUUCCCCCACUGAUAUCACAGUAAUUCAACUCAAGCAGCCAGCUUAGCAAGUUACACAAGCACUUCUCGGGAAGUUCAUUUAAACAGCAUAGAUGCUUCCCAAAUAUUCUGAGAAGUCAGAAAGAGAUUUCUCAUUAAUCGACUCACUGCCCUCCAUCAAAGUCACCGUAGAUGCAGCAGCAUGACUAUCAAAGAUGUACUUACAGUGAACAUCGGCUUCAAUUCAUUUGCUAUCCUUAUUAAAUUCAGUAAAGUCUUAUCACAGCUAUAUGAGUGCCAUGGUUCCAUCCUCAGAAUCAUCAGAUUUAAGCUUCAGGUCCGUGCCUGAGCUGCUUCAUUAAUCUAGUCAGGGGCUUCCCUAGCUUGUCGAGUGAAUACUUGGUGGCUCCCCUGCUGCUGUGGAUUUCCACGAAGUAUGCCAUAUCCUAGGCAGUAAUGGGGAUGAUGAUUCCAUAUUCGCUUGUGGAGACAACUGCACAUAUACUGAAUCAAAUGGUGAAGAAAACUUUAUCAUGGAAGACAUCAUUUCCCUCCAUUUCAGGCAUGACUUAAUUAAUUCCUCCAAAUAAACGCUUAGGCCCAUGACUUAGCAAACAGCAGAGUGCCCUGAUGAUCAUAGCAAGAAAAAUCCAGCAUGCUUUUGGGACCACCAAGCUGGUUCAAAUAUUGUUGUAAGAGAGUGGCAAUUACAGCAGCAACUGAUUUGACUUCAGGCGGACAUGCUGACCAGUCUUAGUAGGGAAGAAAAAAAAAGUGCGUCCCAGGUUGCUUCUCUGAGAGCUUCACAAAAGCAAUAUGUGUUUCAUCAACGUUCAGAUCAGAUAUUGGAGUUUUAUGUAAACUGUUGGAACUGUUGGAGACUUUGGCAUCAUAAAUUGCAGCAAGAUUGAAAUUUUGAAUUACAUCUCUAAGUGUUCCAGAGAACUUAGUCACGUCCGCCUCCUAUGCCGUUUCUUAAUAAUUCUCAUUCUUUCCAAAUGAUUCCGAAGGUUGAAAUUAGUACCCUUGUUCGUCUCAAGGAAGCAAACCGUUGUACUGACUAUUCUUGUACUUAGAACCUCCAAGAUCAACUAGAUUCAGAUUCUGAACCAGCACUUUGCAAUUCUGAGUUUCACAUCCAUCAAGAAAACCCAAGAGUGUUUCAAUAUCUUCUUUGCCCAUUCUGAUGGAUCAUUGUCUAAAGCAUCAUAGACACUCUUCCUAAUUCUAGCACAACCUGUUAUGCAUUGUGCAAGUUUGAAAGAUUGGGCAUCAAAGUGGAGUUGGGUAAAAAAAGUCCUAAGCAGUGGAAGUACACAGCAUGAUGCUGUCAAGUUUCAAUAACUUAAAUAUUGACCAACUUAAGCCAGACCAUAUUCCUAAAAAAAAAUCCAUUCUUCCUCUGCUCAUGUAAACUUGUAAUGCUGUUAGAAAUCUUGUCUUCAGAAUAGCAACCCUGACAAUUGAGUAUGGAAAGCAGAAUAUCCAUGUGCUUCCAACUAAGCUUUUUACAACCAUCCUCGUAAACUGAGGUGUGCCAUUCUAGAGAAAAGCUACAGUCUUUUAGAAAUCCCAAUACUUCUAAAGCAGCUUGAAUUAGCAUAUUGCAGCAAUUGGAAGUUGGAUUGACUGAAAUAGGGGCUUGAACACAUCCAUCUGUAAAUCUUACAGACCGACCACCCUCAGAGAAAAGGUCUCCAAAAAAAAAAAGGCUUCAGCUUCAUGACAAACAGCAUUCUCUGUUUCAGAUUUGCAACUGCCCCUGUUAUACUACUCCUGUGCACUUCAGCAUUUAUUCUUCAGUUAUAUCGUCCCCUUAGAUAGCAUCUAUCCCACACCGUGAAGCAAGCAAGGUUCACUAUAAUACGAUCUAAUAGCAGCAACAAAAAAGGUGAUCCUGGAGAUAUUUUAAACUCAACUUCAUCAAUAUCUUCAACGUGCACUUCUGUUGGAACACAAGCGACAGUAGCAGUGAGAAGAGGUGUUAUACUGAUCCCAUUAGGAUUGCAGCCCAGAAUACCACGAACGGAGAGCCCCAAAAAUUGAAGCAACUUCUACAUCCAACUAAAUCACAUCCGGAACCCGAUUUAACGACUUUCUUACCUUGAAGAGGAAAUACCCAAUCUGACUCAACAAUCUGUUAUCAUGUGCUAACCCCACAAACAGCCCACAUUCUACACGGCCUUUAUGAGGUUUCUACCUUUCAUGAAAUACUCAUGCCAUCAUGGCCUCUAUAGCCCAGAAUACCAAAGGGGAAAGGGAAGAAAUAUGGAUACAAAAUCAAAGAGAAAAAAAAAUAAUAAUCCAAGAAAAACAGAACAAGGAAGAUAAAGGUGGGUAAGCAGAUAAGCCAAGUCUCUAUUUCAGCCAUUUAUAUAAGAAAAAAAUCAGAGAAAUCAAGAACACAAUCAUAACAGAGCAAGCUUGAAGGCAAAUUUCGAUUCAACAACGCAAAUAAAGUGGUCCUCAAUGUCUACUCCAAUCAGCAAGAAUAACUUCUCAAAAAAAAACAGCCAAAGAAUCCAGAGUGGAAUGUAAACGGGAAUACCAAAAUAAAAGUAAAUAAAAAGAUCAAAAGAACAAGAAGCGUACCUGGCAGAGGCUUGGCUGCAAUCUCCUUUUCUUUCUGCUCUGCUGUGCUUCUCCGCAAAAAAAUCCUCCAAUGCGUGCUGCUCCAGAAAGAAUCUCCCCCCUUAAAAAAAAGCUCUUUUUCUCCUUCCUCUCUCACGUAUAUAUACGCCUUUCCCUAAAACUAAAUCUGUUUCCAAAAUGGAAAAUUCUCCUCUUUCCUUUCUUCUUCUCUUCCUUUUUUUUUAAAUCUUCCAAUCAAAAGCAAUCUUCCCAAUUUUGAAUUCCCCUCCAAAACCUUCCAAGGAGAGUCCCACCUUCCUUAAACUCCAAUGGUAAGUUUCCUUGCAAAAACAUGAAAUUUUAGAAGUUAAAUAAUUGCAUGAAUAGAUAAAUAAGUAAAUAAAUUAGAAAAUGGUAAAAAUAAUAAAUAAAUAAAUAAGUUAAGGAAAAAUAAUAUAAAGAGGAAAAUAAAAAAAUAAAAAAAAUAAACAAAUUAACAAAAAUGGGCCCUACGAGCCAUGCAAACACGCAAGUCAUACAAGUCACACUAAAAAUGUCCAAAUGGGCCAAGUGUGCCUAAACGGCCUAUGAUGAGACUAAGUGGGCCUAGGGUGGUGCCUAAUGGGCCAAGUGUAUCUAAAAGCUAUCUUAAAAAAACAAGAAAAGCCUAAGUCUAAGUUAGGGCUGCCAAGGGUCACAAUAAGGAAUCAAAUAAUCCCUCAACCAAAGUCUCCGAUGUGACUCAGAAAAAGGUAAGUGGUAUGAGUAGCUAUGGGCCACCAAGGAACUAUUGCGGAGCAUUGAAAACGGAUUUAAAGACAUGAUGUCUAUCUGAGAUAAUAAUAACUUCCUUGUUUCCCACAACUAUCUUCAGUUUUUCCAAGAACCAUAACCAAUCUUCAUAAUUUUCCGAGCUCAUCACUCCAAAGGCUAAGGGGAACAUGGAGUCAUUAGCAUCGUAAGAGGUGGCUGAAAAUAGAGCACCGCCAUAAGGCCCACUCAUAUGGGCCGAAUCAAUUGCAAUGAUUGGUCGACACCCCCUUACAAACCCAUCGAUAGAUAUUGAAUGAGCAACAAAAAGCUUCUCAAAAUGGUUAUCAUUGGAAUAACUCAGCUCAACACUCGAUCCUGGAUUUGUUGCAAGCAUUCUUUCACACAUCCAUGGCAACAAUUUGUAAUAAUUCUUGGUUUGUCCAUAAAUGCGCUCCUUAGCCUUCUCCUUCAUUUGCCAUGCUUGUAGGUAAGUUAACUGGAUGCCAUGUUGCCUUACAAAGUCCUUACAAAUUUGGCGUGGUUGGUAUUCAGGAGUAGAUCGAAUGACAUCAUCAAUGACCAACGAUGCACUAGUGGAUCUCACUAAAGGCUGAGACAAGACAACAUCUUCCAAGCAAUGGUUAUGCACAUUUCGGAAUGUGUGUACUUGAACAAUGUUUGAAUCCCCUAUUGCACGCGCAGUGAUUUUCCAAGGACAAUCUUCAAUUGUGCAUACUACGGUCAUGUGUUUUGGACUAUUCUUUUUGUAAGAAUAUCGAAAUUUUCCAGCCAAAUACAUCAAAUAGAUUGCAUCUCAAAACUCCGACGCAUUUGGGAAGGUAUGUCCACUACCUACAAUUGAAUGUUCGAAUCGACUUGGUUGAAGUUGAACGGUAUUUGUCAUAGCACAUCUUUGGGAAAACCCAACUGACUGAAUUGUGGGCGACUCAUUAGAGAUGUGUAAUGGGGGCUCGCCAAUAGAGGAAACAUGAGCUGAGUUUGAAGCAACAAUGGGGGUUGGGCCACUGCAAAAAACAUAAGGAAAGAAUUUGAUCAUCCAUCAAUCUAAGUGUGAAAAGCGAUUAUACAAAAGGGAACAUUAUUGUGGAAGGACAUUAGGUACCUAGUAGGGCAAAUGAGGUCAUCACCACAUUCAGUACACUGGGAGAUGUAGACAUGACAAAACAUGUCGUUGAAUUUGAACAUAUUGACUAUGUCGCCAUCAUUAUGCAGUGGCAAUAGACAUGAUGGGUCAAACUUGACUGUGAAUUCCAAUUUAAUGGAAUUGGAAUCCAAGUUCAGUACACCACAUACUUUUGAAACGAAUUCAGAUUGUGAGAUAUUCUUGCUAACAACACUGCAAUUGGUCCGACCUCCCUUAUAUUCGACAGACCCAACAGCAGUCUUAACAAGCUCACCACCUUCAUGAAUGUAACAAAACAUCUCCUCUUCCAUUUCCUUAUUGACAUAAAGAUUUGUUAAAAACAAUACAACAAUGAAAGAUUGAGGAAUUAUGCAUGUUGAUUCCAUAUACUUUAAGGUUCAAACAUGCUAAUUGGCUGAUGCACACAAUUAAGGUUCAAACAUGCUAAUUGGCCGAUGCACACAAGUAGUAUACAAGUCUAACUACGGUAGUACCUAAGGAUAUCUAACCUAGUACUUAAAGAUUACUAAGGUUAGACCUAAGGUUAAUUAAGAUAGUACCUAUGGUACAGUCUCAAGUAAAGGUACGGGGAACCAAAUGAGCAGAGUAGUCAACAUUCAUCUUUUACAUGCUUACUGCUAUCAUUUUAUCAUGUCUCAAAUCAAAUUCAUAAAACAAUAACAAUAACAACAUACAUUCAAUUCUAUCAUGCAAAGACAAAGGACAAAAUAAUAACAACAUACACACAAUGAAAUCGGUAUUCAAAUUUAGUAAAGCAAUAACAAUGACAAACGACCAAGCAAAUAAUCUGUUUAGGGUUUAGUAGUAACUCUCAUAUAUACCAUUAAAAUUGAAAGAAAAUUUCCAUCGACUAGUAGUAAUACAAAUGAACCAAUUUCCCUAAAAAUCUAAUGACAACAGAAUUCUUGGAAAGCAAAAAAAAUAUUUAAAAAUAAAUAAUAAUAAUAAUAAUAAUAAUAAUAAUAAUAAUAAUAAUAAUUUAUUUUUUCUAAAUACGAACAUAUCUUUAACCAAAAAUAAUUUAUCCUAUAUUUCAUUCUACAGAAAAUGAAGUAAAUAUAAGAAACCCUAAAAUAAAACACUUCAAACCCUAAGAUAUCCACACCAUCCAAACAAACCCGUAAAUGAAAACUCACCUGUGAUUGAUUACUCGGAAAACACGCACAAGAGGGAAAAUUCCAGUUUCGUUUUGAGAAACCUGAACGGAAUUCCAACUUCGAUGAUGCGAAAACAAGAUAUGUCUCCCGUUUGGUUUACUUCAACGUAUUGGGAAGAUGGGUAUCAGUUUCAGCUACUCCAGACAUUUAGAGACAAACACGUUCGACUAAUCGGGAUGUUAAGAGAAAAACAGAGAAGUUUGAGAUUCGGGGAAGAUGUGUAUCAGUUGGGUUUGUUGGACGUGAAGGUUUUGGCUGAUUCAGAUUUGAAAUAACCUUCUGAAAUGGCAAGUUUUUGAGAUUCUGGCUUAGGGAAAAUCUUAGAUUUGGUUGUUGUCAAACUAAAAAGCAGAUUUAGGGCUACUGAGAGCAAAGUUAGAUGUCGUUUGACUUAAGGUUUUUUUUUACUAAAAUGAGAGAAAGAGAGAAAGGGACACCAAAAGUCGGGUCGGGUGGUUUUUUUAAGAAAUUAUCAAUUUUCACAAUUUUUUUUUAAGUAUGACAUGGAGGCUAUUUGGCUGCUGAUGCAUAAGACAUUGAGGGCAUUUUUGGAAGAUAAAAUUGACUCAGCACAGAGUGCACAAAUCUCAUAUUAUUUUGCCCAUUAAUGACUGCUUUCCAUAUUUGAAAAACUUGAGGUUUGAAUAUCAUAUUUUUUUUAAAUAAGGGCCCUAAAACACAACUUUCCCAUAAAUAUAUGUAUUCUGAUCCUCUAUGUUUGCUCCAUGGGGAAUUCAUAUGCAUUUUCCUUUUCUCUUCUCAGAUUCUCAACUAGAGUCAUCAGUGUCGGAGCUUCUUCCACUCAAAGUCAAGGACCUUCCAGUGAUCAACACUCGGAACCCAGAAGAUUUUUAUCAAUUAUUUGUUAGCGCGAUCAAAGAAACCAAGGCUUCCCCCGGGCUAAUCUGGAACUCCUUCGAAGAUCUUGAAGAAUCUGCACUUGUCAGACUUCACCAAGAUUAUCUUAUCUCAUUGUUCCCAGUAGGCCCAUUUCAGAAAUACUUCCCAACCUCUUCAAGUAGUUUACUAGCACAUGACCACAGUUCCAUUACCUGGCUAGACACACAAACACCUAAAUCUGUGAUCUAUGUGAGCUUUGGGAGUAUUGCGACAAUGGAUGAGAAUGAAUUUCUGGAGAUGGCUUGGGGGCUAGCCAACAGCAAUCAGCCCUUCUUGUGGGUGGUUCGACCAGGGUUAAUCCGUAGUUAUGAAUGGCUUGAAUCACUGCCAAACGGGUUCCUUGAGAUGAUAGGUGGAAGGGGACAUAUUGUGAAAUGGGCUCCUCAACAAGAAGUUCUUGCUCAUCCCGCCACGGGAGGGUUUUGGACUCAUAAUGGAUGGAAUUCCACGUUGGAGAGUAUUUGUGAAGGGGUUCCAAUGAUUUGUCUGCCUUAUUCUGGGGACCAAAGGGUGAACGCGAGGUAUGUGAGCCAAGUUUGGGGAGUUGGGUUGCAAUUAGAGAGUGGGUUGGAGAGAGGGGAGAUAGAGAGAACAAUCAGAAGACUUAUGGUGGAGGAAGAAGGGCAGGAAAUUAGACGUAGAAGCAUUGAGUUGAAGGAGAAGGCAGACUUGUGUCUAAAGCAAGGUGGUUCUUCACACCAAUCCCUCGAGAGCUUGAUUAGUUACCUCUCAUCUUUCAAGGGACUCCUUCAUAAUUAAGUUCUAGAUGGUCUUCUGUUAUUGUUAGGAAUUCUCCUGAGCGAGGUUUCCAAAUAGGCUGGUUCUGUUUCUCACAAAAGAUCCGUUGUCUUAAUUACUUCUUUAAGAUUGUGCUUAAAUAUUAUUUCAUACUAUUACCACAUUGAUGAUCACUAUACUCCUACGUAAAAAAAAAAAUUAGAGGUGAUUUCUAGCAAUUGUCCAAUUAAUUACCCUCAGUUUCUAGUACCACUAUUUUAUAAUAACUGGAUACAAAUAUGUCAGAUUGAUGACUGCUUCUUUAGUUAUCCUUAAAUGCAUAAGAGCUUGUUUGAUAGUGAUUUUAUGAAAUUUUUUUAAUAUUUUUAAUAUUUGAAAUUUUUUAUUAUUUAAGUAUUAAAAAUGCUAGAAACGCUUUAUAAAAUCACUCCCAAACGGGCUCUAAGUCAAAAUUGUUGUUGCGGUUGUUGGUUCCAUUUUUCCUUUUUUAAAUUAUAUUGUCAAGUGAAGGAAGCACACUAAAAUACUUGGAAAACCAUGUUUGGCCUCCUUCAUUCAUUGGAUUGUGUCUGUUCAUUCACAUGGGUUUAGAUCCAAGUUGUACAAAAAUUGGUUCAGUUGGAUUUGCAGUUUUCCACCUAACUUUCAAGAUAUUGAGUGAGAGAUAACACCAAAACUGAGCAGACAAUGCUCAGCUAAGCACCAUGGAGUGAUUAUUUGAACUAAUAUGUACUUACCACUUUCCUAUGAAUCUUGUCUUUCACAAUUUAACUUUAGAUGAACCCUAGGCAGCUGAAAGGAACUUCUAAUUCGAUUACUGGUGAAGCAAUAAAGUUGGAAGAAACAUACAAAUAAUUAUAAUCCAUAAAUACUCAUAUUUAACAAAAUAAAGACUCUUAAUAAUAAAACAUGGAAACCUUCUCGUACUCUAAUAUUUGAAUAUAGAAACUAAAUUAAUCAUUCAAAUAAAAAUGUUCUCUUUGAUUUUUAAAAACUAAAUCUAGUUCUAAUUUUAGAAACUUCCUAAAUCAAGUUUAACUUUCUAUCUUGCCCUGUAAACUUGAUUUGUAACUCCAAGCACCAAGCACCAUUCUUAACCAUUUAUAAUCUUCAAAUUUGAAACAUUUUGUAAAAAUAUCCACAAUUUGAUUAUGAGAAUUUGCAAAUUUUAAUUACACUUUCUUUUUCAUGAUGGACUCCUUGACAAAAUGAAAUUUUGUAUCAAUGUGAUUGCUUUGAUCAUGAAAAAUCAAUGACUUCUUACCCUCUUGUUACUUGUAACUCUUUGGUAUCAAAUUUGCUUUGCAUCUCCCUAUUUUUCCUUUUACGUUCUUCUUUGUUUCCAAUACUUAUUUUAAUUUUUUUUUUCCUUUUAGAAGGGAUUUUAGUUUCCAUGUGUCAUUCUUUCUCGUUGCUUUUUAUUUCCAUAACAUUUUGUCAUGUCUUAUCUUAAAUUACUACUUUAUAAUCUAUUGGUUCAUAAUUUGUAGAAAGAUAAAAGAGAAUUAGAUUAUUUUGAAUAUUAUAUGUUACCUUAUUAAUAUUUUCUUACUAUUUAACAUACUUUGAGCGAUGUCAAGAGUAGUUUCAUUUUUUUUUCUCUCUAUUAUACUAUUUAUUGUGGAGGAUAUGAAAUCGUUAAAGUCGACAAAUUUUAUAAGCUUUACAAUAUUUUUCAAAUUGGACCUUAUAUGUCUACAUGAAUGAAUUUAAUUUAGAGGCUUUUUUACUCUUGUAAUUAUUUCCUUUGGAAAAUUUUUUUGAGCAUGUUUUUCAAGUAAGGGUCCUUUACAUAAUUGAUCUAUAAAAAGUAAUUCUUUCACCAGUUUCUUCUUUAUUAGCAACUUCAAUAUUCUAAAACUAAGAUGUCUAAAUCUUAAGUGUCAAAUCCAAGAGGAAUAAUGGACAUAAGAUUUUAAACAUUUUACAACAACAAUUUCAAUGUACAACAAAAAACAUUCAAUUUCUUGUUAUGAGCAUAUUAACAAUUAAAUUGGCAUAUUAUUGACCUCGUAUUGAGAGACUUUGAAUUUCAUAUGAAUAUCAUAACACUUUUCUACGAGUUGACCCAAACUUAAUAUAUUAUUUUUCAUGUUGAACACAUAAUAGAUGUUCAAAAUAAAUUAAUGUCUUUCAUUUUUCAAACAAAUUCAGAUUUUACCUUUGCCUUUUCAUCAAAACUCAUCCAAAUAUGACAACCAUUUUUGGAUUCCUCAAGUGCUCCAAAAAGAUACUUUUAAAAUCUACACAUGAUUGUUUAUUUCAAUGUCAAGAUACCAAGUGUUUUUUUCCUUACUUUAAUUUCUCACUUAUAUACCAACAAUAAAGUAGGUUGUUCUUGAUUUUGCUUUUCAUAAUAUAUAUAUAGACACAUACAUACAUGAUUAUAACAUUCAAUUUGAGAUUUAUUUAUCAUACACGAUUAUAACUUAUAUAUUGUGUCAUCUUCCACAUCCUCAUGAAUAAUAUGAGUCUUAACUUGUUCCUUCAUUGUUUGAUGAAUUCAAAUCACUUCUUCUUCUAUAAUCUUGACCAUAACCAUGUAUACGACUAUGCCCAUGAUUAUUUUGACUUCUUUCAUUAUCAAAAUUUUCUUCAUUCUCCUUUAAUAUAAGUUUAAUUUGUUUAUAGAAUUUGCUCUAAUUUUUGUUAGUUCUCAUUUUUAAUCUUUUCAUGAACUUGCAAUGACAACAUAAGUUACUCAAUGGCCAUGAAAUCUAAAUCUUUAGAUUCUUCAAUGGCCACAACAACAUAAUCGAAUUUUGAAUAUGUAUAUGAAUAUUGAAGUUUUUUUUUCAAUAACAUGAAUGUCAUUUAAACUUUCAUUGUGCCUUUUUAAUAGAAGAUUGUUUCAUUCUUUUACAUUCAAACUUUGAAAUUUCAUUUUUAUAUGCUUUGUAAUAUCUCACAAGCUUCUUUUAGGGUGGUUGUGUUUGAAAUCUUCUCAAAAGUACUUAUUGGAGCCAAAAUAUGUGCUCUAAUGGCACAUAUUCGAUAUGAUUUGUGCACCAAAGGACAUUCAAAUCACCCAACUUGACCUAAAUCAAUGCUAAGGCCCUAGCCAUGAGUUUAAUCUAUACUUUGGAGAUUUAUCUCAGGUUCAAGGGAAGAAAAUUGUGCAAAUUGAAUGACUUUAGAUUUUGAAAGAUCAAGAAAGGGCUAAAUGAGGAAAUAAGUGAGUCAAGAUUCAUUGAAUGUAAGGAAAGGCAAAACAAGGAUAUCAUGAGGUUGGAGGAUGAUAAAUGACCAUUAUGGAGUAAUAAAGAAGGCAAGAAAGCAUGGAAAAUGAGGCAUGAAGCAAGAUUUAGCUGCAUGGAAAUUUAGAACUCAAAAAUCUGAUGGCAUUAUAUACUCUGAUUUUGAGGACAAAUUUGGAGCACUUUAUGGAGUCCAUUAUAUACAUACUAUAUAUAUUGUUUCGAAGCUCGGGAAGUCAGGAGUCCAACGCUUCAAACGGUUUGGAAAUCGGAGCUGAAAUGAAGAAGUUAUGGCCAUUUGAAGACAACUGCACCAAGCUGGAGGGUCAUUUCGAAAUGAUUUCGAAAUUCAACUUAUGAAUUCGAAAUCCACUUCGAAAUGACACCAAUUUCGAAUUCACCCACUGCCACUUUGAUGUUCCGCUUCCUCUACCUCGGGAAUUGCAUCUAAAGCACUCCAUCCGCCUUAGGUGGACCCCACACGACUAGAAAUCACCAUUUUAUUAUUUUUUAAUCAUUUUUAGGAAAUUAUUUUGUAAUAAGUGGCCAAUGAGAGUGUGUCACAUGUUAAGUAAUUGAGGAUAUUAUAUAAACUCUCUCAAUUCUAGGUUUUAGGAAUCUUGGAUUUUUUUUUCUGGAGAGUUUGAUAUUGAAGGUGGAAGAAGACGAGAAUUUUGGUUUGUUUUCUUUUUCUUCUAUAUUGAAUAUAUUGUUUUUAGUUUCUUUUGAUUCAAAUUAUGGAUUUUUACCCUAUUAUGGAUUGUGAAUGUGACAUCACCCCCAUGAGAGGCUAAGAGCCAACUUGGGGCUUGAAGCAUGAAAACCUAAGGGUUAGGAAACCUAUAGGGACAAUGGGUAAAUUAUUAUAACAAUGAGAUUAAUUAUUGGUUGAGUGACAAUUUAUCAAUUUUUUUAUACUAUCCUUGUGAGUUCGUUUAGGGAAUGAUACGGUAGGUUAUUUCUUGAUACUAGUGAUUCUUGGUAAUUCUUGAUCAUUAGUUAUCCUCAUCUUACCUACCGUUAUUUGCCCCUAAACAAAGCUAUAAGGAGUAGAAAUGGUUAAAAAUCCAAAUCUUAAAUUGAUAAUCAAUCUCAUUCAUUUGAUGGUUUUAGGAAUCUGUUUUAAAAAGGAAAAAUUAGGUUUCAGAUGCAAUUUUGAGUUAUAGAACUCAACUUGAUCGCGAGUGGCCAAGGAUCCCAAAACCCUAAGAUCAUAUUACUUAAAAUACCCUUGUUUUCUCUAAUUUCUAUACCCUAGGUUGGAUUGUGGAAAACCCCAAACUUGAAUCAAUUGAAUUUAAAAUCAAUAUUCAUUUUUUUUCUUAUUAAUUUAACUUCUUUUACUUAGUUUCACAUUAUUCACAUAUUGUUUUUCACUUAAGGAUUUAAACAAAAACAAUUCAUUUAUUCUAGUAUUGAUAAUUUUCAUAAGUCAGUCCUUGAGAACGAUACCCGGAAUACUACAAAAGUCGUAGUGACUCUUUCUCUAGUUUUUCUUGACCAGAGUUACUACGUAAAAAAGCUAAGUAUUUUGGUACAAUAGAGAAAUUUCGGUCAAGUACAUUCAUCCGUUAUUUAAUAGAUGGUGGGAAAAGGUUUCUUGUCUUUCCUUAUGUCUUUUAAAAAAACUUUUUGAUUUAGGAAUAAAGUUGUUUUGACUCUUAUAACCUUUUUGUUACAUGUGUAAAAUUCCCACACAAGUUUUCGCGUCUAUGUAGCGAUUUAAAGCUCUCGAAGCUAGCAACUUUUCCCUACAAUAUGACAACAACAUACAAGACCCACACGAGGUUUACAAGGCACCAACCUCAACUUGUAUUUUAUUAACUUACUAAAUAAGAAUACAAGACUUUAGCCAGACUCCCACAAUAACUUCAGUGAGUUGAGGUUUCUCUCAUGAUCUUCCUUUUUAGAUCUCUGUUACGAGGCUCUUUGUAGUCUUUACUUAAAGAGUGGCUUUACCCACUCUUUGUUAGACUAAGAUUACACAUCUUAGUUCUACUGGGACUCUUACUGAUAAGUUGUGGCACUAACCACUCCUACAAGGGCUCAAAGUCCUAGUUUUACUUAGACUACAAUUAUAAUAGGCAUUAAGACUCCUACUCAUGCUUAAUUUGUAAUCCCACUUUGAGUCCAACUCUUUGUGCUACUACCACAUACAUCUAUAUAUAUGGUUCAAGUAUACGCCAGAACCUUUUUUGGUAUACACAUCUAGAUUGCGUUCGUAUCGAGGCAACAUGCUCUUGCAUCCGUCUUGUUGUUGCUACGACUCCAUAUCUUGUCUAAGCUCUAUUCUUAGUGCAACAACAUGUCAUGAUAUUGUGCUCGUGACUCUCCAUGCACAAGGUAUUACGCCCUUAUGUAUUGCAUCUGAGUUGGCACUGCUACUUCGUAUUGAUAUGCCUAUCUAUGUCUUUCUUAGUGUUGCACUUGCCAUGACAUUUCAUCCAUGGCUCACCAAGUCAUCUUCCUUUACAAGGCGUUGUGUCCUUGUACCACUUUGUUGUUGUCAUAGGUUACUCAUGAAGCUAGGGUACUGCCCUAUGAGACUUUAGUGUUGCAUGGUCCAUAUCAAGGGGCUAACAAACCACCUUCACCUGAUGUAGUUGACGUUCUCAUCGACAUGGACUAUAGUUAGGCCUAUACUGCCUUUUUAAACUGCCAUAAUGUCAUAUCUCAUUCCCAACUUGCUGAUGAUUUAGGAUUGACUUUCCAUUGAACUAGAUAAUCAACAUUUCAAUUUUUCUUGCUCAUUCCCAUAAUUCGAUGAUUCAAUAUUUUCUCUACCUCAUGAUGAAACUAUUUUUUGAUCAUAGGUGGAGCUCAUCUCACCUAUAUUUUUCUUGGGUCUAGGUCCUCAUGAUAAGGUUUUAAAAAGCUUACAUGGAUUAUGAGGUGUAUCUUUAACCUGUCAGGUAGCUUUAAUUUGUAAGCUACAUAUCCUACCUUUUGCAUCACCUCAAAAAGUUUGUCAUAUUUGGGAACUAAUCCCUUUGCACAAUCUUGCUACUAACAUUUUUCCAUAUCUAAGGGGUUAAUAUGAAAUUCCAAGGGUCUUUGGCCUUUGCGUUUGCAUACUUUUUCAUCAUUCUUGCGACUUUCUCUAAGCUUUCACAAGCUUCAGUGAGCAUCUCUUACCUAGACCUUACAAAUUUGUAUUUUGUAGGACAACUACCACAAGACUUUGGUUUAGCCACAUCCAAGGGCAUAAUUGGCUAUUGCUCUGUGGCCAACUCGAAAUGACUCAAUCAUGUUGUCGAACUCUUCUACAAGUUAUAGGAUAACUGAGUUAUCUUCAUUAUAUCAACCCAGUUCUUUUAUGUUGUAGAAAGAUAGUGUUUGGGGUACUCCUCAAGUAAAAUGUUGAUAUGCUUUGUUUGCUGUCUGUCUGCGGAUAAUUUGUUGUUGAAAACUUCAACUCUAAAUCGAGGAGUUUGAAUAUUUUGGUCUAAAACUAGCUAGUGAAUCAGACAUCACGAUCACUUACUAUGUCUUUAAGCAACCUGAAGUACUUGACCACAUGGUUGAAAAAUAGCCUAGUUGUCUCUUUUGCGAGACAUGCAUGUGGUGUAGGCAUGAGGACAACAUAUUUAGAGAAUCUAUCGAUUUAUUAUCAUAAAAAUAUAUUUGAAUUCCCCCACAUUUGGAAAGCCACCAAUGAAGUCUAUUGAUAUGCUCUCCUAAGGUCUCUCUAGGAUAGGGAAAUGUUGCAACAUUAACCCCACUACUUUCUUCUUCUAUGUUUUGCCUAAGCGACAUGCUAAAUAAGAACGGGCAUAUGCUUGGACAUCCUCUCACAUUUCCGACAAGUAAUAUGACUUGGACAAUAGUGUUGGUGUCCUUUCUUUAAUAAGGUGACCUGUCCACUUGGCCUCAUGGGUCUUUCUUAACAGCUUCUUGCCUAAGCACUUCAUAGUACAUAUAGUUUGCCUCAUUUAGCCACUAGGAGGUCAUCUUCUAGUUAAUAUUUUCUUGUUGCCCCAUCUCUGACUUGUUAUUUCAUUUUCUCAUAAGUAGAAUCAAGCUUAGUAGCCUACUUGAUGCUUUCAUUAAAAUCUAACAUCACAUGUGAUAGAGUAGUUACAUACUCUGUCACCAUCUUCUGGCUCAAGGCGUCUACAACUACAUUAUGUCUUCUUGGUUGAUGCAACCAAUCAAACUUGAAGUUGGCCAGGAAUUCUUGCCAUCUAGCUUGCUUGAGGCUCAACUUUUUCUAAGUCUUGAAGAAGGUAUUAGUCGCACUGUUUGUGACUAUAGUAAAUAUACUCCCAAAUAGAUAAUGUUUCCACUGCUGCAAGCAAUGGAUAAUUACUAUCAUCUCUUUCGCAUGAGUGAAGUAUCUUUGUUUUGCCUCAUUGAACUUCUGACUCUCAAAGGUUAUUGGGUGUCUUUCUUACACUAGGACCUUUCCUAAGUAAUUGGCUGAUACAUCUAUCCGAACCUUAAAAAACAAAUCCAAAUUCAGUAGAUGUAGCAUCGACUCAGUUGAAAUAACCAACUUUCAACUUUUCAAAAUCUUUAUGGCAUACCAAGCUCCAAUCCUAGAGGAUAUCUUUCUUUAGAAGGUUAGUUAGGGGAGCUACUAUCUUGGAAUAACCUUUUAUGUUCAAUAGUAGUUUGCCAGUUCUAAGAAGGAUUUUAAUUUUGUCAUCUUACUUAGAGCAUGCCAAUCUCUGAUGACUUGGACCUUUGCUUUAUCCAUCUUAAUCAAACCUUCACUUAUCUUGUACCUUAGGAAGGUAAUAUGUUUUUGUGCAAACUCGCAUUUCUCCUUUUUCACAUAGAGUUUGUGUUCUCUUAAUCUUUAGAAUAGUAGUUUCAGGUGAUGCAUUUGGUUUUUUUAUUCUCUCUAAGUGCAAGUUCCCACAUAAGUUUUCGCGUCUAUGUGAUGCUUAGAAGCUCUCUAAGCUAGUUUACACCUUUCCCUAUGAGAUGGUAACAACACACAAGGCACACAUGAGGUUUAUAGGGCACCAAUCUUAACUUGUAUUUUAUUAGCUUACUAAAUAAGAAUACAAGACUUUAGCAGCUUCCCUCAUGAUCUCCAUCUCUAGAUCUUUAUUAGGAGGCUCUUUGUCCUCAUUUUUUAUAGAGUGGCGCCACACACUCCUUGUUAAACUAGGAUUACACAUCCUAGUUCUAUUGAGACUCUUAUUGAUAGGUUGUGACAUCAACCAAUCCUAUUACGACUCAAAGUCCUAGUCCUACUUAUACUACAAUUACAAUAGGCAUUAACACUCCUACUCAUGCUUGACUUGCAAUCCCACUUCAAGUCCAACUCGUUGUAUUGCUACCGCAUGCAUCUAUAUAUAUGGCUCAUGUGUAUGUCAAACCCUCUUUUGGCCUGCACAUUCAAAUUGCAUUCAUGUCGUGACAACAUGCUUUUGCAUCCAUAUUAUUGUUGUUGCGACUUUAUGCCUUGCCCAAGCUUUUUUCUUGAUGCAGCAACAUGUCAUGACAUUGUAUCCAUGAUUCCUCACGCACAAGGCAUUGUGCCUUUGUGUAUUGCAUUUAAGUCGACAUGCUCCACAUUGAUGCCUCAUCCGAGUCUCUCUUGGUGCUCCACUUGGCAUGAUAUUUCACUUAUGGCUCACCAAAUUGUCUCAUUGCAAAAGGCAUUGUGCCCUUAUUAUAUAUGCCACCUUGUUGAUGUCAUAGGUUACUCAUGAGGCUAAGGUGCUAUCCCAUGAGACAUUAGUGCCACAUGGUCUAUGUCAAGGGGUUAACACUUUCUAAACAAGACAUUUAUCCUUAUACUCAAAUUAUCGUAAUUAUUUUUAUUGAGUUUGAGGAGUUCAAAUGAAUACCUCCUAUUUUUCAUUUUUUUUUUGUAAUAAUACAGAAGAAUUUAAAAUUUAUUGUUUUUCAUUUUCUUAUUAAUAGAUUAUAUAAUUUUUUAUUUUUAAAUACUCAUAUUUAAUAAAAUAUAAACUCAUAAUAAUAAAAAUAUAGGAAUUCCCAACAAUUAAAUAUAAUAACUUUUUACAAGUCAAUUACUUAUAUAUAAAAACUAAAUCCAACCGUUUAAAAUAAAGUACUUUCUUUUAACUUUUAGAAGUUAAAUCUAAUUCUAGUUUUCAAAAAUUCUCAAUCAAGUUUACUUUCCAAUAAUUACUUAAAUUAAAUGCCACAUAAAAACCAGAUAAAAGACUUUCACAAAUCUAAACCCGGAGAAAUGUCAAAAGAGAGGUAGAAAACUAUCCCAAGCACCCCAAGCAAGAAAAAUACGGGCUAUUUUAUUUUCUCACCAUGUUGAAAAAUUUUAAAAUUCCAACAGGCAUCAAAGAAUUGCCGUCCACUUAGCUAUAAUAUACAUAGAUGAAGACAAGAAAGCCACUUGCGCUUUUCGGAAUAUAUCGAUUAUUUCCUUGCAAAUACUGCAUAAAUUCAUGGUCUAUUCUGCAAAUCAUUUUUUCAAAUUAAAAUUGAGCUCGUCAUUCGAGUGGGAAACGCAUGAGCCGAAAUACGGGGUCCACACUAAUAUUUGGUAUUAAAACGCAUAACAAAAAUGUAUUUAUGUGUCGUGGAAAACAUCCUCCGACAAACAGUUGACAGACGUCAAUCUUGAAACCCUAUUGUAUAUAAAUAUUUUACUUUUUGUUCUGUCAUUAAUUGUAGUGAUGAGACAAUGUAGUUGGAUAAGUUGAAAGGAGUUAUUUUCAAUACUGAUUUAUGACUAAUUCACCUAUUUAUGAAUUAGGGUUCUAUUGUAGAAUUGAUAUUGAUAAAGAAAUGUUUUCCGUUAAUUUUUUCUUCUCAAAAACAUUAGACUGUUUUUACCCUCAGUUCUUUCCCGGCCAUUAAUUCAAAUAAUUUCACAAGAAACGGCGUCAAAGAAUUGCCGUCCACCUAGCUGUAAUAUACAUUGAUGAAGACAAGAAAGCCACUAGCGCUUUUUGGGAUAUACCGAUUAUUUCCUUACAAAUACAGCAUAAAUUCAUGUUCUAUCCUGUAACAAUAGUCCACCAAUAGUCAGAUGGAUCAAGGGCCAGUGUCUCCUCAUGUCCUCAUCUUCCCCUUCCCGGCUCAAGGCCACGUCAACUCCAUGCUCAAACUCGCCGAACUUCUCUCCGUCGCCGGCCUCCACGUCACCUUCCUCAACUCCGAAUAUAACCAACACCGCCUCCUCCUUCACACCGAUAUUCAGACCAGGUUCAGCGGCUAUCCCGGCUUCCGUUUCCAAACAAUAUCUGAUGGGCUUACCACGGACCAUCCACGUACCGGUGAGCGGGUGAUGGAUCUGUUUGAGGGAUUGAAAGCCACAGCAAAACCAAUUUUUAGGGAGCUAGUGAUUUCAAGGGGCCAGGGUUCUGAUACCCUCCCGCCGGUCAACUGCAUCAUAGCAGAUGGGAUUAUGAGUUUUACCAUUGAUAUUGCUAAUGAAGUUGGAAUUCCCAUCAUUUCUUUCCGCACCAUUAGUGCUUGUUCCUUCUGGGCAUAUUUUUCUGCGCUCAAACUCAUUGAAUCUGGCGAACUUCCCCUCAAAGGUAUGCUUUCUAGAUUGAAUUCCACGAAAUCAUCUGUUCAUUAUAAUUCGUUUAUAUUUUUGUUUUCUUCUUUUACAAUAUAGUUAGAUCAUGAAUAAACUACAGGUAACGAUAUGGAUCAGCUAGUAACCAGUAUUCCCGGCAUGGAGGGGUUUCUCCGAAAACGAGAUCUCCCGAGUCUUAUCCGAGUCAGCAACCUAGAUGACGAGGGUCUCCUACUUGUAAUGAAGGAGACGCAACAAACUCCUCGAGCCCACGCGCUCAUACUUAAUACGUUUGAAGACUUAGAAGGACCUAUUCUCGGUCAAAUACGCAAUCACUGUCCAAAAAUCUACACCAUUGGACCUCUCCACGCGCACCUGAAAACCAGGCUUGCUUCUGAAUCGACGACGUCACAGUCUUCAAACAGUUUCCGGCAAGAAGACAGAAGCUGCAUAGCGUGGCUUGAUCACCAGCCUUCAAAGUCUGUUAUCUACGUAAGCUUCGGAAGCCUGACAGUCAUCUCAAGGAAGCAGCUCAUAGAGUUCUGUCACGGUUUGGUAAACAGCGGUAGCCGCUUCUUGUGGGUCAUACGGACGGACUCUCUUGCCGAAGAAGAUGGAGAGCAUCAGACUCCGGCGGAGCUCAUGGAAGGGGCAAAGGAGAGGAGUUACAUCGUGGAGUGGGCUCCACAAGAAGAGGUUCUAGCGCACCCGGCAGUAGGUGGGUUCCUCACCCACAGUGGGUGGAACUCGACUCUUGAGAGUAUAUGCGCCGGCGUGCCAAUGAUUUGCUGGCCAUACUUUGCAGACCAACAGAUCAACAGUAGGUUCGUAAGCCAUGUUUGGAAACUUGGUUCGGACAUGAAAGAUACUUGCGAUAGACUUAUUGUUGAGAAAAUGGUGAGAGAUCUGAUGGAAGAGAGGAAGGAUGAGCUUUUGAAAACGGCUGACAAGAUGGCUACAAGGGCUAGAAAAUGUGUUAGUGAAGGUGGGUCCUCUUACUGUAACUUGAGUAGCUUGGUCGACGAGAUAAGAUUGAUGGGCAGGCUGAGUUGAAAGUAUAUUUGGGUUUUCCAUGGAAAGCGAAGGCAAAAUAAUUUAAUUGGAAGCAUUCGGCAAAUGAUUGGGCGAAGGGAGAAAGGAAUCUUGGGGUCCCAAGCCCGAGAAGUGGAUGCCUUCAGCUUUUCUCUAUUUCUUGUUUCUUUAAAUUAAAUGUUCGUCCGAAUUCAGUUAGAUCCAAGCUCAAUAACAUCCACAAAACAACAACACAUGGACUCGUUCUUACAGGAACAAUUCUUGAGCUUUGACCCAAACUAAGUUCUUAGUGGAUGCUGCCAAGGCAGUAGCGAUGCCAUAGUCAAAAAACAAGAGACCCAUUGUAUUAAGAGUGUAGUUCAGUACGUGACUCAAAAUUAUCUCCAGGGAAUUAGGUGAUAGCAACUUAAUUUCUGCGCAGACCAAAGACAAUGUAUAACACAUUAGACAAUGUUAUAUAUGUAUGGGAUUUUCUCAUUUUUACUGCUCCAUCUUUUACACUGCUUAGAAAUUUCAUUACUUUUCUUCUAUUUUUAGGUCACAGCAGAUAGCUCCUAGAAAAUGCAUAUGGAUCAUCAUGAGAGUGAGUUUUUACUCGAUAAUUGACCAUGCAUUUGGCCUUAGUCCUUGGCCUCAGCAAAUGGUUCUGCACUCAAACAUCACCAUCACCAUCACAAGCAGCCGCCAUGUCUUGUUUUACCAUCUGUUUCACUAUCAAAAGGAAAAAAAUAUUAACAAAUUAAUUAUUGAAAAUAUAAUCAAAAGACGGACCUUCCAUCCUUUGACGUCUAGAAGGAAUAUUUAAUAAAUUUCCAUGAAAACAUACAGUAAGUGUGUUGACUAGAUGACUGUAAUAAGCAAUAAAUAUAAAUAUAAAUAAAAAAUAAAAAACUUCAAAAGCAACCGGAUCUGCCCUAUUGCAUUGCAUUACCUACUCAACACGAAAUCUUGACAACAAUUUAGAGGGAAGUCU
RNAcentral lists this long non-coding RNA (92376 nucleotides) under Vitis vinifera (wine grape). RNAcentral describes it as "long non-coding RNA (VVIN_LNC004050)". Lineage: Eukaryota; Viridiplantae; Streptophyta; Magnoliopsida; Vitales; Vitaceae. The record is from RNAcentral.